UUUUUUUUUUUUUUUUUUUUUUUGUCUUUAAACCCUAACAAGCCGAACAAAAGUAUAACAGACUCAAGAACAAAAGUUGGACAGAAAACACAAAAAGACAAUACCCAAACAGUUUUUUUUUUGGAUGAACAGUAACGUGAACAGUACGCUACAGUAUCGAUGAACAGUAUUUCGAAACAGUAACGAUGAACAGUAAUCGCUACAGUUUUUUUUUUUUGACAAAGACACAAACUAAUAAGAUAUGAACAACUUCAAUUGAAAGAGAAUUAACCUGAUGCUCUGAUUACCAACUGAUGAGCAACCCUAGGGGAAGACCCUCCUAGAACCUCCCAACCUUGUAAUUAUCAGAGUUGGACCUUUUCUCCCAAUGAAAAUUGAACUCGAUUGUUCUCAUGAACUCAAGACCUCUGACACACAAAGGCAAUCAGCAACCUUAAGCAAAUAAAGAUGGAUGAAGAGACACCACGAUUAGGGAACAAACUAAUCGAUAAAGUCAGAUUUGAAUCCUAAGCAAUGAACUCAAGAAUUCAAGAGUAAGUUCGAUUAAGAACUUGAAGGAAAAUUCCUCACGAUUUCUGGUUGUAAUAAUCUGUCCGGACUGAUACAAGAGGUGCCUUUUUAUAGGCUAAAACUAGGGCAAACUCCGGCCCACAUAAACCUGAAAGAAAUUUGGUCCGCAUAAAGAGUUUAAAGAGUCAGCUCUUUAAGGCUUUCCGAUAAGGCCCAAUAAGUAAUAAAAUACUUAACGCCUAACAACUACUAAACUAGACAGUCUUAAAAACAACUACCAACUAAACUAACAAGUAUGAGAUCAUUCCUUCACUUCAAACGUACAAGUGAACAAAGUAACGUCAUGGUCCAUCAAAUCUUCAAACCUAGCUUGCUCCUUGCUUGUAUGGUGAAUGAUCAAGGCUUGUAAAGCUUCCUUCACCUUCUUGGAUCUUGAUCUUGUCAUCGGACCGUCAAUGUUAUCCUUGACCCAAGGUUGAAGUGGUUGCGCACCCGUAUCCGUAUCAGUACAAUUUGUGGCUACUUAUUUAGGCAAUGUAAAUAUUUUGCCGGCACUAUUGUGUGGAUUGGUCCCCUGUUGGUCUUAGUUCUUCAUGUUUAGGAGAUAACAUGGGCCAUGAUCUUUAAUUGUCUGGUAUUUUGGUAUUUUAUUGUGAAUAACAUAUGGUUAUACUCCGCUAGUGUCGUCAUCCAGUAACCGGGAGUCUUCACCACAAAUGUCGAUUCUCACGUCUAAAAGUAGCGAUAUCUAUGAGUAGGUAGUCCUGGAGCUGUGAAAAGUUGAGUAACUGGGCUCUUUUAUCUAAAAAUGUCAGAGUUCACGUCAAAAGACUUGAAUGGCUUGGGACUAAGCAUUUAUUCUUUCAAUUAAAAAAAAAGAGAAAAAGAAAUAAAAUAAAAACAAAGAGAGAAUAGAUGUGGAAAAUAUGUAAGUCUAUGAUCAUGUUGGCCAGUCGAUCCUUGGUUCUCAAUGUUGAGACUUUGGUUGCUAGUUGACUUAAUUGCUGACUAUUGCUAGUUUGAUAUUUGGAUUUCCUAAGCGAGUUAGCCAUGAACUGGACGAGUCUGCGAUCUUAGGAGCUAACUGGGAGAGAUAUGUCUUGAGACUCUUGACACUUAGCCACUAAACCUUGAUUUUGGUGUAAGCACAGCUUGGCAAUAGAUGACGUGAGAGCUGACCAUGGUUGAGUUUAGUUGUCCCCAUGCUUGAGGGCAAGCAUGGUUCAGGUGUGGGGGAAAUUGAUAGGGUGUUAAUUGUUAGUAAUUUUACUAUUAAUUUUUCCCUUUGUCCUUACUAAAUAUUGUUUUAAAUUGUUAAUAUAUACUUAUAUUUGGUAUUUGGACCUAUCUACAGGAAAUGGAAUUAAAAAGUGCUAAAAAGGGGAACCUAUUGGAGAAAAUUGCUACACACGUGGGAGACUCCAAACAAGUUCACAAAACAAACGGAUGGCAUUUCCCUUUUGCUAAUUAGGAGUUGAAGUCCUUGAGGAGCAAGAGGAAAUGAAAUGAGAAAAAUUCGGCUGGAGCUUACUUUUGGGAAUUGGACUCUCAAUUUGUGCGGGGACCACGGAGAAAAGAAAGGCAUUAGUCAUUGGAGUUAAAAGGAAAAAAACGUACAGAGAGCUCUUAUCAAUAGUUUUAGCAUAGCAUUAGUUUUAGUUUUUCUUUCUUUUUCCUUUUCACGCGCACGAGGUGCUCGACAAUAUUUUUCAACGGGAAAAACAUCUUUUACUCUUGCUUUCUAGUGAAAAACGUGAUGCCUUUGCAAUCAAGUAAUUUGCAUGAAGAUUUAUUCAUGCGGUGUGGCUAAGCCUUUUAUCUAGUCAAAGAUCAAUUCGACGGCGCAGUCCCGAAAAUCUGUGAGAUCUAAUUAGUUUUCACGCGUUUCUCAAUUUAUUAAUAUUUUCACGUUGUCUACUUGAAUUUUCAUGGGAUUAUUUUAUUAAUUGGAUGUCCAGGGCCCGAUGUUCAAUAUGAUUUAUUAAUCUCCUGCCAAGUUAGUCAAUUAAAUCCGUAAUUAUUUGAUUGAUUAAUAUUAGUGGCAACUGGAGUGUUUACACACUAGGAGAACGUGCAAUCUAAUUUCAAUAACCCUCGUAGCGUGUUAUUGAUUGGGGUUAGAUUUUUCUAGUUCUUAAUGCAAUUGAAAAAUUAAUUCCUACGGUCGUACUUAGGAGUAUUUUCUGAUUAAGGGUAAUCAAUGGUCGUACCUUGGUUAUCAAUAAAUUAAGGAAAAAUUGGUCGUUAGAGUUCGUUGGCGACUAUAACUAGCCUAUUAAUAAAUUAAGUGAACCUCCCUUGCAUCAAUGAUCGGGUAAGUGAACUGUGUCUGAGUAGUUAUAUCCUUGGCUAGAAUUUAUCUAUUCUUGAUUUAAUUCCUGCCUAUAUUCGUGCUAGUUAAUUAUUUAUUUUUAGUGAAUUGCUUAAUUAUUUUUUAGUUUUAGUCCGAUAAAAUCCCCCUUUAUCAAUUGGAAUCUCAAAGAGACAAAUAUCCCAGUCUUUGAGGAGACGACCCUACUUGCCACUGUUUACUAUUUAGUAAACUUUGUCAACUAAUUAAUUCUGGUAUAUCGGAUUAAGCAAACUCUUCGGGAACAGGGUGAAUCAAGUAACCCAUUGCACACCUAGAGUCCCUGCUCCUGUACCUAGGAUUAAUUAUUGACUGCUUUUAGUGGUAGUUAGGUUCUAUUUUUAUUAUUGCACAGGCUCGACCCCUGCCAUUUUUCUUUCCCAAUAUUGCCUAACUUACCUUAUUCAAGAUGACAAACGUCUUAUAAGGUGUUUGAUAAGAAGGUUUCAACACAAGGAAUGGAUUUUAAUUCCAGUCAUACCUGUACAUAAUGUUUGUUUAAGAUCAAUCUGAAUAAAUUAAUAGGUUUCACAAAUUCUUUCUAUAAGUUUUUAUGAUUAAUCAUUAAAAAGUAUGGUUUCACUUAUCCAUUGUGUUUUUAUUUUUUAAAACAUCUUACUAUAAAGUUAACAAAUAUUUUAUGGGUUUUUAUCAAAUCUAUUGUUGUGUCUCUAAUUUAUCAUGCCCAUAGCAAUAGUGAUUAUGAAAUUUGAACCAAACAGCUCUUAGUAUAUUCCAACAUUUGAAAACAUCACCCUUGAUAUUUUGUUGGCACAGAAAAAUACACGCACACAUGCGGAAUCUUUUUUUUUUUUUUGUUUUUUUAACUGGAAUAGUAUUUUUAUUUAUUUUAUAAAAAUUUUGACAGAGUUUCCCGAUAAAAUUGAUGAAACUCCCUGUCAACAAACCCAAAUUCAAGAAAAUAACCACAAGAUAGUUAUAUACUGUAUCUAAUGCUAUUGCCUUUUAAUCUGUCGAAUAGAUGCCACUCCUAUCCUAUAAAGAUGGAAAUUACUGGUGUAAAGAUGCAGCUACCAAAUAAAUGUCCUCCCAGUUUUGCGUAUUACCAACUUCAACUCAAUCUAUUAUUGUCCCAGACACCGUGUACGAAACGAAGGAAGCCCUAAACGAUCCAAUCUAAUAGCCCCCCUGACCAAUUGAGGCAAGUCCGAAAAUCUAUUAAACACAUGUCUUGCGCUAGAGUCUGCACCAAAAUUUGCCAGACGAUCUGCCGGUGCGUUUGUCUCCCUGUAGCAGUGUGUGAUCGAUUGGAAAUACUGCUUGAACAUCAUCAACUCAUCCAGAUCUCUCUGCAGACGCCAAGGACAAGCACUAGUUCCUUGAACAAUCUGAACCAGGGUGAGAGAGUCCGCCUCUAAGUUUAACUCCAAGCACCCUCGAGCCACACAAAGUCUAACGCCCCAUAGCAAAGCUCGAAGUUCCGCCUGCAUGCUGGUUAUGACUCUGAAGUGCUCCGCGUAGCCGAACAAAAAAUUUCCUCGACUAUCCCGCACAAGCCCACCCCCCACUCCUUCCUGGGUUCCCUCGAGAGCAUCCAUCUGAAUUCAACUUAUAUCCUUCUCGCGGAAUUACCCAGUAAACUAUUUUAAUAACCAUCCGCCUUUGAUGACUACCCAACUCGCGAAGCAUCCCUUCCCAUGUGAGGGCAGAACACUGUACCUCCGGGAACCGUGACUAAAGGAAAUCAUGCUGAAGUUGGAUAAUCCGAUUCACCGUAACCCCGACCCUUAUCUUCCGACCUUUAAACACACCCUCAUUCCUAGCCUUCCACAAACCCAGCAUACCACCAAAAGAAGUAUAUUAUGCACAAAUUUUACAUAAAUAUUAGUCCCCCUCCUUAACCAGCAAGACCACACCAUGUGACACACUGUAUGUACCCCACUAAACUCACCAGCAGUAUUCUCGAAAUGACGUCAGACCAAUCGUGCCCCCUCGCCUGAGCAAAACACAUGAUUCAAGUCCUCCUCCUGGGGGUUCUGAUAACACCAGCAUCUAGACGAGCCAGAAACCCCAAAUCUCUGUAGGCGAUCCAUAAGAGGAAGCCUCCCCUGUAGUAAUCUCAGCAUAAAUAAAGAAACCUUGGCUGGAAGACCCUGCUGCCAUAUAUGGCCAAAGAGCCAAGAGCUGUUACCGAAAUGACGGAUCAGUGAGUAAGCCGAUGCAGUGGAAAAGAUGCCCGAGUUCGUAAGCGCCCACACCAUUCUAUCAUUGCCCCUACCAGGAGGAGGGUCAAGCUCCAAAACCUGCUUGACCAAUUUUCCAUCCAAGAAUUGACGGAGCAUUUCCACAUUCCAGGCCCUCCGAUCGACAAAAUCAGCCACCGAAUAAUCAUGGAAGACAGAGACCUUGUCGCAAAGUGCACCUGACCCCAUCCAAUUGUCAAAAUUCAAUGCACCCUCACGAAUUACCCAGGUAAUAUUGUCCUCCCCAAAACGCUGUAUCAUGACCAUCCUCCGCCAAGCCUGGGAUCCCCGAUGCUCAAUAUUAGCAAAACAAGGGUGUUGUCCUGCGCAGUACUUCUGGCACAUAAAUGCUGCCCAUAGUGAUUGUUGUUGUCGAAAUUUCCACCAGAGUUUAAUGGAAAAUGAGUCGUAGACCUGCUUCAACCCCUGCAGACUCACUCCCCCUUCAUCCCUCGGCCGACACAAAUCUGCCCAACGCAUCCAAUGGAACUUGUCCCUCGAAUCAGUAUACCCCCAUAAGAAUUUGGCAAACAAUUUCUCCAGUGCCACCAACAUCCCCUUUGGAGGAGACACGGUUGCCAGCAAAUGAACUGGCAUAGAGGCUAGCACGCUCUGAAUCAAUACCACCUUGCCCCCUGGCGACAAAAUCUGGUUCUUCCAAGAUAGAAUCCGGGUCGCCACUGCAUUGUAUGUAUCCGCAUAGUAAACCUUCUUGCUCCUUCCAGCAUACAAGGGGUAACCAAGGUACCUGAUCGAAAAAGCCCGUCUAUUAUACCCCAGUACUUGGCUAACAACCACUACCCUUUGAGAGGGAGCCCGUGGAUGAGUAAGGAAACAACUCUUCUAAGGGUUGAGCUGCUGACCUGAAGCCACACUAUAAUCUUGUAGAACUCGUUUGAUCAAUCGUAGGGACCACCUGCCCCCACUUGAAAAGAUAAUAACGUCAUUGGCGAAUGCCAAAUGCGUAACUAUAGGACACCGAGGGGGUACUCUAAACGGGGUAAAGCCCCUCUGUGUGGGUAGCACAUUGAGGGCUCGAGACAACACCUCAGCUCUAAUAACGAAUAAGGCCGGUGAAAUAGGAUCUCCUUGCCGUAAACCCCGUGACGACCUGAAAAAGCCAUGCGGACGACCAUUAACCAAUACCGAGAACCACACAUUCCAUAUUAAGCGCCAGAUCAUGUCUAUCCAGGUUUCACUGAACCCGAAAUGCCGCAUCACCUAUAGGAGAAAGGGCCAUGAGACUCUAUCAUAAGCCUUCAUCAUAUCUAACUUGAUGACCACGUUACCACCCCGAUUUGAUUUUCUGAUAUCCGCUACUAUCUCCUGAGCUAACAAGAAAUUACUGUAAUCUGCCUCCCUUGGACAAACCCGCUUUGCCGUGGAGAUAUAAUCUGGGGUAAUAUCGUCGCCAACCUUUUCGAUAACAGCUUGGAGAUGAUUUUGUUAGUAAAGUUGCACAGACUGAUUGGCCGAAACUGCGUGAAAUCUUGAAGAUUCUCCACCUUGGGCAACAACACAAUCGAGGUAGCCGUGAUACUCCUAGGUAGCUCAGCCCCGCAGAAAAAGCUGAUGAUCGCUCGAUAUAUAUCCGAUGCCACCACCUCCCAAGCAAAGGUAAAGAAUUUCCCUGUAAACCCGUCCGGGCCUGCUGCGCUCUCCCCAUCCAUAGCAAAGACUAUGUUUUUAACUUCUGUAAGAGAUGGAACGUUCGUUAACCGUGAGUUCUCCUGUUCCGUUACCAAUUUCGGUAUUACCUCCAGACCGGUAUGGGAGGGUAGGCCUCCCUCUGUCGUGAACAGCUCCUGAAAGAAUCCCACCCCUGCCUCCCCAAUCUGGGACUCCCCUUCGAUCCACUCUCUAGCGGCACCCCUAACUCGAUGAAUCACCACCCUACGUCUCUUUUCCGUAACCAAAGAGUGGAAGUAUUUGGUGUUCCUAUCUCCAUCCAAAAGCCACUUAACUCGCGCCUUUUGUUUCCAAAAACCUUCCUCAACUACAAGCACACGUCUCAACCGAGCCCAAGCAUGAUGUAACUCGCUCCACCGUUGCUCUGUCGAAUCCAGGUCGUACCCCGUCUCAGCCUCGACUACCACAUGCUCUGCACUACGGGCCCCCUCAAAAAUAUCCCCGAAUGUCGUCCUAGACCAUUAAAAAAUAUGUAAAAAUAUGUCGUCCUAUCCCCGGAAUCAAUUUUGACAUAUAUAAAAAUAUGUAGAAAGAGGAGGAGAAUAAAUAUUCAACAAAUUCUCAAUAAUAUAUUAGAGUAAAUCUUAUAUACACUAAUAAUAUAUACACUAUCACCGUUGAAUUCAUAAUAUGUGUGCAAAAUUCAAAUUCAAAUUUCGCAUACUUAUUAUUCACCCUAUUCAAUUCUUUUUUUCUUCUCUUCUGGAGAAAUAAUCUCGAUUAAUCAAUUUGGCAUUUAUCUGUUUUGAGCCACUCGUGGGUAGUAGAUUCAUAAGGUGCUGUCAUGCAACCUAAAAAAAAAAAAAAAGAUGUUGUAGUGUAACAUGAGAUGAAGAGAGAAAUGUUGCUGCCAUACUGUUGGUGCCACCGAUGAAAUCCUCCAUCAAUACAUAUUUUUAUAGGCAAAUUACACUUUACCCUCCUGUGGUUUAGUAUUUUUAUAUAUAAGUCUCAUAUAAUUUCAAAAAGUAUACAUAAUCCUUCAUGGUUUGAAUUAAAGUGUCAAAGUGACGAAAUUUGCAAUCCAUAAUGAAAUCACCUAGAAUAUAAAAAAUACCCCUAUGUAAAGUUAAAAAUUAUUUUUUAACCAUAAGGGGAUUUUGUGUAUAUUUUAAAAAUCAAAAGGGGGUUAUAUGGUAAAAUAUUAAACCAUAAAGAGAUUAUAUGGUAAAAUAUAAAAUUAUACGGGAUUAGUGUGUCGUGUAUAUUAUGUUUAUAUAUUUUGAUCACUUCAAAAUACGGAAAUAAUGAAAUAUAUGUUAAAUAUUUAGUGAUAAAAAUAGUAUUCUUGUUAAGGAGCAAAUCAUAAUAAAAAAUAAAUAACUGAUUCAAAAUAAGUAGAAUGCAACUAAAAGAAACAUGAUAUAUUUUGUAUAUAAAAGAAGCAGUAAAAAUAUUUUCAAUGACAUUAAAAAGUAAGUUUAAUCCUAUUGGAAACAGUUAGAUAUUAUGGAUUUAAAACUAAAUUUGUCAAUAGUUAGUGGGAGUUAAAACGGCAAAAUCAUAAGAACUUUAAAAUUUUCUGACAUUGAGUUCAUAACUCUAAAAUUUAAUAUCAUAAAGCAACGAAACAAAAAUAAAUCAUAAGAACUUUGGCUCCAACUCUCAAUCAAAUUGUUACGCCUUGUAGGGGUGAGCAUCGAAUUCGAAGUCGGUAAUUCGGUAGGUUGAAAUCGGUAAUUUUCGGUAAGUGGUUCUGGAAAUAUUCGACCUAAUUCGCAUUCGAAAUAGGAAAUAUCGAAUUCGAAUUCAAUCCGAAUUGAAUUCGGUAAACGAAAAUUUACCGAUUUAAUCGAAUUCGUGAAAACUGCUUCUUAGGGCAUCGAACCAGUUGGAUGGAUCUGUUAACUACUUUGGAGAUUAUGACUGUGAUAUCAUGUGCAGCAAGAAGAAGAGGUGCAGACACUCCUAUGAUCUGAAUUGCUCUGCUCUGCAAUUUAACAGCAGCGGCAAUGGAUUUUGUAGCAACUCAUGGGACAGACUGCAAUGUUUUUCACUCUGGAUUGGCGUACCCCUUUGGGUUGCAGGAGAUUGCAGAGCAAUUCAGAGACCAUUCCCUGCUGGUCUUGAGGAUUGUCCCAAACUGGAGGAGAUCCAAAUCAAGGUUGAAGGAGAUUGCAGGGAAUGGUCAAAACAUGCACAGUACCCCUUUGGGUUGAGCACUCCGGUGUAGUAUCCUCGCUUAACCAAGAUGCAUUUGGAUUGUGGAGACACCAUAGGUUAUGCACAGACUGCACUGUCUGGGCAGAUGGAUUUGAGCCAAUGGGAACGAUUUUACCUGAUGGGAACGAAUACUAAUUUAGGGCAAAAGUCUGAAAUUGGAACAUCUGGACAUAAGGAUAUUAUUUCCUAUUUAACUUAAUUCGGAAUUUCGAAAUUGAAAACGGUAAUAAUUUACCAUUUUACCGAAAUAAAUUCGAAUUCGGUAAAUCCGAAUUCAAAAACUAUAAAACCAUUUUCGACCCUAAUUCGAUUCUAAUUAAUUCGAUAUCACCGAUUUACCGAUCGAAUUACCUAAUUACCGAAUUCGAAUUACCAAAUUCAAAUCGAAUUUGGUCGGUAAUUCGGUAAUUACCGUAAUUGCUCACCCCUAACGCCUUGUACUAAAACUACAAAAGUAAAAAUUGUUGGGGCUAUGAUACUAAUGAUGAUAGCUUUUGUCACUGGAUUGUGCAUUGUGCUGCAAAUCUUGAUAUUAUUGUUACUCUUAUAUCACCGUGAACUUUCUCUUGAGUAGCCCAAGAAACAGCACCUGUAUAUAGGGGUGAGCAUCGAAUUCGAAGUCGGUAAUUCGGUAGGUUGAAAUCGGUAAUUUUCGGUAAGUGGUUCUGGAAAUAUUCGACCUAAUUCGCAUUCGAAAUAGGAAAUAUCGAAUUCGAAUUCAAUCCGAAUUGAAUUCGGUAAACGAAAAUUUACCGAUUUAAUCGAAUUCGUGAAAACUGCUUCUUAGGGCAUCGAACCAGUUGGAUGGAUCUGUUAACUACUUUGGAGAUUAUGACUGUGAUAUCAUGUGCAGCAAGAAGAAGAGGUGCAGACACUCCUAUGAUCUGAAUUGCUCUGCUCUGCAAUUUAACAGCAGCGGCAAUGGAUUUUGUAGCAACUCAUGGGACAGACUGCAAUGUUUUUCACUCUGGAUUGGCGUACCCCUUUGGGUUGCAGGAGAUUGCAGAGCAAUUCAGAGACCAUUCCCUGCUGGUCUUGAGGAUUGUCCCAAACUGGAGGAGAUCCAAAUCAAGGUUGAAGGAGAUUGCAGGGAAUGGUCAAAACAUGCACAGUACCCCUUUGGGUUGAGCACUCCGGUGUAGUAUCCUCGCUUAACCAAGAUGCAUUUGGAUUGUGGAGACACCAUAGGUUAUGCACAGACUGCACUGUCUGGGCAGAUGGAUUUGAGCCAAUGGGAACGAUUUUACCUGAUGGGAACGAAUACUAAUUUAGGGCAAAAGUCUGAAAUUGGAACAUCUGGACAUAAGGAUAUUAUUUCCUAUUUAACUUAAUUCGGAAUUUCGAAAUUGAAAACGGUAAUAAUUUACCAUUUUACCGAAAUAAAUUCGAAUUCGGUAAAUCCGAAUUCAAAAACUAUAAAACCAUUUUCGACCCUAAUUCGAUUCUAAUUAAUUCGAUAUCACCGAUUUACCGAUCGAAUUACCUAAUUACCGAAUUCGAAUUACCAAAUUCAAAUCGAAUUUGGUCGGUAAUUCGGUAAUUACCGUAAUUGCUCACCCCUAACGCCUUGUACUAAAACUACAAAAGUAAAAAUUGUUGGGGCUAUGAUACUAAUGAUGAUAGCUUUUGUCACUGGAUUGUGCAUUGUGCUGCAAAUCUUGAUAUUAUUGUUACUCUUAUAUCACCGUGAACUUUCUCUUGAGUAGCCCAAGAAACAGCACCUGUAUAUAGGGGUGAGCAUCGAAUUCGAAGUCGGUAAUUCGGUAGGUUGAAAUCGGUAAUUUUCGGUAAGUGGUUCUGGAAAUAUUCGACCUAAUUCGCAUUCGAAAUAGGAAAUAUCGAAUUCGAAUUCAAUCCGAAUUGAAUUCGGUAAACGAAAAUUUACCGAUUUAAUCGAAUUCGUGAAAACUGCUUCUUAGGGCAUCGAACCAGUUGGAUGGAUCUGUUAACUACUUUGGAGAUUAUGACUGUGAUAUCAUGUGCAGCAAGAAGAAGAGGUGCAGACACUCCUAUGAUCUGAAUUGCUCUGCUCUGCAAUUUAACAGCAGCGGCAAUGGAUUUUGUAGCAACUCAUGGGACAGACUGCAAUGUUUUUCACUCUGGAUUGGCGUACCCCUUUGGGUUGCAGGAGAUUGCAGAGCAAUUCAGAGACCAUUCCCUGCUGGUCUUGAGGAUUGUCCCAAACUGGAGGAGAUCCAAAUCAAGGUUGAAGGAGAUUGCAGGGAAUGGUCAAAACAUGCACAGUACCCCUUUGGGUUGAGCACUCCGGUGUAGUAUCCUCGCUUAACCAAGAUGCAUUUGGAUUGUGGAGACACCAUAGGUUAUGCACAGACUGCACUGUCUGGGCAGAUGGAUUUGAGCCAAUGGGAACGAUUUUACCUGAUGGGAACGAAUACUAAUUUAGGGCAAAAGUCUGAAAUUGGAACAUCUGGACAUAAGGAUAUUAUUUCCUAUUUAACUUAAUUCGGAAUUUCGAAAUUGAAAACGGUAAUAAUUUACCAUUUUACCGAAAUAAAUUCGAAUUCGGUAAAUCCGAAUUCAAAAACUAUAAAACCAUUUUCGACCCUAAUUCGAUUCUAAUUAAUUCGAUAUCACCGAUUUACCGAUCGAAUUACCUAAUUACCGAAUUCGAAUUACCAAAUUCAAAUCGAAUUUGGUCGGUAAUUCGGUAAUUACCGUAAUUGCUCACCCCUAACGCCUUGUACUAAAACUACAAAAGUAAAAAUUGUUGGGGCUAUGAUACUAAUGAUGAUAGCUUUUGUCACUGGAUUGUGCAUUGUGCUGCAAAUCUUGAUAUUAUUGUUACUCUUAUAUCACCGUGAACUUUCUCUUGAGUAGCCCAAGAAACAGCACCUGUAUAUAGGGGUGAGCAUCGAAUUCGAAGUCGGUAAUUCGGUAGGUUGAAAUCGGUAAUUUUCGGUAAGUGGUUCUGGAAAUAUUCGACCUAAUUCGCAUUCGAAAUAGGAAAUAUCGAAUUCGAAUUCAAUCCGAAUUGAAUUCGGUAAACGAAAAUUUACCGAUUUAAUCGAAUUCGUGAAAACUGCUUCUUAGGGCAUCGAACCAGUUGGAUGGAUCUGUUAACUACUUUGGAGAUUAUGACUGUGAUAUCAUGUGCAGCAAGAAGAAGAGGUGCAGACACUCCUAUGAUCUGAAUUGCUCUGCUCUGCAAUUUAACAGCAGCGGCAAUGGAUUUUGUAGCAACUCAUGGGACAGACUGCAAUGUUUUUCACUCUGGAUUGGCGUACCCCUUUGGGUUGCAGGAGAUUGCAGAGCAAUUCAGAGACCAUUCCCUGCUGGUCUUGAGGAUUGUCCCAAACUGGAGGAGAUCCAAAUCAAGGUUGAAGGAGAUUGCAGGGAAUGGUCAAAACAUGCACAGUACCCCUUUGGGUUGAGCACUCCGGUGUAGUAUCCUCGCUUAACCAAGAUGCAUUUGGAUUGUGGAGACACCAUAGGUUAUGCACAGACUGCACUGUCUGAGCAGAUGGAUUUGAGCCAAUGGGAACGAUUUUACCUGAUGGGAACGAAUACUAAUUUAGGGCAAAAGUCUGAAAUUGGAACAUCUGGACAUAAGGAUAUUAUUUCCUAUUUAACUUAAUUCGGAAUUUCGAAAUUGAAAACGGUAAUAAUUUACCAUUUUACCGAAAUAAAUUCGAAUUCGGUAAAUCCGAAUUCAAAAACUAUAAAACCAUUUUCGACCCUAAUUCGAUUCUAAUUAAUUCGAUAUCACCGAUUUACCGAUCGAAUUACCUAAUUACCGAAUUCGAAUUACCAAAUUCAAAUCGAAUUUGGUCGGUAAUUCGGUAAUUACCGUAAUUGCUCACCCCUACCUGUAUAACUACAUUUUGAAAUACGGGAAGCUGGCUGUUUUUGGUAUAUAGGUCCAUUUAAAUUCUGGAUUCAAGAUUUGACCCAAGUAGAUUUGUUGUGGUUAAAAAAAAAAAAAAAAAAGAGGAUUCGUGGUGGUAGUAAAUUUCACCUGAACUAGCACUUGUAUUUUUUUUUUUUUUUGGUAAAAAAGCCUCCUAAACGGAGAAAUAAUCCACGUACUUGGAGGCUUUGAGCGUUUGAGCUAUGAAAUCCAUUUGGGCACCAUCUCAGUUCAUCCUUUUAUUCACCCUAUUCGAUUCUUUUUUUUUUUUCUGGAGAAAUAAUCUUGAUUGAUCAAUUGGGCAUUUAUCUAUUUUGAGUCAAUCGUGUUCAGAAGGUGCUCUCAUGCAACCUAAAUAAUUUUUUUUUUUUUGCAUCUUGAGAUAAAGAGAAAGAAAUGCUACUGCAAUAGUGUUGGUGCCACUGAUGAAAUCAUCCAUCAAUACAUACACUUAUAGGUGAAAGUCAAUUAAUUUUUUAUGGGAGUUCCAAAAUUUGAAUGUGAGUUUAAAAAAUUGUCAAGUUGUCGAUACCGAUGUUACCUAAAAUGUGUUGUGAAUGAAAUUGUCAAACUUCCAUCAAUGUGAUCACAACCUUAUUUGGUAAUAAAAAGGCAAUAACCUAUGUAUGCAUGGAAAGACCAAUGUUCCUCAAGUUCGUCCACAAUGUGUUAUUCGUAACUUAAUUGUUGUUCAUGAUGGUAUAUAAGUUAAAUAAUAAAUUCUCCCAUCUCCUAUCCGUUUUUUAAAUUUUACACUUCUUCCUUGUUUCGGGGAGAGGGGAACUAAUGAGAUUGUCUCCAAUUAUUGAUACUUCAUGGCCUCUGGUGUUCAUGAUGGUGUAUAAGUCAACUAAUAAACUUCCCUAUCUCCUCUCCGUUUUUAAAAUUUACACUUCUUCCUUGUUCCCCCGGGUCAUCCCCAAUUAUUGAUACUUCAUAGCCUUUGGGCACAAAGAGGCUACUCCACAUUUGGAGCCCCCAUGAGGCCUUACUCUUGCAAAAUUUUCAUUCAGUUUUUAUGGACUAAAAAUCUUAAUUGGGUCUGAGUCCUAAUUGUGUCUGCCCAACAGUGGCCCCAUUGUCCUUCUGCUGUGAAUGCCUCAUCUUUUAUUUUUUAUUUUUUUUGGUACAAAAUGCCUCAUCUCUUGCAGCUACAUCAACAUUUCCUGUUACCCAAUUUGUGAGUUGAGAAUUCUGACGACAUCCUCAUCUAAAUCUAUUGUGGUAGUCGUGGUUCCUGGACACUGGAUUUGGGGCCUUAUAAGUUCUAACUCAAAUUGGUUGUGUGAAUCUAACCACAUCGAGUGCAAAUUAAUAUAAUUUGGGUGCAAUCGAGAUUUUUGUACAAAUUUUGUUGUCUAAACUACAAAUUCAAGUUUUAGAUCAAAUUUAUGCUAAUUUACAUCAAAUGUGAGAAUUUCAAAAACAAUUUGAAUUGAAUAAAACUCAACUUUUGAGGUCUCGAAUCCUUGAAUACUUCCCUUUUGUAGUGCUUAUCAACUAAUUUAUUGAUUGUUUGAAAAACCAACUCCUCCAAUAUCUUUGUGCUUUUUUUUUUGGGGCAAAUUUCACGUUACCCCCCUGUGAUUUAGCAUUGUUUUACAUAACCCCCCCUAUGGUUUCAAAAUCUAUAUAUAACCCCCUUAUAGUUUAGAUUAAAGUGUCAAAGUGACGGGAAUGAUCAUUUGUAACGGAGCCAUCUAAAAUAUCAAAAAUACCCUUAUGUAAAGUUGAAAAUUAUUUAUUAACCAAGGGGGGUUAUGUGUAUAUUUUGAAAAUCAUAAGGGGGUUAUAUGAUAAAGUAUUAAACCAUAAGGGGGUUAUAUGGUAAAAUAUACAAAUCAUACGGGAUUAGUGUGUCAUGUGUUUAUAAGGGUAAUUUCGACAUUUUUAGAAGUUUCGUUACAAAUAACUAUUUCCGUCACUUUGACACUUUAAUCCAAACCAUGAAGGGGUUAUGUAUAGCUUUUGAAACCAUAGGGAGGUUAUGUGAAAAAUGCUAAACCACAGGGGGUAAAAUGUAAUUUGUCCUUUUUUUUUGGUUCCUUGCAAUACAAAUAAAACCCCCCUACAAACGCAAUUUUUUUUAAUGUUCCGCUGCAAAAAUACAAAAGUUCCUCCACUUUUAUUUUCUUCAUUAUUUUGUUAAUCUGGAUAUAAUGUAAAUUAUGUAGCAGUUCUUCAAGCCAAUCUUUUAGAUGCCAAGUCGAAAGGAUUAAAUUUAACUGCCAUUCCGAUGCAAAUUACAAAAAAACCACUGCAACGAAUAACGGGGAAACUAGGAGCUCCUCAAGUUUUCAAACAUAUAGCUGGGAAUUAGACCCAAAGACCGGCCAACCACACUGUUAUUUUUUCACCCCUAAAAUGGAGUCUAUUUAUAUAUACAAAAAGAAAACAUCAGACUGUAUAUUUUCAAGUCCAAUCCAAAGCAUAAUAAAAACCCAAGUUGUUGGAUGAAAGUGGGAGAGAGCAGCAAGUUCUUAUAGUAAGAAAAGAAUCAAAUUUUUUAUUAAGUUACCAUUGAAUUAUAACACAACUAGUCCUCGGCUUCGGUCAAAUCCUGACGAUAUCGUUUAUAUAGACGUAGAGGGUGAGUUACGAAAUAGUCAGCUUCGCUAUGCUUAAAUCUAGUUGUAUAGAAACAUUUCCUGUCCUCGUAUUUUCGCAAAAAGGUGAACCAUAUGACAUGGCCAAGCCAAGCAGCGAGGGCAAACGGCACGAUCAUGACAGCCAAAUUUGGUAGCACUGCGUACAAGCCAGUGAGAAAUGCUAUCAUCAUUGACAUCACAGCCGCAAAAAUUCGUUCCCGAGUUACCCGGACAAUAAACAACUUAAGCCGGUAGUUUUUUGUCUGAAAGAGCCUGAUAAGUCCAAGCACUGCAUCUAUGGAGGUAAACAUUGCCAAGGAAUCUGAAAUAACAAAUGUAAUAAAAGCUGCUUUCUUGCUUAGAACUGCCAUGCCUUUUGUGCGGACCGUCACUGUAGUACCCACCUGGAAUUGUAAAACCAGCUGCAAAAGUGACUGUUGCGAUCAGUGUAGCCACAAUCGAAUAAUUCGCAGCUAGUUUUUCCACUUUUUUUACUUCAUCAGGAUUAGAUACUCGUAAGUUCUUCUUUACGGUGGCAACAUUUCGGUACCCUCGAGUGCCACCCGCUUGCUCCAAAAACGAAUUGAGAAACAAAAUUGUAACAAUGAGGUCGCUGCUGAUUUUAUUGGACCGCUAAAAUAUGAAGCGACUCUUCCAACACUACUUGCACGUGAUAGAUAAGGAUGUUAGAUAAUAUGCAAAACCAUCAUUGAUUUGUCCGGUUGAAAGCAUCAUGUUUUCAAAUUUUGUAUGGACUAAAAUGUUCGUGUUAAACAGUGAAUCUAAUAGUGGGAAGAAUUUUUAAAGGUUAGACGAGGAAAGUUAAACAAAGUAAGUAGAUAAUAUUGAUCAUAAAUCAAAAUAGAAAGUUUGCAUUCAAAGCAGACAUGAUGUGUGUGUGUGUUGGGGGGGGGGGGGGGGAGGGGACAGUUCAAGAAGAGAAUAGAGAAAUUAGUUUUGAAAUUUAAAACGAAAACAGCACUACUUUUCCUUGAAUUAGUUUUGAAAUUUAAAACGAAAACAGCACUUAUUUUUCUUCUUCUUUUCUUUUUCAUAAACCAUACUGUGUUCUUCUUGGUUUAUAAAGAGCCAUGCAGCAACUGCAUUUAUACAUUGGUGAGUUCGUGUUCAAUUGUUGUAUUUUCUAUAGGAUUUAAUGUAGUAUAUUUUUUAAAAAUGUCUAGUGUAUUUAUGAAUGGAAUUAACACUUUUUAAAGAAAAACUAAAAUUAAGACUUAACAAUAAUAUGAUGUAAGUGUGCAUCACAAUAUUUUCUACAUAAAUUGAAAGAAUUCUAGGAGCAUCACAGACACACGGCCUAAGAAAUUAAAAAUGAGUGUCUGAAAAAUGGGGGUAAAGAUCCCUCAAAUUUAAGUAUAAGCAAAUAUAGUAACGAUGGACUUGAGAGAAUUAGUGGCUAAGAAUAUUCAUAACUCACAAAAUCAAGUUUCUUAUUUUUCCAAAAGUAAAAUCUUGUAAGUCAAGUAUCCAUACAUGAAAAUUUGACAGAACUUUUUAAUAGUCAAUGUGACCAUGCAAAGGAGCGGAAAAAAAAAUUCAUCUUAUACCUGUCUUUGUGAAAGUUCAUCUGCCCGUAAUAUUCUGUCUAAAGGCGUGGAGUUCGAAUAGUCAAAAGAAUUGACAUCGACAGAAUGGUGUUUGACAAGGCUACUCCCAUCUAAGUUUUUGGUAGCAACAUAGAGGUGGAGAGGGGUAUUUCCUGUAUUAUCCCUUUGAUUGAUGAGUUCAGAAGCCCAAGAAUUUUUCAGGACGAAUUCAAGCACUUCUCUUUGUUCAUAUUUUACUGCAAGGUGAAGGAUAUUCUGACGUCUAUUAGUAUAUAUCUCCCAACAAUCUGGGCAAUGGGAUAACAGCUCUUGCACCACAGCAACAUGUCCAUGAAUGACCGCUAUAUGUAGAGCAGUCUUGGAGUCGUCAUUGCGGGCAGCAACAUAAGCCGUAGACCUCUCAGCAGAUAAUAAUAGCCUUACCACAUCUUCAUGAUUGAGUUUAGCAGGAUGAUUGAGUUUAGCAGCAUAGUGAAGUGCAGUCCAUCCAAAUUUAUCCACCUUUUUGAUAAGAUUAGGCAGCUUUUCCAAAAUCAGCUCCACGAGUUCUGCAAUCAGCAGAUAUUUAGUUAAAGAUACUGUAGUUCAUUAAACCAUAAGAAUCAAUUACAACAACUGAGAUAUACUCGAGUGAAACUUCAAAUUGUCAUUUUAGGAUUAGUUAUUAAUGAUUAGUAGAUAGGAAUGGCAAGGGAUAGGAAAAAACCAGAUUAUAAAAUAGUGUGUGUAUAUGUGUGUGUAUACAUAUAUAUUCUAUCAAGUUUCAAUCUUAAAAGCCAUUAGCACAUAACACUAACACAAAUAAUAACCUUCCAUGAAAUGUCCUACUUUGCUAUUGAAUUUAGAGAUUUCAUUACUGUUCCUAUUUCUUUGGUUGCACCUGACUCUGCUUUUAGUACCAGGGAAAGUGUGGUCAGCUUAUAAGGAAUUAGGAUUCAACCAAACACAUUGAAAGCUUUAAUGUGAUCAGCAAACCAAUUGUGGAAUCCAAUUGGAGGUAGAGUACAUUCAUACCUUCUACUUUCCUUAUUUUUAGUUUUACUUAUUCAAGUGUUUGAUUAGAUAAUUAUUCUUUUCUCUUCAUAUUUCUUAUUCUCAUAUCUAAUGCUUAAGAGGAGUCAAAAGUGAAAUGAUUGAAGUUUAUUUCCAUUGAAGAUGAUAGAUUAAAUCAUAAGAAAGAAUAUACCAUUUCAUGAUCGGGAGUCAAAAGAAAGAAUGUACCAAUUUAUCUUAUAAAAGGGAUUCUUGUAGCAUUUAGUUCCUAUUUCAUUUUGACCAUUUGAGCAUGAUCUUUGGAGUGAUAUUUCUUUUUGCUAUAUUAUAUGUGAUAGGAUUGUUAACCACAAGCUCAGUGGCCAUCACCAAAGCUUUAAGGCUUGGUCAGACGUUCAACGCUGCUUUCUACCAUUUGCCAAAAAAUAUGUGAUAGGAUUGUUAAACUUUGAGUUUAUCCCCUGUUGUUACUCUGAUGGGGUGUUUUGAUUUUGAUGUAUUAAAAUUUUAAAUUAACAAAAUCAGUUUCUAGAUUUUUCAACUAUUUAGAUGCAUGUAUUUUCAUGAUUGAUUUGACGAGUUUAAGUAGUGCUAAAUGCUACCCCAUGGUUUAAUCCAAUCCCAUGAGCAAGUAGUUUUUAGUAACAGGAAUUAAGCUCGUAGAGUUACUUAAUAUAGUUUAGCAAGGGACUUACCUAAAUGGGCAGUAGAGUUACUUAAUAUAGUUUAGUAGAGUUAAUAUAGUUCGGUAAGGGACUUAUCUAAAUGGGUAAGAGUUUAGUAAAAAAGAAAUCAGAGGAUAUCGUAUCCGCUACCAUUAGGGAUGGCAACGGGGCGGGGUUGGGGCGGGGGACCCCUCCCCCAUCCCCCGCCCCGCUACCUACAAACUCCCCCCGCCCCCGCCCCGUCCCCCGCCUCCCACUCCCCCCGCCCCGCCCCGCUUCCCCCGCGGGGGCACCCGCGGGGUUAAUAAAAUUUUCCCCGCGGGGCUAAUAAAAUUUUAUUAUAAUUAAAUUUUAAUAAAUAAUCAAGUACUAAAAUAUCAACACAUCAUCAAGUUAUUAUUUAUUUUAAUUUUACAAUUGCAACUCAUAAAAACAAUCAAACAAAAGUUAUUUGAAUACGAUCCAACAUGAUGAAAUAAAUACAACUAAAAUAGUUAAAUUUUAACUUUUGGUACAAAUACAAUCACUAAUUCAUUAUUGUGUUUGUGCUUUUUUUUUUAGAAAAAAGUGUUAUUCUAUUAAGUGUAAUUAGAAAUUUAGUAUAAAUGUAUUAGUAAAUUUAGUAUAACUAAUUAAUAAAUUCUAUUAGUAGACAUGUCUAAUUAUUCGUAUAAUUGAUAAUAUCAAUUAUAUUACAUACACUAAUAUACAUUAUAUAAUACAUCUAACUAAUAAUAUCAUUAUCAUAAGUUUAUAACUAAUUAAAUUACAUAUUAUAUAUAAUUAUAUAUAUAAUUUUUUUUGCGGGUGGCGGGGCGGGGGUAUACUCCCCCGCCCCCCGCCCCGUUUCUAAACGGGGGGAAAAAAGUCCCCCCCGCCCCCGCCCCACCCCCCGCCCCAACCCCCGCCCCGAGAGCCCCCCGCGGGGCGGUUGCCCGCGGGCACCCGCCCCCAUUGCCAUCCCUAGCUACUAUUCCUUCCAAUAGAUAAAUCAUAUACUAAGUCAUUAUGCCAUUUUAGUAUGUUCACUAAAUUUGAUCGUUUGAGAUUAUCGAAAGACCAAAUUUACUAUUGCAUUGAAGUAGUUGGAAUUUUUAAUUCAAAAGAGCAUGUGCCAAUAAUUUACAAAACCGAGCACAUUUUUUUUUCCUGCAAGGCUACAACUUUUAAUUUUUUUUCCUCACAAACUGCUCCAAAAUCCAUUUGUCUCUGUUAUUCUUCUCUUAACUUCAGCAACUCAUAUUUACUUUUUAGUCUAAAUCUCAAUUUUCAAUAAAUUCACCUUAAAAAAAAGCUCAGGUCUUUUUUUUUUAAAAAAAAAAAGAGCUCAUGUCUUAAACUCUAGUAAAUUAACAUUUUUCCUCGUAAAUAUCAGAGUUCUGGCCCCAAGAUUUUUACGGAAAUCUAAAAAGUACACCAUCAAGCAUACAUCUUUCCUCAAUACUCAAUUUCUGGUUCCAUGAUGGUGGAUGUGGUAGAAUAGCAUCCAUAUGUAAAAUUGAAGACAUUUGCAAAUCUCGGCGGGAAAUUUCCUAGUUGUCUCAAUUUUUGAAUGUUUUUGGAUGUGAAUAACUUUUUUCAAUUUCAAAUGCACUUCGAAGGCAUGUAAGUCAUUUGUUCCUUGUUGUUUUCCUUGUUAUUUUUUCCUUGUAAGUCAUUCUCAAAUGGACUUGGGAAAAGUACCUUUUGUUAAUGUUGAAUGUGUUGCUUUCUUUUAAUUGGUCUAAAAAAAGAAAAGCUAAAGUUGGAUGUUAAUCUUUCAAGUAAAAUAUGCUUUAUCCCCCUGUGAUUUAGCACUUUUUCAUAUAAUACCCUAUAGUUUCAAAAGCUAUACGUAACUCUUUCAUGAGUUGGACUAAAAUGUUAAAGUAACGGAAUUUGAAUUCUAUAAUAGAGUUAACUAAAAUGUCAAGAGCACCCCUAUGUAAUAUUGAAAAUUAUUUAUUAACAACAGAGAAAUUAUGUAUAUAUUUUAAAAAUCAUAAGGAGGUUACGUAGUAAAAUAAUAAAUCAUAAAAGAGUAUAUGGUAAAAUGUGGGAUCAUAAGAGGUUAAAGUGUUAUGCAUAUUAUGUUUAUAUAUUUUGAUUAUUUUAACCAUUUUACUUUUUAAAUAAGAGUAAUCUCGACGUAUCUGUAGGUUCAAUUACAAAGGAUCAUUUUCCGUCAUUUUGGUACAUUGAUCCAAAUCAUGAUUGAGUUAUCUAUUGUUUUUGAAACUAAAGAGAGUUAUGUGAAAAAUAGUUGGCAACGGGUACAAACUCCCCCCGCCCCCCCCAUCCCCCGUCCCCCACUCCCCCCGCCCCGUCCCCACCCCGCCCCGCUGAUAGGGUAUAAUUUGUUAGUAAAUUUAUUAUUGAUUUCCCCUUCUAUCCCUGACAAAUAUUGUGUUAAUUGCUGAUAUUUACUCAUAUUUGGUAUUUGGAAUCAAUUUCAGGAGUGAAGCAGAAAAUUACCAAAAAGGAGGGACUUGUAUGGAAAAAUGCAGACUUCUAAGGGCUUCAACCUUUGGGUCCUUGAAUUGGUGGGGACCACAAGCUAGUGCAAGGCAUUUAGUCAUUUGGGCUUUUCAAAGAAAGUAACGUAGAGAGACUUGGAACAACAAGUACUUUGGAGGCUUUGUCCACAUGUGCGGGGACCACGGAUAAGAAGCAUGAGUCAUUUGGACUCUAGGAAAAGAAACGUACAACACUUUGAAUUUGGUGUGGGGACCACUAGAGAUAGCAUUAGACUUCCUUUUGGCUUUAAAAAGGGAGAAACGUACGAGAGGUUUAUGAAUCAAUAGUUUUAGUUUAGGAUUUUAGCAUAGUUUUAGAUUUCUUUUCUUAGCUCUUUCGCAUGGUUGUUCUCCAUUAAUGGAGGACUAACCUCUUAAUUCUAGUCAAGGGGACAACUGAAGACUUGGUUCAACAAUUACUGUGAGAUCGAAUUUAUUUUAAUUGUUUCCUCCAUUUAUUGGUAUUCAUAUGUUUCCUACUUUUAACUGUUAUAGCUCGUGUGAGUGAUUGAAUAGAUGCGCAAUAUUUAAUUAUUCACAUAGGCUAUUUUGCUAAAUAGGGAUAAUUGAAUUCGUAAUUGUUCGUUAUCUUUAUCUCAGUAGCAACUGGCGUAAUUGGGUUUGUGUCAGGGGAACAUACGAUCUAACUUAAACAAACCCUCGUAGCGUGUUUGUUAGUUAGGAUUGGGUCUUUCUAAUUCUUAAUGCAAUCUAGAAAUUAAAUCCUACGGUCGUACCUAGGGUUGUUUUUGUGUUAGAGAAAUAGUUAACGGUCGUACCUUAACUAUCGAGAAAGUAAGGAAAGGUUGGUUGUUUAUCGCGUGCAUGGCAACUAUAACUAAUCUAUUAAUAACUGUGAAAUUAUCUGUGAAUCAAUGAUCAGUGCCUGAACCAUUUUUGAAGUGUACCCUUGGCUAGAGUUUCUCCAAUUAUUUCUUUUAAUUAAUUAUUUUCUGCAGUUAAUUUAUUUAGUUAGCAUUCAAUCCAAAACCCCCCAUACUUUGGAUUCUAAAAGAAACGAAUUAUCCCCAGUCCCUGUGGAUUCGACCCUACUCACCGCUAUAUACAAAAUCUGUAUUUUUCUUGAGUAGGUAAUUAUUAUUGCACAGGUUCGGCACCUGUCAAUUUUUGGCGCCGCUGCCGGGGACUGGUGCCAGAUUAAUUUGUUUCUUUUUGAGUUCAUCUUGUUUUUAUUUUUAUUUAUUUAUUUUUCUCUUAUUUUUUUUUAUAUAGUUUAUGGCUUCUAACACUCCGUAUUUUGGUGAUAUACUGGAUUUUGUUUUCGGGGAAGGCAAUGAGACUGAUUGUUUUUCUAAGUUUGCAUAUUUAGAGGCAAUAAACUCUAUUAAAAAAAGAAUGGCUGCUGCAACCUGUGAAAUUUGUUAUGCCAGGGAUCAUUCAACCGGUAUGUGCCCCGAAUAUCAAGAUGAUCUGGGUGUCCCAUUCAAUAAUUAUGGAGAUUUUUCACCCUGGUCUCAAACGUGGUAUAAUCCUAAUUCAAACGGGUAUGAUCAAGGAUGGUGGGAUAACUCCAGUUAUAAUUAUACAACAGGGCCAAUAGAUUUUCAACAGCUAGAGUCUCAAGAACCGUCAUCCAUGUCAGGUAUGUCUCUUGAAGAAAUGGUUGAAUUAAUAGCUACUAACACAUAUCAAAUUCAACAGGAGGUACAUCAACUUCAACAGAAGACACAAAGGAUGAGUAAAGAGAUGAAAGAAGCAAGGCUUGAAUGGGCAUUUAAAACGAGCGAAUUGAUUUCUCCAGUUUAUGAGGAAUUGCCAUCACCGACUAUUAUCGACCAUGAGAAAGAUGAGAGUGCAAUUAUUCUGACAAAUGACAUGGUACUGCAAGAGUCUCAAGAAGAAUUGAAAAGAAAGUUGAAGAGCAAAAAUUGAGACCCUAACAUCAAAUGGUUCAAGUGAAUGAAUCCAGUGAACAAUCUCCAAAUGCGGUGACAUCUCCUCCAUUCCUUGAUCAAUAUUUUCCUGACUCUUAUUCUUUAAUUCCUGUUAGUGAGAUUGAUUUUAUUAUACCAGACGAUUUUGAAUUUCAUGCCAGGAAUAAAUUAAGAGUCAUGAUGGCAAAAUAUCUCGAACUAAUAAGUGCUCUUGAUGGAGGAGUGAGUGAAGAUUUAAGAUCAUCACUUGUUUGUUUGGUGCCAUUUACUAGUCCAUGGAAGACCGUAGCUCGUGUGGUCAAGAAUUACUCUAUUUACGAGGGCUAUCAGGAUUACAUAGAAGAUGAAGCACUGAAGCGAGCUACGCGAUUUUAUCCUCCAUGAAUAAACAGGACAAUGUCUAGCCGAAGACAUUAAAAAAAGGCGCUGCUUGGGAGGCAACCCAAGGUUUUCGUUUUAAUUUUCUUAUGUUUUUGGAAUUUUUGUUAAGUGUUAGUUGCAUUUAGUGAUUUGUUGCUUUUGUGGCAGGAAAUUGGCAGCUAGACGUGCCCACGCCAGGUGGUCAUGCCUGAGGGAAAGAAAUUCUCGUUCAGGAUCUGCAGACUCUAUAGCAGUUAGACGUGCCCACGCCAGGUGGUCACGCCUGAGGGAAAGAAAUUCUCGUUCAGGAUCUGCGGACUCUAUAGCAGUUGAGCGUGCCCACGCCUAAGACAGGAGUCCCUCCCAAAAAAAAAAUAUAAAAAUAAAAAAAAAUUUUCUUUCUUUCUUUUCUUUCCUCCUUCUUCCCCGCUGCCCCUAUUUCCUUUUUCCUUCUUUUCUUCUUUCGGCCGCCGGCCAUUCCACCCAAUUCAUGGACCUCCACCUCCAACAGCUGAGCGCCGCAGCUUCGCCAUUGCCGCACGCCCAGCACCACCGCUGUCCUCCGCCGCCACUGCUGUCGGCCAUCUCCACCAGCGGUCAACCUCCCACUUCACCCGCAGCUCCUCCUCCUUUUUACGACCAUCAAUUGUCCAGCCCCGCCGUCACCACCUGUCAAUUUCUGACAGGUGGAGGUAUUGCCAUUUCUCCCCCAGUUAGUUUAACUCACUGAACUCUGUGUAUGGGCUUCUUGAUGGAGUAAAGAAUGUGAUGAUUCGGCAAUUUCUGGGGUUCAUUUUGGACAGAUUUGGGUCUAAUUGCUACCAUAUGUGGGGAUAUUUUCUGAUAUUUGUUGAAUUGUUGGCCGUCUGACCUUCCGUGUGCACCAGUGGUACUGGUUGCAGUGUUGCUUUCCAUUUCUUAAUCCUCUGUGCUGGACUGCCUAUUCGAUUCUUGAGUUUUGGUGCCUGAACUGUCUCUCGAUUCUUACCAUUAGUUGCUGGAAUUGCUGGUUUCUUGGCCAAAUUGCUAAUUUUGAGCGUUUGACUUGGGUAUUUGACUGUCCAACUGGUGACAUUUGUUGCGUUUCACUCGCUUCAAUCAAUUGAAUUCAUUUGCUCUGUUGGUAUCCCUGUUGGUAUCACUUGAGUUCUAUUUUGCUAGUUUCUGUCUUGCGUCCUUUGAAGUGCCUUUGGUUGGGUAUUUUCUGCAUUUGUUUGUUGAAUUGGAGGGCUACUGUGCCACGUCCAUUACUUAUUGCUGUUGGUGGCGUCUAAUUGACUUGCUGGGAGUACUCUAUCUAUUGAUUUCAAGUACUAAAUUCAUUGGAGCACUUGUUGCGGUUUUGGGAUGCAUUGUUAUUGCAUUUGGCUAAGCAGGGGACCACCCAGGGCUAACGACUAGGUCCAACUCCGAAUGCAAGUUGAGAGACUGGAGACUCGAGUGACCUACAUUGACGUCGACUUGCAUAACAUGGUGCGGAAUUUGGCAGUACCCCGCCCGACCCACCCCUGUUUUGACAACUUCAGGGAAGUACCGUUGCCCUUCUCCUUUCUUUUGCUGUUAGUUUAUCACAUUGGGGGCAAUGUGUGAUUUAGGUGUGGGGGGGUCAGUUUUGGCUGCUAGUAUUUUUAUUUUUAGUUUCUAAAGGUUUUUCCUUUAUUUCUAGUUUGAUAUUUAUCUCCUUUUUCGUUUAUCUUCUUUUCUUUUUUUUUAGUGGUCAGUCUUCAUAUGAAUACCAAGUUUGAUGCUGGAUUGUUGUCUCUAAUUCUGCUAUUGCCAAGUUUACUAAAAAAAGGUAUCGAGUUGAUGCGGUUGAGUUCAGGAACAUCUCUUUGGUGAAUAUCAAUAAUUGCUUGACUUUUCUAAUUUUUAGUUAACUUUUCUAGGCAUAGGGAAUGAUUGUUGGCAUUUUUCUUGUGAAUUGGUCCAGUUAUUAAUUUUAGUUCUCCAUGUCUGGAAAUUUGAGGCUGGCUGCUGUUAUUCUUGUGUUGCUUUUAGGCAUCGUGCUAUAUGGUUGUAAAUAAGAGUUGACUGUACUCCGCUAAUGGUUACUACUGAGUAACCGGGGAUCUUCACCUAAAGUGUUGAUUUUCGCGUCAAAAGGUAGUAGUUGCUAUGAGUGCGUGGUCCCGUAGCAAUUGGAGCUGAGUAACCGGGCUCUUCCAUCUGGCAAAUGUUGGAGUUCGCGUCAAAAGGCUCUAAGGGUUAUAGACUAAGUCUUUUGUUAUUGGUAUAAAAAAAAAAGUGAAUUAAAGAUUGUGUUAGUAUGUGAAUAAGUCAGCUUGCCGGUUUGUGAUCUUAGUGUUGAGAUUUUGGUUAAUAGUUGGACCAUUUACUGAUAAAUGUGAGCAACCAUUCCUUUUUCUUAGAUUAGUUUGCUUUAAAUUGGAAAGUUGGUGGUUGGGAAGCUAACUGGGGGGAUGCUUCUUGGAUUUUAAUUACUAAUGCCCGAUAUAUGGUUCUCUCUUGAAUAUCUUGGCAAUUUGGUAGAUAGAGCAAUGACCAUUAUCAAAUUUUGAUGUCUGUAUACUUUCCCCAUGCUUGAGGGCAAGCAUGAUUCAGGUGUGGGGGGAAUUCAUAGGGUAUAAUUUGUUAGUAAAUUUAUUAUUGAUUUCCCCUUCUAUCCCUGACAAAUAUUGUGUUAAUUGCUGAUAUUUACUCAUAUUUGGUAUUUGGAAUCAAUUUCAGGAGUGAAGCAGAAAAUUACCAAAAAGGAGGGACUUGUAUGGAAAAAUGCAGACUUCUAAGGGCUUCAACCUUUGGGUCCUUGAAUUGGUGGGGACCACAAGCUAGUGCAAGGCAUUUAGUCAUUUGGGCUUUUCAAAGAAAGCAACGUAGAGAGACUUGGAACAACAAGUACUUUGGAGGCUUUGUCCACAUGUGCGGGGACCACGGAUAAGAAGCAUGAGUCAUUUGGACUCUAGGAAAAGAAACGUACAACACUUUGAAUUUGGUGUGGGGACCACUAGAGAUAGCAUUAGACUUCCUUUUGGCUUUAAAAAGGGAGAAACGUACGAGGUUUAUGAAUCAAUAGUUUUAGUUUAGGAUUUUAGCAUAGUUUUAGUUUUCUUUUUUUAGCUCUUUCGCAUGGUUGUUCUCCAUUAAUGGAGGACUAACCUCUUAAUUCUAGUCAAGGGAACAACUGAAGACUUGGUUCAACAAUUACUGUGAGAUCGAAUUUAUUUUAAUUGUUUCCUCCAUUUAUUGGUAUUCAUAUGUUUCCUGCUUUUAACUGUUAUAGCUCGUGUGAGUGAUUGAAUAGAUGCGCAAUAUUUAAUUAUUCACAUAGGCUAUUUUGCUAAAUAGGGAUAAUUGAAUCCGUAAUUGUUCGUUAUCUUUAUCUCAGUAGCAACUGGCGUAAUUGGGUUUAUGUCAGGGGAACAUACGAUCUAACUUAAACAAACCCUCGUAGCGUGUUUGUUAGUUAGGAUUGGGUCUUUCUAAUUCUUAAUGCAAUCUAGAAAUUAAAUCCUACGGUCGUACCUAGGGUUGUUUUUGUGUUAGAGAAAUAGUUAACGGUCGUACCUUAACUAUCGAGAAAGUAAGAAAAGGUUGGUUGUUUAUCGCGUGCAUGGCAACUAUAACUAAUCUAUUAAUAAAUGUGAAAUUAUCUGUGAAUCAAUGAUCAGUGCCUGAACCAUUUUUGAAGUGUACCCUUGGCUAGAGUUUCUCCAAUUAUUUCUUUUAAUUAAUUAUUUUCUGCAGUUAAUUUAUUUAGUUAGCAUUCAAUCCAAAACCCCCCAUACUUUGGAUUCUAAAAGAAACGAAUUAUCCCCAGUCCCUGUGGAUUCGACCCUACUCACCGCUAUAUACAAAAUCUGUAUUUUUCUUGAGUAGGUAAUUAUUAUUGCACAGGUUCGGCACCUGUCAAUUUUUUAUUUCCCCGCGGGACUAAUAAAAAUUUGUUAUAUAAUUUUAUUAUGAUUAAAUUUUAACAAAUAAUCAAGUACUAAAAUAUCAACACAUCAUCAAAUUAUUAUUCAUUAUAAUUUUACAAUUGAAACUUAUAAAAACAAUCAAAUAAAAAUUAUUUAAAUACAAUCCAACAUGAUGAAAUAAAUAUAACUAAAGUAGUCAAGUUUUCACUUUUGGCACAAAUACAAUCACUAAUUCAUUAUUGUGCUUGUGCUUUUUUUAAGAAAAAAAUGUUAUUGUAUUAAGUGUAAUUAGGAAUUUAGUAUAAAUGUAUUAGUAAAUUUAGUAUAAUCAAUUAAUAAUUUGUGUUAGUACACAUAUGUAAUUAUUAGGAUAAUUAAUAAUAUCAAUUAUAUUAUAUAUACUAAUAGACAUUAUAUAAUACAUAUAACUAAUAAUAUCAUUAUCAUAAAUUUGUAACUAAUUAAAUUAUAUAUUAUAUAUAUAAUUAUAUACAUAUAUAUUUUAUAUAUUUAUUUUUUUAAAGUGGGUGGCAGGGAGGGAUGGGGCGGGGGUACACUCCCCCGCCCCCCGCCCCGUUUCUAAGCGGGAGGAAAAAAAUUCCCCCCGCUUCCGCCCCAACCCCCUUCCCAUUAGCCCUCCGCGGGCACCCGCCCCCAUUGCCAUCCCUAGUCUUGAGCCACCCUUUUUUUCCUAUUUUGGAUUUCCUCUAGUCAUUGGUUGGUCGAUUGUUGUCCUUGAAAAUUAUUGAAGAACCCUGAUAAUACACUCUCCAACGUGUGAAGAAAGAAAAACAUCAAAUAAAAAAAAAAGGCUCAAAAGAUUUCCUUUCUUUUGGUGAUUAAAUUCAUUGCUUGAUGCAAAUUAGUAAUGUAAUGUACCUGGUAAAUUCCAUAUUGCUGCAGCGUGAAGGGCGGUUUUGUGACCGGGGCCAAGAUAAGCUGGUGACUUGCAAGUCGUCAAAAUCAGAUCCGCAAUAUCCCGAUAUCCCUUCUCAACAGCGAGAUAUAGAGGAGUCUCCACAGCAUGAUUCGGGCGAUAUCGGAACUCAGGAUCUUCUUGAACCAAAAACUUAGCAACCUCAUAGAAGUUGUUCUUAACUGCCUCGUGUAAAGCUGUGUUUCCUUCCACAUUAGCCAUCCUCAGCAUCCUCUUGCAUCUGUCGACAAAACAGGCGCAAAACCAACAUCCUUUGUUCUGUUUACUGUAAUCAAUAAGUGCUCGAACAAUGCCAGAAUGCCCUUUUCUUGCGGCCAAAUGAAGUGCAGUCUCACCACAAGCACUCUUUGCCAUUAGCAAACAGCAAUUUCGUGCAAGGAUAUGUCGGACAGCAUCUGCAGAAUCACAGGACUGGGCUAAUACGUGAAGGACAGUGUUUCCUUUUGGAGUCUUCAGAGCCAGGAACUUGCCUGAGAAUCUUCUAAUUACAGCCCAAUCACCUAACUGUGCAGCUGCGUACAAUUCAGGAUUCAUUCCUUUUUGUGCAAGUUUACGCAAUUCAGGAUCCAUUGCUUUCUGCAACUGAUUAUCUAGUCAGUAUCAGAACUGGUUGAACCUACUGUCUGUUUUGGAGCUCAAAUAUGCAUGAGAACCAUAGCAGUUAUAGAUUGUGGGGUUUAUGUAAUUUGUUGAGCUACAACAGUUGAGACAGCUCAAAUACGGAAGCCAUUGAUUUGUUAUGUGCUUCGAAAUGAUAACCAGAAGAAGCGGGUUUGAGGGCUGUUUUGACGGACGAAAGGAGAUAGGAGAGGAAGGAGAGGAAGUAUCCAGCAGUUGACAAGAACGAAUAAGAGUAGAAAAAGGUCAUGGAAAUAUCGGUAUUAUAAAUAACGUACAAACUGUUAUCAAACCUUAAAUAAUUCGAAUGCAAAAAUGAGGCCAAGCUGAGCGUCCACCGUUUAAAAUUCUAAGAACCAUUGCGCAUUGGCGCCCGUCUUUUGUAUUUCAAGAUUUCGUUGCUAAUAUUUUGGACAAGGGACAAAAAUUAUGCCGACAUUAUUGACCUUUACAUGUCUGGCCUAAGUGGGUCGAUUUUAGCUGAAACAAGGUGAUCCAGAUUUGGAUCUGGAUAAUAGGCAUAGGCAUGUACGAGAAGAUUUAUGUCAGAAUCCCUCGGAUCUUGUUGAAUCCAGGUGCAAAUUCGAGUUUUGGAGUCAAUUUUGUUGUAUAGAGAUCUUUGCAGUAGUUGUAUUAUCAGUAAUUUAUAAAUCAUAUAUGUGCACACAAAAUGUUUAACGUACAUUUACUUGUCAUGCUUCGUUUGCUAACAAAAGAGGGUAGUAGAGGUUGUUUGGAAUCGAUUAAUGCAUAUUUUUAAUUAUUUUACAUGUUCUACAAAACUUGAAUAUUUAAAUUUCUUUAUUUGAAUGUUUUACAUGCUAACUCAAGAGUUCAGAUGUUCGUUUGUUUGGGGCAUGACAAAAUAUUAGUAUUAGAUGUCACCCGCAAAAUAAUUUCUUUGUAAUCAGUAAGGAUAGGCGUUUUGGCUGUUUUCGUUGGUUAAUGAUUUAGGGCUUUUUGUAGUAUCGUUCUUAGCAUUAUUUUUGUGCCAUUUAAGUUCUUCCCUUAGUCCAUUUUAGUUGUUGCUAAAUAAUUCAAAAAUUUUCCUUGUUUUCAACCAUUGGAAUUUUCAAAGAGAAAAACAAUUAUUUGCUGCUCCAACAUUCAUCUCGUUCUCUCUCUCUCUCUCCCUCCCCCCUUAUUUAACUUCAAUAUUGAUAUCUCUUACAAUUUGUUUUUCUUUUGUAAAAUGUUCACAUUAUUAGUCUCAAUAAAAGUAUAGUGGCCGGUGUGGUUAUUUUUAUUUUUCAUAUUUUAUUAUUUUCAAAUGUCAGAGUCACAAUAUUAUUAUUUUCCAGCAUCUCCAAUAUUAUUAUCUCUCUCUCUUCUUUUUUUUUUUUUUUUAUUGGGUCUAUCCGUUGCAAGAUUUGGAUCAAAUGGAUAUGCUUUUUUCAAUAUAUAGUUUUAGUGGAACUUCUGACAGGAAAACACAGGACAAAGAUACAGAUAUUAGACUUGAACGUGAAAAUUAUAUGUUCAAGUCCGGAACUAGGCAGGGAAAGACUAGUAAGUCCGGAAGUAGUUCUUACAACGACGGACGGAGGGAGGGUGGGCGGGAAUAAAAGGAUCCAAUUGGAAAUGCGAAUUGUUCAAGUCCAGAACCAGGCCGCUGGAUCCGAAGGAUGGGAGUCAGACUAAGAUGUGACCUCCAGGGAAUUUGCAGUAGCAGCUUCGGAUGAGAAAACACCUUUUUCUAGUCCUUGACUUAAUUGCAGUAAAAAACAAACCUUGUAUCCACACUUUUUCAAGUCCUCCGAGUUGUAGACUGGUAGAAGUUCGAAAUCAUUUUUUCAUAAAUGAGAGCCAUGUUUCAGUCAUAUCUGUUUAACCAAGAGAUCAACCCAAUCGGAAAUGGGUCUUGUUCAAGUCCGGAACCAGGCAGAGAAAGACCAGUAAAGUACUUGAGAGGAAUCUUCUCACUUGAGAAAAAAAAAAAGGGUAACAUAUUGACUUGACCUGUAAAGUUCCAUCAUUUUGUGGAGAAAGACCCUUAAGUCGAUGCUAAGAAAUUCAAGUGGAAUAAUUUACCCAUAAACAAAAUGUAAGAGGGUUGGGGGCCUAGCUAUUUUCUAUUCAUUUAUUCCCGCGCCUUUAUCGGAGAGUAGUUGAAUUUUCUACGUUUCUUUUGGAUAUUAUACUUACAAAUGAAAUUCACCGUUAAAUAGUGAAAAAAAAUAUUAUUAAUUUUUAAAUUAAAUAUUUAAAAUUUAAACUAUUUAUCUUUAAUGAGAGAUAUAAGUUAAAAAAAUGAUAUCCAAUAGGAACCAUAGAUUGUUUCUAUGAAUUGUGGAUGAAGGGUGUAAAUUCGGCCUAUCCUUUCACUUUUUUUUUUUCCAGAAACGAUAACGAUUUUAUUCAUCAAAUUAAUGAGAAUAUAAAUUCCAUGAACAGUGCCGACGAUUUUAAAUAGUACAAGCAAUGACAAUAUAAAUUCCAUGAACAUCAGUUGAUGACACGAUUCAAGAAGGUUUUAGGGAAGGUUUUAUUUGGGGGAAGUGGACUGAUAUCAGCUAAAUCAACUGGUACGCCACAGUUGAGAUAUUUUUUUCACUGACGAUUCCUACCAAGACAGAAUACUGACACUCAUGAGGAUUUUCGGGGAGGUUGCAUUUUGUCCCCUCCAAAUUAUAAAAUAGGUACUUUGUCGCAUAUUAAUUAUUUUGGAUAAAAAUGCCAUCAAGAUGUGGUCUUUUUCUGCAAUGAGUCCUCUAUCUCAUUCCCAUUCCGAGUGUCAUUUUUCUAUCCCAGUUUUUAUUAUAUUAUCAUUUAUUUUUCAUAAAUAUCAUAUUUUAGUUUUUUUUAUUUUCUUAAAAUUCAAUAACUAUUAGUUAAGUAAAAACUAAAUACAACAGCCACAAAAAAUAAUAUAUAAUAGAAAAUUUUAAAAAUUGACCAAAAAAUUCAUUAAAAAAUCUCAUUUUUGUGUAUUUUGAUUUUUUGAGUCUGUUAAAUUUUGCAUAUUAUUCAAUUAAUAGUUAUUGGAUAUUAAUGAAACAAAAAAACUCAAAUAUGAUAUUUAUGAAGGAAAAAUAGCAAAUAAUAAAAAGUGGGAUAGAAAAUGACAAAUAGAGUGAGACAGAAGAUUCAUUACAUUUUCCCUCCCCCUAUCAUUUUUCCAUCUAAUAUUCUUUGUUCAUUUUGCUUGCCUAUUCUUAUUCUUUUGUUCCUUGCUUUUCUUUCUUCACAAAAAUUUUCCAAUCUCAAUCAUUUUAUCUUACAUAUUUCCUCGAUUAUACUACUUUUUUUUACCUCAUUUCCCCUGUAUAUGAUUUUUCUUGUUAAUUGGUCGAUGAAAUUGUUAGAUCCUUAAAACUUACAAUUCUUUAAAUUUACAUUUUGGCUCCACAUUCGAGGCACUAUUCCAAUGCAUUUUUUAAUCUUAUUAUUCUUGGUGCUAUACUGCGUACUAUUCCAUAUAUUCUAACUGAGACUAUGGAUGCCAAUUGGGAUGAGUGCCUACAGGGAAUUGAUGGGGUGGAGGAUGGAAGGCGGGGUAGGGUAGGGCAUAGGGUCAUUUUCUUCCCCCAUUAAAAAAUGGGAUGAGGGAUGGGGGAGUAUACCCCCGUUCCGUCACCCGUUUAAUAUAUACAUACAUAUAUAUAUAUCAUAUUUAAUAUUAUUUGUUAUAAAUAUCAUAUUAUGUUUAUGAAAUAUAAUUAAUAUUUUUAGUUAUGCUAAUAAUUAUAUAUUUAUACUAAUACAAAUUAUUGAUUAGUUAUACCAAUAUAUUUAUAUUAAAUUACUAAUUACACUUUUUACUAAUUAUACACAUUUUUCUUGUGAGUAUGAGGUGGGGUAGGAGGAGCAAGGGUGGGGGGUGAGGGAAUGUUUGGGCAACGGGCGGCUCACGCCCUCACCCUGCCUAAUUGCCAUUCCUAGUCAAGACAAUUACCCAAAACUUGUUUGAAUUCCUAAUUGCACAGCCGGAUUGGUGGAGGAAAGCAAGUAAGAUGUGACCUCUGAAACCGAAAGCAUCCUUAAUUUCAUUAUGAAAAAAUAACCUUAGUUAAUGCUGACAAAAUGAAGUGCAACAAUUUACAAAAAAGAAUAAGGAAGAAAGGAUCAUAUGAAGUGUAGAAAACAUUGGGGUACUUUAUGUAAAUCCAUUUCCCUAUCCUUAUCACAGAUUCGUUGAAUGUGCACAAAAUAUACAAUUAUCAUCAAAUGAUCAAGUUGUUUGCAAUUUUUAGUCGAGUACAUCUAAUGCGCCCCACAAAAAAAAAAAUUUAAAAAAAAAGAGUAAGCUCCUGAGGAUAGCACGUCACGAUUACAGUAAUAUUAAAGUGUGACUGAAUAGGUUGACUUUUGUGACUUAAAGAGUCGUUUGGAUAGCUUAUUAUUUACAAAAAAAAUUAUUGAUUGCAUCAUAAAAAUAUUUUUUGAUUAUUUUUUUUACUUUUAAUUACCUUUUAAAUCUCACAUACAUUAUAUUACCAAAAGGUAAUACAAUAUUUUUUAAAAAAACUAUCCCAAAUAAUUUCCAAUCCAACCAUACUAAAUAAACAAGUUGACACUAGCAAAAUAAGUUUCUCUCCAUUAGAUUGUUGAAAAAGGUACUUGAUUGCUCAAAAGUAGAUACUCGUGUUGAUAAUGUUGCAAAACUAAUUAUAUAAACUAUUAAAAGUAGAGAACAAAGAAAGUAGAGUAGAGACCGAGAAAUAGUAAGAGUUAUUUCUAUCAUUCACUUCUAUUAUCAAAGGUUCUAAAUGAGACCUACAAUCCCUCUACUUAUAGGUGAUACAAUAUCAAAGAUAUAUAUAUAUAUAUAUAUAUAUACCAACAUUAAUACAAAUAUAUGAAUUGAGUUGUUCCACAAAUUAGUGAGGUACGAGAAGAUAUUGUUUCAUUAAUUUCAUAACAUUUCAUUUUUUUAAGGUCAAAAAAUAGCAUCUCAUUUCUUUGAUAAAUUGUAUAGCAAAUAAACAAAUGACUUUUAUUUCAUGCACUUAUCACUUCAUUACAUUUUAGCAUUCCUCUAAUCUAAUAUUAAUUUUUCAAAAAUUUAAUACUUGAUUCACUUAACUAGUGGCAAAAAGAUACUCAUUAGACAAUUCCACAAAAGAAUGCUUAAACUAACCUUUUGUAUAAGUUCAUCUAUACGAGUAGCUUUGUUUAUUAUACUACGACUAGUGGUGAUAUAUUAAUUGCGAAAAGGGCCUCUGCAUAGAAAAUAUCAUCGGAAAUUGGAAAUUGAGCUCUAAAGGGAGUUUUCCCUCUAUACUACUCAGCAAACAAGAAAUAUCUCUAACUCAAUGAUUAUGAUGCCCAAAAAGCUAAUCAUUUUUGGUCAGGUAAUGUUAGAAUGGAACACAAUUCUGUUUAAAUUGAAGAUGAAUAAAAAAAUAUUAUUUUAGAAUAAUAUUGUAGCACUUUUGUGAGUUGAUGUAUGCAAAAUAAAAAAUUGGUUGCAAAAAUAAAAAUGAAGAUUGAAAAAUGAGGUUAUAAUGCUAUGAAAAUAUCUUUUUUGUCAAAAACUAACUAUAGAAACAUAUUGAGUGUUUUAUGUUUGAAAUUCUUGAACAGUAAAAACUUACAUAUUGAGAGAAUCGAGUAUUAAGAAUGAUUCUUUGACUAUUUGUUGGGGAAAAAAAGCCAAUCAAAGUUUACAAAAAAAAAAUGCAUGAAUUAUAGUAAGCUGCAUAAACAGUAAACAAAAAUGUUUACACGAUUGAAGACCAUGAAGCCAAAGAUCAAGACCGAUGCCAUCCAUUAAAUACUGCUUCAAGUACUUUAAAAGAUUCAUGUUGAUGGGAAAACUUGUGAUCCUUUUUUUUUCCUCAAAAAAAUAAAAAGUAUUAAGGCCAAACUCUAAUUUCAAAAGAUAUGAUUGAAUCAUUACUCUUUUUUUUUUCGGAGACCACAACUAUUGUAUAAUCUAUCUAUUUUAGACUAGAGGGGAGGGGCAGCCUAAAGAGGCUAUGUUUGAGGCUAGCAGGUACACAGACUUUAUUAGAUCAAGAAAGUGUUUUGACACAACCUUUAAAUUUUUUUUAUUACAGGUAAAAGUUAAACCCUUACCUACAGCUCAAGAAAGAACUUAAAACCUUCCCUGAUGGCCUUGGGUCAGUGGUUGAAACAUUACUCAUUUAUGAAAAAAUAAUUACGAGCUUCCACAACUUGGAAGACUUCAAAAGGUAUGGAUACAGUAAGUCAAGGUUUGUUUUUGGGGAUAAUUUCACAAACCUCCCUUGAGGUUUCUAACACUUGCACUGAGACCCCUCCAUAUUUUAAAAUUUUCACCUAGCUCACUUGUUUUUCACAUUUUGGUAACAAUUCAGUCCAAGUAGGAUUAAAAUAUUCCUGUCAUGACAGAGUUGUUAAUUAUAUUCCAUGAAUACCCUUAAUGGAACUAUAUUAGUACAAGAUUGCUUGUUAAUAACAAGGUAGACAUGAUUAUCAAAGUUGAAGGGGUAUAAAUGCAAUUUAGGAAUAUUUCUUCUGUUACACUGAGACAUCUUCAGUAGGUGACAGGAAUAGGCAAUGGUCUGAUGCAAUCUUCCAACGGCCAAAAAUUUGGAAAAGAUUAAGUGCAUAUAAACAUCUGGAAAGCACAUUUUAUCCUUAAUAGCCAAAAGAUUGUGAGGAGCAUUCACAGAAGGCUAAGCUGAAAACAUUUAGCAGAUUCCAUGGCCUCUUCAAGCCAACCAACAGAAUCCUAGAAUUCACCAACAACUAUCACUAUUAAGAACAGAUAUUGCUACUACAAUCGCAAGCCCACAGUGAAGAUAUCAGAGAGCGAACAGAAUCCGGACAAAUUGUAUUUCUGCUGCUCAAAAUGCACAUAUUUCAAAUGGUAUGAUGGAGGAAGAGAAGAAGAAAUUAAUAGCAGAAGAAGCAACCAAGACACAAACAGGAAAAGGGAUAUUAGUAGAGCUAGAGUGCUUGGCAUUUCAGAAAGGUAAUCUGAUGUUGCCGUGGAACUGCAAAGACAAUUUUCAACUCCAAGUGUCUUAGGAAAUGUGCUGCUCAUCACCAAUAUGCUACUGUUAGCUAUAUUUAUUUUCAUUCAAAUAGUAAAAUCAAUCAGCUUCUGAAUUCAUGUAAAUCUGCUGCAACAUUGUAGCAGCUGUAGUAUGCCUUUUAUGGUGAAAGCCAAAUGAAAGUUAUCCAGCUAUGUCAGUUAGAAUGCUACAUAAACUAAUGUAAAAUCCAUGUAUGCAAUAGUUUACAGUCAUUGUAUGUGGUAAUGAAUAGCACCAGUAUGCUAAUUUGAUCAAUAGUAGCUGAACAAUAGCAGCAGUGACAUUACACAUGCUAAAAUGCAACUUUUCCGGCCAAAAGAACAUAUAACAUUUCCAUCAAUGCAAUCCAGAAUUACAAAACACCAUCUACUAGGACAGUUUCUAGAACAGAUGGUGAGGAUUGCACCACUAAUAUGGUAAAAGAGUGUGAACUCCCAUUAACAAAAUAUUUCAGCAGUCCUAACUUCUGGUACAUUUCCAUAUGGCAGCACCGAAUUCAAAAGAAGCUAAACUAAUCAUUACAUGCUAACUAGUCUGAACUGGCAACUCAAAACCAGUUACUGAAAGUGCUGGUACUGCUAAUGCUAUUAGAGUUUACAUUUAAUGGUGCAUUCAUGCUGACAGAUGUAGCAUUUGCAGAUUUAGAAGUCAAUUGAACUGGCACCUGAGGAUUGGAGUACAUUCUAGUAUUUUUGGUCCUACCAGCACUUCUGAUUGUUGAAGUAGAAGGAUUGUUUGAAGCAGGCCUUCCUCUCUGUAAACAUAAUAGCAUGAAAGUCAAGUUCAAAUAAGCAAAAAUCAGAUUACAGAACUUAUUAUUCUCUUAGACAAACUAUAGUAUACAAGUUUUUACCUUUCUGUUAGAACCUGCAGCAGUAGUUUGACAAUUGUUCUGCACGUUAACACCUCCAUUAUGACCAGUAGGACUAGAAUUGCGCCCUGGACUGGAGUGAACUAUAGGUACUGCUCCUUCUGCAUGAUCCUGUGAAAUGAGAGCACUUGUGAGUCUCUGGAAACCUUUUCACAUAUAUAAUUGCUACAUAUAAGGAAUGAAACAUAAAACUGGCAGCAAAAUACCCAAAGAACAGCUCCUAAUAAGCCUGUGCUGGUCAUUCCUCUGCUUGGUCUACCUCUUCUAUUUGUCAUAUGUGAUAACAACUUCAAAUGAGUAGCACAUAACAAAAAUCAAUGUAAGAUGAUGCAGUUCAGUGAUGAAAUGAGAAACUACCAGUUCAACAGGGGUUUUGUUUGCAGUCGUUUUGCACACAGGUUGUCCUUUGCAGGUCCUUUUAUUAUGACCAAAAGUUCCACAAUGUCCACACUUGAGAGUACUGCUCUUUUUUGGUUGUGAAGAGGAAGCUUUCUCAUCAGCUUCCCUUCUUCGAUUUACUCUUGGUCUACCAGGAGCUCUUCGCAAAGGAGGUGGCAACACAGUUUUUGGGACUAAAUCAGGCAUAGCAGGCCAUUUUUUCACAUCAGGAAUAGGAUGAAUCAUUUUUUAGUAUGCCUUCAAAUACAUGUCCUUUAUGCACCAGGCUUCACAGUAAUGUUCCAAUUUUUCUCUCCUGUACAUAAUUCCUAAUGCUGCAUGUUUACAUGGAAUUCCAGAUAUCUGAAAAGUACCACAAUCACAGAUUCUUUUGCUGAGAUUAACUAUGUAGCUUCUGUCCAAAUCAUCAAUCUCGAAUGUGUCUUCACUAGCCAUAUGUGUCUCACAUUUUCUUGACGCUUGGCUAAUUUGUGUGAGUUUCUCAGCAAUCCUAGGAGUGGUAUUAGCAGUCAAAGUGCAACCUUUCUGGUACCUCUUGUGCAAUUUUUUCAUGAAUUUUCUCCUCAAGCCAUCCACUAAUGUCAGUAUAGACUUUCCUCUAAGAUCACCAACCCAAUUAUUAAAGGAUUCAGUGAAAUUAUUUGUCACAUGAACACACUUAAGUUAAGAUGAGAAGACAUGCCUACACCAGGAACUUCUUGAAAUUUUAUCCAGAUAUCUCCAAGCAGCAAUGUUAAUAUCUUUAAUACUUGCCAUUGCUUCAUUAUAACCAACAAUAUCAUAACUUUUUGCUGUCUUCCAAAAGAAACUUCUAAGUAAUAUUCCUGAAAAUUGAGACUUGAAAUUGCUACAUAUAUACCUACAACAAUGCCUACCAAUUGCAUCAGGAAAUAUCUCCUCAUAAGCAAGAUUCAAUCCCUUCUGCUUAUCACUCAUGAAAGUUAAAGGGAUGUUGUUGUCAAAUGAUCCAAAGAACUCUUCAAAAUAGUAGAAAAAUCACCUCCAAGUAUCUUUGUUCUCGCAUUUAGUUACAGCAAAUGCUAUUAGAAAAAUGUUGUUAUUUGCAUCCAAAGUAACUGCUAAGAGAAGCAUAUCUCCAAAUGGACCCUUCAAGAAACAUCUAUCAAAUUCCACAAAAAACUUACAACUUUCUAGGAAUCCCAACUUUUGAGCUCUAAAGCUAAUGAAUAUUCUCAGAAAUUUAGACUCAACUAACAGAUUUGGCCUAUCAUAAUGUAUUUUACAAAUGCUAUUGGGAUUAUUGUUCCUUAACAGUUCAGCAUAUUUUGGGAGUUUAGAAUAAGAUUCAGCAUGUGUGCCUUCUAUUUCAUUAAAUGCUUUGUUCUUAGCUCUGAAAAUCUGCAUUUUACUUGGCUCCACACCAUACUUUCUCAACUCUGCCUCUACACCUUUGUUGGUCAUAUUAGGAUGAUCUCUCAUGACACCAACCAGCUUCUUGGCCAUCCAAUUAGAAGUGGCUUCAGCACAAUGUUUAUCCAUCACACAAGUGUGCUGUGAUUUGUAACUUUUAAUCUGAAAUGUUAUAUUAUCAGCCACUGGUGAUGCAUGUAUUCUCCACUGGCAUCCCUCAGCAUUGCAUAUAGCAGUCACUCUAGAUCUCUCAUUUUUCAAUCUCAGAAGUGGAAAGCCUUUUUGAAUAACAUAAUCUUUCAAGACAGCUCUAAAUAUAUCCACAUUGGUGAAUAAUUGACCCUUCUCAAAUUCUAUGUCGUCUUUAGGAUUAUAAAUCCACAUCUUUGAUCUCAUUAACUGUCUCAUAGAAUUAUCCCCUUCCUCACGUUCAGAAUUAGGAACCACAAUUUCUGCUUCAUUGUCUUCAAAAUUAGAAAAGUUAGUAUCAUUGUCCUCACUAUCAUCAUUUGAGACCCUAUCCAGAACUAAUUCAUCCUCAUUGUCACUAUACAGAUUGUGUCUCCAUGAAGAAUUAGAGUUAGAGUCUCCAUACUGAUCAUCUGAGAUAUCAACCUCUAUAGCUCUAGUCUUGUUAUUCUGUUUACUAAUAACCAGAAUAUCUUGCAUGUUCACAGUAGUUGGAUUUACUAAGUUAUUCUCUUCAUCAGCGGGGAUAAUUUCCAUAUCAGAGACAUGCAAGUUUAUCACUGGCUUAAAUUGAUGUAUUUUGAACAUCUCACUAACAGAAUAGUCAUCAUUAACAUCCAUUGAGCAAUUUUUCCAGGAAUUUCACAUCUCAUCUACAAAAUCAUGUUAACAUUUCCACUUAUUUUGCUCAGUGCCUUUUCAGUUACAUCAAACAACAAGUUAAUGUAUGAGUAGCCACUUGAAUCAACAUUUGGAAUCCUGAUUUUGUUUGCAUUACAGUGAACAACAAUGUCAUAUGCAGCAGCAACAGUCCCCGUCCUACAUUUUCAAAUUUGGAUGCAAAGUAGUGAUUAAAUAAAAGUGCAUGCUUCAUGCCUUUACAUUCUUACAGAAACACAUAUAAUUUCCAGAAACACAUCAGCUUAGAUGUCCACUACAUAUCAACAUACUGCAGCAUUACAGAAACUACUGAUCAAGCAAAACAGUCCAUAUUUGCUAAUACAUUCAUGCACAUUUUUAAUAGAAGUUAAUGAAAUUUCCUGAAAACAUCUUCCAUGCAUCCAUCGCAUAUGAAAUUUCAAGAAACAUCUUUAGUUACAGUACUGCAAGAAGCAACAAACAUCUUUUGUUUCUUGACACAUCAACUGAUCAAGAUUAGUACUUCUCCACAACAUGCACUUUUUUAACAAACUGAUUCAUUACAACAGACAAGAUUAUAGUACUGCAUAUCUGAAAAUGAAAAUUGGUACCUUAAUUUCUGCUUCUAAGACGCUUAACUUCCACCAGAUGAAGACAGCUUCACAUGAGUUCCAUUACCUUCUUCAUUGUCCCGUUUCUUAGCAAUUAGAUAUAAGACAUGUUAUCUGAGGUUUGUAGAUACAAAGCAAGAUACAUCAGUUCAAUCAGCCUUGUCACAUCACUCAUCAUCAGAAAUUGGCGUCAAAUUACUUCUUCUAUUGGCGCCUAGAAGUAAUAAUUUUUUAAUCACCUUCAUUAAACAUUAAAUUUCUAUUAUUCUAGUUAAACGUAAUUACCAACCUUCAGAUGCGUUUGUCUAGGUAGUCAAUGUCAAUCAUCUAAUGUAUCCUCUGAGGACAAAUAGGUCAUUUCAGUGCUCUGCAUGUCAGAUUUGGACCCCAAUAAUCUGCCAGGGGAGCUAGGUGAAAUUUUUAAAACUUGAAAGGGCCUUAGUGCAAGUGUCAGAAAUCUCAAGGGAGGUUUGUGAAAUUAUCUCUUGUUUUUGACUGCAAAUUAAGAAGUGUUUUCUCAUCGGAACCUGCUACUGCAAAUUCCCUAGUGGUCACAUCUUAGUCUGACACGCAACAUUGGGAAUUGGGAUCAGUUGCCUAGUUCUCGACUUGAAGUAUUCGCAUUUCCAAUUGGAUCCUUUUACUCCUGCCCACUAUCCCUAGUUCUGGACUGCUGUUUAUGAUACAAAUCACCAGUCAAUGGUAUUCGUACUGAUGGUACAAGUCCGUUCACAUUUAGCCUAUUCGUUCACAUUCGGCAAUGAUAUCAAAGGGUUAUAAUUAAUGGCAAGACAAUUUCCAUAAAUAAUUAGGUUGUUGGUUAUUUGUUCCUUGUUAAGGAUAAGGUUUUUCUUUUAAACUAUUUUCAUCGGUUCAUGACAUGAUUCAAGAAAUACCUUUAUUUAAGGGAGGUGGACUUGCCGCUCGGUUAAGUUAAGUUCUUUUUUAGGGACAAUUUCAGAAACCUCCCUGGGCUUCUGACUAUUUCAUUGGCCACCUUUUAAGUUUCAAAAAUUACACUAACAUUACCUCUCCUGAGGAUUAUAAACUUGCAACAUAUAGUUCCAAUAAGCAAUUAAAAAGUGACAUUAGGAGAGAAAAAAUAACAUGAUUCCACUGUUGCCCUUCAUCUAUUAUAUUAUUUAGUAAAUAUAAUACCAAUCCACACAUUAAAAAAAAUAUUAAAAUUUGCUAUUAUUAUCAGAGAUUGAAUUAUAUAUAGCAUCAAAAAAAGUAUAUCAUUAUAUAUAUUUCAUUUAAUGUAAGAUCUAAAUUACUGCUUUCAAUUACUGAUCCAUUGGCAAACAUGAUUAUUAAUAAAUAAUAAAAAAACUGCAACCAAAACAUUACAAAGAGCAAACUUUAGUACCAUAAAAAUUUCAGCAACCAAUCUUAAUAUCUUGACAAGGAUAUUUAUGAUGUUAGAGUUUGAUUUCUAUAAUGCUCCGAUUGCAAUUUUUUGAUUAUCUAUUAUUGGUCAUGUUUAACAAUGGGUAUGUAAUUAAAAAGAGUAAUUUGGAUUUUAAAUUAAGUAAAAAAUAUAGAAUAAUAUACUAUUUUUUUGAUGCCAUAUAUGGUUUGAUUCCUAAUGAUAAAUAACAAAUUUUAGUAUUUUUCUUUAAUAAGUAAGCUGGUGUUAAUUACUAAAUAAUGUAGUAGAUGAGGGCACUAGUGGAAUCAUAUUAUCUUUUCUCUCUUAAUAUCACUUUUUAAUUAUUGAUUGACCGUAAUGUUAUAAGAUAACUAACUUCAAAGAAGAUUAGUGUAAUUUUUGAAAUCUAGAGGGAAGCCAUUGAAAUAGUCAAAAACAUCAAGAGAGGAAUUUUUGGUGAAUAAUGAAAAGAAAAAGAAACAAGAACAGGCAAAGAAAUUUACAACUUCCCCCUCCCCCCCCCAAUUAGCAUCAUAGACUAGUAAUUAGUAUCAUAAACAUCAAAACUUCUCUAAAAUAUCUUUUAUAGAACGGGGAGCUAUGAAUUUAACUUUAUUUCUCCAAUGAUGCAAAGGAUGUAUGCCAAAACUUGCAUCCAAGAAUUAGAAAGUAACUUAGAAUCUUAAAAUGUAGAAAUUAAACUAACAUCACAGAUUGCAAUCAGCUGGUGUCAGGUUACUUGGAAUCUUUUAUUGUACAAUUUGCAAUCAGCUUGAUCAUUUCAUGCUUUCGUCCGUUGUCUUCACAUCCAUCCACUCGCUGAUAAAGACUUGGGAAUGGAUCGGCCUAAAAUACAAUAUACUCCCAAUCCUUGUUUUUAUUACAUUUUUGUUUUUGGAUAAUUAAAUUAGUCCACUUACAUUACAUUUAUUUACGUGGACUUGACUAAGGGUCUUUCUCUACAGAAUAAUGGAUCAAGUUCACAUCUUACUUUCUCCCAUCCAUUUGAUCCAGCCGCCUAGUUCCGGACUUGAACAAGUCCCAUUUGCAAUUGGGUCGUUGUCCUGUUAGGUUAAUAUAUAUAUAUAUAUAUAUAUAUAUAUAUAUAUAUAUAGAUACACACACGCGCCAACACGCCAAUUACUAUGUCUCUGUGCUCAUGAAAGCAGAAAAAGAGCAUGGAAAAAUACCUCGAAUGAGCAAAAUUUUUUAUUAAAUGAAGAUGUUAUGUCUACCUUAGAAAACAUCUAAUUGAAUUUUUUUUUUGUCGGAUCUAGGGUCCGUUUGUUUCGGGUGAAAAUGUUUUCCAGGAAAAUAUUUUCCUAAUUUCCUGUGUUUGGAUGCACAAAAGUUACUGAAAACAUUUUCCUAUGUAAAAUAUUUUCACUCAUCUUAUGGAAAACAACUUCCCUUCCAAACUUACUGAAGUUGUUUUCCGAAAUGCAUGCAUCUCGCUUGUAGUAUGUUCCAAACUUACUGAAAACAUCUUGUAGUAUGUUCCUUUUUUUUUUAGUGUAAACAGGAGGACUCGAACCCAAUACCUCUUCCUUACACUCCCUCCCCCGUACCACCCAACCCAACCCCCCUAGUAUAUUCAAAAUAAAAAAGAAAUCUCAUCCUGCUCAUCCUAUGCUAGUAAUUAAUUAUGUAUAAUAGGGACAUUCUUUUCUAAAAAAACUUUCAGCAGUGAGAGUGCAAGAUAUAUGUCACAAUAAACAUUGCAUGUGAUUGAUAUUUGACACUAAAUGGCCAGCAAUUUGUUUAUUGCUUAAGGAGAUAUUUUUUAUUUAUAUAUACAUUUCUCCAAGAUUUUUUAAAGUUAAACAAUGAGAUAAAUUUUCUUAUUUUGCAUGGGAAGAAGUAUGUAGUUAUAAUGUGUAGAAAAUAAAUAUAGAGAUAAAAGUGAAAAUAUUUCAAAAGUUAAACAAACACCAGAAAAAUGAAGUAAGAAAAUAUUUUCAAUAAACUAGCCAAACACCUGAAAAUGAUGAAAGGGAAAUGAUUUUCAUGGAAAAUUACUUCUUGGGAAAAUAUUUUCCCAAGGAAAACAUUUUACUUCCAACCAAACAGACCCCUAGUCCAUUGAAUUUUACUUGGCACCAAUUCAUGAUUAAAGAAUUACAAGUUGGUACACGGAAGCAUCAAAUUUCUUCUCUAAAUCAAUGAAUGAUUAGGAAUUUACAAAAAAUUUAAAAAAUUCAUCAAACAAAGCAUCUUCACUCUUACUAGGGACAUCCAAUAUGGAAAUAUCCUCGAGGGUAAUUUUUAGUUAACAUGAAAGGAGAAAUUCUACAAACUUUGUUGCCCUUUACUAAAUACUAAUAAAAUAUUCCCGUUGAACUUCUUCACAAUUCACAGCAAAGAAGAGAAGUUGUUGAUUACACUUCUGAUCCCCAAUGCACAAACAGCCCCGAGUCGAUCUAGGGCAUUUCACUCCUAGCCCAGAAGAGAAGGGCUUGUUUGCGACUAGCAGUAGCUGGCAAUGGCCUUUGAUUUGACACGUCUAUUAGCUGAAGAGGCCUAAGACUGGUCUCUUUCCUCUCAUCCCAUGCCUGUUGCUUCUUGCAGAACCUCUCCCUAUCGGUCGCCGUACCUAGCCUUUUUCCCUGGAACAGGGCUCAAUCCAUUUACCUCGACAAUUUCAUUGCCUUUCCCCACGAAAAAGCUUAAAGUAAAGCAGUAGCUAGUUUAACAGCUACCGAUUCACACCCGCGGGUCAAAGAAUGACCUUUCGAAAAGACCGAGACGAGGAGUGCCUAGGUCGGCGGCGGUCGGGUAACUGUCCCUGCUUCAAUAGCGGCUGUAUCCGCUGCAAGAGUCAGAGUAGAUUGACCGUUCGGUGGCUAUAAGAGAAGGGGCCAGUCCUAAGCGCAUUAGUCUUUGAAGCAAGCCCCUGAUAUAUUGGUUUGUAUUACAAAUAUCAAAAUAUGUGUAUUUAAAUUGGAGUACAAGGAAUUUUUCUUUAGCCAGUUCAAUUAACUCAACACUUCCUUAAUUUCCAGGAAGAGCAUGCCAUAACUACUUGUAUCGAUAUCAACACUUUUUUCAAGCCUUCAAAGUAGCAUCACUCCGUAUUUCUUUCUUUCAUAACGGUAUAAUGUUUGAAUAGUAUCUUUUGAAAUCAGAAUUUGGCCUUCUAUACAUCGUUUUUUUUUUUAAUAAAAAGCAACACAAAAUUUCCCAUCAGACAUGAAUCUUUACUUCCGGCGAAACUGAGGGUAUGGUAAGAAACCAUAGCUUCUUACAUGGUGGGUAUUAUCACGCUCAAACUCUGGAGAAUAAUCCAGUUGAAACUUUCAGCAAACUGUUUAAUUUAUUUUAAAUAAAACUGUGGCCAAAAAACCUAUUUAAAUGGGAUCCAAGAACCGGUAUUUCUGUUGCAGUCUUAAGAUUGAAUGCCAAUUGAUCAGUCCAUUUAGCGUCAAUAUUAAGCGGCACUCUAAGUCGUAUUUGAUGAAAGUCAACUUUUUCGGUCACCCAUUGAUGUCAUAUAGGGCUAUCAAUGGGUCGGGUUUGAACCCGGACCCGGCCCAAGUUCGGUAAUUUUUUUUAGGUAUGGGUUGAGAAAUAAUUCCGGUACCCGGUACCGGACUCAAACUCGUACCCGUUUACUUUAACAAAAAAAUGGAUUGGAUGUGGAAUAUAGGAUUCCGACUCGAACUCGAACAAUAUAUUAAUAAUUAUAAAAUAUAAAUAUUUCUAAAUACAUUCUCUUACUAUAUUAACAAAGUAUUCUUUUACCAAAUUAACCAAAUUACCCGUAUUCCAGAUGAAGUAUCUAAGAAAUUAGGAUUUGGAAGAGACAAGCUUGUUUGACCCAAAAUGUAUUCAUCACAAGUUGCAUAUAAGUGUUUUUUGCUAAAUAUUUUGGGAUCAUGUUGAACCUUUUUGCUAGUAUGGAUAAAAGAAAAUGAAUGAUGCAUGUUAGAUCUUUUGUUUUCGGGUAGACUCAGACUUGACUCGGACCCGUCGAACUUGAUUUCGGAAUCUUAAGUACAAGACCUAUCGAGUAUACUGGUCGGAUCCGAGUCUAAUACAUUGAAAUGGGUCCAAGUCCAAAAUUUUCAAUUUCGAUCCGACCCAACUCGAUAACAGGCCUAAUGUCAUACUAAACAAGUUAUGCACUAUAUAUGUCGUGCUAUUCCUUAGAUCUCUGGUGAGGAAAAAAAAAAGAAAAAAAUGGAGCUUUGCUCGAAUACAAAUGUUAUGACCCUAGAUAUUGCUCAUCAGAAGCAUGAAGAUUAUUGUUGUUGACGUGGCUUUCUUUUCAUAUAGUUAGUUAGCAAGUUAGUUACUAGCUUGUCAUAUAUGUCUAUUCUGUUGUGUAGUUAGUUGAGCAUAGAAGGAUCCAGAAAGAAAUUUGUAUAAAGAGCCUGCAAAUGGCGUGAUGAAGGCAUAACAGAUAUAACAAAUUACAGAUUCCUUCUUCUCCUUCAUUCUCUUGCUCUUUCUUCCUUCCCACGUUUCCUUUUCUCUAUUCUUCUUCUUCUGAUGUUAUCCUCCCUCUUCAAUUCUCCUACUGAUCAGGUCACUAUAUGUGGUAUCAGAGCUUCCGGUCCUUGGACUAGGAAGCUGGAACCAACAUAUCAUAAUGGCAAAAGGAACACGGAUGAAAACAAUGGAGGAAUAACUUCGCAGACAAGAAACCAGAAUUCAAGGAAUCGUGGAUUCCAUGGCGAUCGACAAGAAAAGCUUGGAAGAAAGGAUUGAUGCAGUGAAUGUUGAGCUGAGUAAUAAGCUGGACGCAUUCAUGGCGGCCAUCUCUCAGCAAUUUGCCAAUUUGAGCCCUGGUAACAAUAAAAAAGGAAUAUUGGGAUCCCUAGUGGUGAGUAACUCAAGGAACUUAGAUAUGGCAAAUCGAAAGCAGGGUGAAAGGAAUGGCAGGAGCGCCUUCUAUACUAGUGUGCCCAAACUGGAAAUUCCAGCAUUUAGGGGAGAAAACCCUAGAGAAUAGAUCAAGAAAAUUCAGAAGUAUUUCCAGCUUUUACAGAUUUCCAUGGAUCAGUGGAUGGAGAUAGCAGAAUUUUACAUGGAAGACAAAGCAGAUGUGUGGCAUCAAGGUUUUAGAUCGACUAGGGGUAAUAAGGUAGAUUGGGUGGAGUACUCUGGGGAAUUGUGCAAGAGAUUUGGUGCCUUAGGGCAAAUAGAUCCAAUGGAGGAGUUUAACAAGUUACAGCUCUUCUCCACAGUGUUAGCCUAUCAAGAGAAAUUUGAAGAACUACUACAAGAGGUAAUGAUUAGAGCCCCACACCUAUCUAAAACUUAUUACAUUUUCGGUUUUUUGAGUGGCUUGCCAGAAGAGUUAAGAUCAAUGGUGAAGACUCACAAUUCUGAGACGUUGUCCAAAGCAUUUGAAUUGGCAAGACUGCAGGAGAGUGCCUUUGAAGCCUACCACAAGAAGUACAAAUCUUAUCAGAAAACCAACUCUGUGGCAAGUGUUACACAAACUCUUGCUCACUAUCACCUUCAUCAGGAUUAUUUGAAGAUCCAAAAGAGGUCCUUUUGUGGGCAUUGUUAGUGUAUUUGCUCGGCUCAGCUGUUUUGGCCCAUAAGGUUGGCAUUGUCUAUGCACCUCUAAGCCUAGAAGCUAGCCCAUUGACGAUUAGUAGUUUCUUCCUCUCACUACCUACUAAUACUACUACCAAUUAAUGGAAAGGAAAAUUUUCAAUUGGAUAUUAUUGUUCCUUUUAGUUUUUUUUUGUGUGUAAGUGAUAGGUUUUGAAGUUAAAACGUCCUACUUACAAUCUUUCCUACCUUACCAUCCAAUCCAACCCUUCCCCUGUUAUUGUUAUUUUAUUGUUUCAAUCAUAAAAUGAUGCAUUUAGUCCUCAACAAAAUUUAACAUGCAGCAAUUUAAUCCUACAUCUCAUUUCUUGAUCAAGUAAAAUAUAUUUCUUUUUCUCUUAUUAGUUUUCUUGAUCUUUGUUAAUAAAGUACAUGCACUAUUUCUAUCUAUAGAUCUUUUGUUUACUGUCAAAAAAUUUAUAGCUCCAUCCCCAUGUAUUUACAUCUUAUAUUUCUUUAGUCAAACUUCAGUUACCAUUUUUUGUUCAAGGUUUCUUUUUUUUUUUUUUCUAUUUAAUAGAGAAUGGAUGGGAUUUAAGGAGUCAUAAGGAAGAUUUGACUUCUAAAUCUAGGUACUGACUUCAAUCAUUCGACAAUUUCAUGGCCUUCGGUGUUUAUGAUGGUAUAUAAUUUAACUAAUAAAUUCCCUCGUCUCCUCUCCGUUUUUAAAUUUUACAUGAUUCUUCCUUGUUCCCCCAAUUAUUGAUACUUCAUGGCCUUUGGAACAAAGACGAAUUUGAAGUUGUGGUCGAAGGCUGCUGAUGAAGCGAUAUUGAGAGGUCCAGAUGCUGUUUUAGAUCCAGCCACUAUUUUUUUUUUUUUUUUUUUAAGCAUUAGAUCCACUCACUUUUGCAGCCCCCAUGAGGCCUCACUCCUAUAAAAUUUCCGUUCAGACUUUUUAUGGACUUAAAAUUUGAAUUGGGUCUUCGUCCUAAUUGCGUCCGCCCGACAAUGGCCCCAUUGUCCUCCCUGAUAUGAAUGCCCCGUCUUUUAUUUUUUAUUUUUCAUUGGUACGAAAUGCCUCAUCUCUUGCAGCUGCAUCAACGUUUCCUGUUACCCAAUUUGUGAGUUGAGAAAUCCGACGACAUCCUCAUCUAAAUCUACCGUGAUUGUCGCGGUUCCUGGACACCGGAUUUGGGGCCUUAUAAGUUCUGAUUCAAAUUAAUUGUGUGAAUCGAACCACAUCGAGUGUAAAUUAAUAUAAUUUGGGUGUAAAUUAAUCGAACCACAUCAAGAUUUUUGUACAAAUUUUGGGUUUGUUUACAUCAAAUUCAUGCUAAUUUACACCAGAUGUGAGAAUUUCAUAAUCAGUUUGAAUUGAAUGAUAACUCAACUCGUGAGGUUUUGAAUCCUUGAAAUAUACUUCCCUUUUGCAGUGCUUAUCAACUAAUUUAUUGAUUUUUUGAAAAACCAACUGCUCCAAUACCUUUAUGCUUUUUUUUUUUUUUGGUUCCUUGCAAUACAGAUAAAACCCCCUGCAAACACAAUUAUUUUUUUAAGGUUCCGUUGCAAAAAUACAAAAGUUCCUCCACUUUUAUUUUCUUCCGUUGCAAUUAUUUUUUGCAAUACAGAUAUAAUGUAAAUUAUGUAGCAGUUCUUCCAGCCAAUUUUUCAGAUACCGAAUCGAAAGGAUUAAAUUUAAUUAACUGCCAUUCCGAUGCAAAUUGCAAACAAAUAAAAAACACUGCAAUGAAUAACGGGGAAACUAGGAGCUCCUCAAGUUUUCAAACAUAUAGCUGGGGAUUAGACCCAAAGACCUUAUCCAUUCGACUCCACCAAUAUAAAGGUGGGUGAAAGUGAGUGCCUGCCAUUGAGAGCAGAGCACUCAAUCGGGGCUAAGUACUCGACUGGUUGGAGAGGGCGAGGGGAAGCGAAUGGAACUUGUUUUGAAUACUUUUUAGAGUAGUAAGAGAUGAAAACUCACUCUGGAAAGGAAGGAGGCCUUUGGCAAACUUGGGUAGUUUCAAGCAGGCCAUGGUGAAGGUGGGAAUGCAUUGGAGCAUGGCUUUGAUGAGUACUUUUCUUCCCGUGUAAAAGCUAUACCUAUCCCGCAGUGAACGAUGGGGUAAGGGGAAUAGGGAACUAUGCCUUUGAGCUGAUCGCCUCCAGUAACUUCGCUCUUUUUUAGGUUACACCUGUAAUAAGAAAAACUCUAGCUCGAUCGAACUCAAACUAAAGCAAGAUCGAAGCCGCAUCCCCGGUCCUUUUAAGAAGAAGAGAUUCUAGCCGUGGGAGAAGACUCCCAUCUGAUUCUGUCAUAGGUCUUCUCAAGGUCUAUUUUCACCGCCAUUGCUCCCUUUUCUUCCCUUCCUUCCUUAUUACAAAAGUCCUGGACUAUGACAACAGGGAUAAUAAAAAAGAGAUCACUCCUGCAGAGCAUAACCUAAAAACUCAGCAAGUCUUAAGCGCGGAAAACGAAAGAACGCCAAGCGCUCUGCAAGAAGAACAUCAGGAUAAUAAUUAUGAGGAGGAGGGAGGACAAACAGCAUUACCCGCUUAAUCCUCUGUCAAGACCAAUUGUCAAGGAAGCUUCCGUGAUUCCGUUCCUUUCUACAGUUGCUGGGCUGGAUAGCCUAACCACACUGUUAUUUUUUCACCCUUAAAAUGGAGUCUAUUUAUAUAUACAAAAAGUAAACAUCACACUGUACAUUUUCAAGUCCAAUCCAAAGCAUAAUAAAAACCCAAGUUGUUGGACGAAAGUGGGAGGGAGCUGCAAGUUCUGAUAGCAAAAAAAGAAUCAAAUUUUUUGAUUAAGUUCCAUUGAAUUAUAACACAACUAGUCCUCGGCUUCGGUCAAAUCCUGAUACCAUCUCGUGUAUAGACGUAGAGGGUAAAAUAUUCCAUACUCAGCUUCGCUAUGAUUAAAUCUAGUUGUAUAGUUACAUUCCCUGCCCUCGAAUUUUCGGGAAAAGGUGAAGCAUAUGAGACCGCCAAGCCAAGCAGCGAGGACAUACGGCACGAUCAUGACAGCCAAAUUUGGUAGCACUGCGCACAAGCCAGCGAGAAAUGCUAUCAUCAUUAACAUCACAGCCCCAAAAAUUCGCUUCCGAUUUAUCCGGACAAUGGCCAACUUAAGCCGGUAAUUUUUUGUCUGAAAGAGCACGGUAAGUCCAAGCACUGCACCUAUGGAGGCGAACAUUGCCAAGGAAUCUGAAAUAACAAAUGUAAUAAAAGCUGCUUUCUUGCUUAGAACUGCCAUGCCUUUGUGCGGACCGUCACUGUAGUUCCCACCUGGAACUGUAAAACCAGCUGCAAAAGUGACAGUUGCGAUCAGUGUAGCCACAAUCGAAUAAUUCGCUGCCAAUUUUUCCACUCUUUUUACUUCAUCAGGAUUAGAUACUCGUAAGUUCUUCUUUACGGUAGCAACAUUUCGAUACCCUCGAGUGCCACCCGCUUGCUCCAACUCAUCCUUGAUUAAAAUCUGUCAAACACGAAUUGAGAAACAAAAUUGUAACAAUGAGGUCGCUGAUUGCAUUGGACCGCUAAAAUAUGAAGCGACUCUUCCAACACUACUUGCACGUGAUAGAUAAGGAUGUUAGAUAAUAUGCAAAACCAUCAUUGAUUUGCCCGGUUGAAAGCAUCAUGUUUUCAAAUUUUGUAUGGACUAAAAUGUUCAUGUUAAACAGUAAACUUAAUAGUGGGGAGAAUUUUGAGAGGUAAGUUAGACGAGGAAAGUUAAACAAGUAAGUUAGAUAAUAUUGAUUAGAAAUCAAAAUAGAAAAUUUACAUUCAAAGCAGACAUGAUGUGAGAGGGGGGGGGGGGGGGGACAGUCUAAGAAGAGAAUAGAGAAACACGAGUUUAAGAAAUUAGUUUUGAAAUUUAAAACGAAAACAGCACUACUUUUCCUUAAAUUAGCUUUGAAAUUUAAAGCGAAAACAGCGCUUCUUUUCUUUCUUCUUCUUCUUCUUUUUGCUUUUUCAUAAAACAUACUAUGUUCUUCUUGGUUUAUAAAGAGCCAUGCAGCAACUGCGUUUAUACAUUGGUGAGGUUGAGUUCAAUUGUUGUAUUUUCUAUAGGAUUUGGUGUAGUAUUUUUUAAAAAUGUCUAGUGUAUUUAUGAAUGAAAUUAACACCUUUUUUUUAAAAAAAACUAAACUUAAGACUUAACAAUAAUAUGAUGUAAGUGUACAUCACAAUAUUUUCUACACAAAUUGAAAGAAUUCCAGUAGCAUCGCAGACGCACGGCCUAAGAUAUUAAAAAUGAGUGUCUGAAAAAUAGGGGUAAAAAUACCUCAAAUUUAAGUAUAAGCAAAUAUAGUAACGAUGGACUUGAGAGAAUUAGUGGCUAAGAAUAUUCAUAACUUACAAAAUCAAGUUUCUUAUUUUUCUAAAAGUAAAAUCUUGUAAGUCAAGUAUCAUAUAUGAAAAAUUGACAGAACUUUCUAAUAAUCAAUGUGACCAUGCAAAGGAGCGGAAAAAUUUUUUUUAUCUUAUACCUGUCUUUGUGAAAGUUCAUCUGCCCGUAAUAUUCUGUCUAAAGGCGUGGAGUUCGAAUUGUCAAAAGAAUUGACAUCGACAGAAGGGUGUUUUACAAGGCUACUCCCAUCUAAGUUUUUGGUAGCAACGUAGAGGUGGAGAGGAGUAUUUCCUGUAUUAUCCCUUUGAUUGAUAAGUUCAGAAGCCCAAGAUUUUUUCAGGACGAAUUCGAGCAUUUCUCUUUGUUCAUAUUUUACUGCAAGGUGAAGGAUAUUCUGACGUCUGUGAGUAUAUUUCUCCCAACAAUCUGGGCAAUGGGAUAACAGCUCUUGCACCACAGCAACAUGUCCAUGAAUGACCGCUAUAUGUAGAGCAGUCCUGGAGUCGUCAUUGCGGGCAGCAACAUAAGCCGUAGACCUCUUAGCAGAUAAUAAUAGCUUUACCACAUCUUCAUGAUUGAGUUUAGCCGGAUGAUUGAGUUUAGCAGCAUAGUGAAGUGCAGUCCAUCCAAAUUUAUCCACCUUUUUGAUAAGAUUAGGCAGCUUUUCCAAAAUCAGCUCCACGAGUUCUGCAAUCAGCAGAUAUUUAGUUAAAGAUACUGUAGUUCAUUAAACCAUAAGAAUCAAUUACAAUAACUGAGAUGUACUCAAGUGAAACUUCAAAUUGUCAUUUUAGGAUUAGUUAUUUAUGAUUAAUAGAUAGGAAUGGCAACGGAUAGGAAAAAACCAGAUUAUAAAAUAGUGUGUGUAUAUGUGUGUAUACAUAUAUAUUCUAUCAAGUUUCAAUCUUACAAGCCAUUAGCACAUAACACUAACACAAAUCAUAACCUUCCAUGAAAUGUCCUACUUUGCUAUUGAUUUUUAGAGAUUUCAUUACCGUUCCUAUUUCUUUGGUUGCACCUGACUCUGCUUUUAGUACCAGGGAAAGUGUGGUCAGCUUAUAAGGAAUUUGAUUUCAACCAAACACAUUGAAAGGUUUAAUGUGAUCAGCAAACCAAUUGUGGAAUCCAAUUGGAGGUAAAGUACAUUCAUACCUUCUACUUUCCUUAUUUUUGUUUUUACUUAUUCAAGCGUUUGAUUAGAAAACUAUUCUUUUCACUUCAUAUUUCUUAUUCUCAUGUCUAAUGCUUAAGAGGAGUCAAAAGUGAAAUGACUGAAGUUUAUUUCCAUUGAAGAUGACGGAUUAAAUCAUAAGAAAGAAUAUACGAUUUCAUGACCGGGAGUCAGAAGAAAGAAUGUACCAAUUUAUCUUAUAAAAAGGGAUUCUUGUAGCAUUUAGUUCCUAUUUCAUUUUGACCAUUUGAGCAUGACCUUUGGAGUGAUAUUUCUUUUUGCUAUAUUAUAUGUGAUGGGAUAUUAUAUGUGAUGGGAUUGUUAACCACAAGCUCAGUGGCCACCACCAAAGUCUUAAGACUUGAUCGGGGGUUCAAACCCUACCUUCCACCAUUUGCUACUAAAUUUGACAGGCCACUUCAAGUGGCUAAAAAAAAUAUAUGUGAUAGGAUUGUUAAACUUUGAGUUUAUCCCCUAUUGUUACUCUGAUGGGGUGUUUAGAUUUUGAUGUAUUCAAAUUUUAAAUUAACAAAAUCAGUUUCUAGAUUUUUCAACUAUUUAGAUGCAUGUAUUUUCAUGAUUGAUUUGACGAGUUUAAGGAGUGCUAAAUGCUACCCCAUGGUUUAAUCCAAUCCCAUGAGCAAGCAGUUUUUAGUAACAGGAAUUAAGCUAGUAGAGUUACUUAAUAUAGUUUAGUAAGGGACUUACCUAAAUGGGUAGUAGAGUUACUUAAUAUAGUUCGGUAACGGACUUAUCUAAAUGGGUAAGAGUUUAGUAAAAAAGAUUUCAGAGGAUAUCGUAUCCGCUACCAUUCCCUCCAAUAGAUAAAUCAUAUACUAUGGUGGCGUUUGACAAGAGGGUUUUAGAAUGGAGAAUUGGAAUAAACUCCAUAAAUGUUGUUUGGAUUACUACUAUUGGAAUUGGGAUUUUGUAAUCAUAUUUAAAAAUUUGGAGUUCCCCAAUUACCUAACAACUUGAUGGGUUUUGGACAAAACCCAAGAUUGAUUCUUAUCUAAUUUAUGGAAAACCAGGGAUGGCAAUUAAGGCAUCUACCUCGCGGGGGGUUAAUAGGCCGCAAGGGGAAGGGGGGGAGCAAUUUGUUUUCCAGUUUAUAAAUAGGGCCCGACCCUCCACCCAUUAAAAAAAUUAAUAGAUAAUUAUAUACAUACAUAUAAUUAUAUAUAUUAUAUAUUAUAAUUAUAUAAUAUAUUUAUAAUAAAUAUAAUUAUAUUUACAUUUAUUAUUAUAAAUAUAUUAAUAUAUAAUAAUUAUUAUAAUUAUAGUAUAUGUGUAUAUAAUAAUACAUUAUAAUUAUAAUUAUAUUUAAUAUAUAAUAUACAUUUUAAUUAUAUAAUAUAUUAGUAUAAUUAAUAUUUAUAUAUAUUAUAUAAUCAUAAUUAUAUAUAUUUAUAUAAUUAUAUUUAAUUUUAUAUAUAAUAUUUAAUUUAAUUAGCGACAAACUUAUAAUAAUGAUAUUAUUAGUUAUAUGUAUUAUAUAAUGUAUAUUUGUAUAUGUAAUAUAAUUGAUAUUAUCAAUUAUACUAUUAAUUAUAUAUGUUUACUAAUAGAAAUUAUUAAUUAGUUAUACUAAAUUUACUAAUACGUUUAAUUAGUGGAAAUUUCUCAUAUUUCGAAAGAGUCAACGAACAAAAUAUCAAUUACAGUAAUGAUAUGCAUUUCUACUACUGAACUAAAUAGAUGUAUUGGAAUAACUGACUCCAUUCCAAACCCAAAUGGAUGAUCCCAAAUCCGAAUCCGAUUCCAAGUAACGAACCAAAUGCCACCUAAGUCAUUAUGCCAUUUUAGUAUGUUCACUAAGUCAACUCAUCAUUUGAUCGUUUGAGAUUAUCGAAAGACCAAAUUUGCUAUUGCAUUGAAGUAGUAGGAAUUUUUAAUUCAAAACAGCAUGUGCCAAUAAUUUACAAAACCGAGCACAUUUUUUUUUCUGCAAGGCUACAACUUUUAUUUUUUUUUUCCUCACAAACUGCUCCAAAAUCCAUUUGUCCCUGUUAUUCUUCUCUUAACUUCAGCAACUCAUAAUUACUUUUUAGUCUAAAUCUCAAUUUUCAAUAAAUUCACUUUUAAAAAAAGCUCAUGUCUUAAACUCUAGUAAAUUAACAUUUUUCCUCGUAAAUAUCAGAGUUCUGAUCCCAAGAUUUUUACGGAAAUCUAAAAAAUACACCAUCAAGCAUACAUCUUUCCUCAAUACUCAAUUUCUGGUUCCAUGAUGGUGGAUGUGGUAGAAUAGCAUCCCUAUGUAAAAUUGAAGACAUUUACAAAUCUCGGCGGGAAAUUUCCUAGUUGUCUAUAUUACAAGGAGGUUUCAUUGAUUACAAUACAAUCUUUUUUAAUGUUUUUGGAUGUGAAUAACUUUUUUCAAUUUGAAAUGCACUUCGAAGGCAUGUAAGUCACUUUUUCCUUGUUGUUUUCCUUGUUAUUUUUUCCUUGUAAGUCAUUCUCAAAUGGACUUGGAAAAAGUACCUUUUGUUAAUGUUGAAUGUGUUGCUUUCUUUUAAUUGGUCUAAAAAAAGAAAAGCUAAAGUUGGAUGUUAAUCUUUCAGGUAUAAUAUGCUUUAUCCCUUGUGAUUUAGCACUUUUUCAUAUAAUACCCUGUAACUUCAAAAGCUAUACAUAAUUCUUUCAUGAGUUGAACUAAAAUGUUAAAGUAAUGAAAUUUGUAUUCUAUAAUAGAGUUAACUAAAAUGUCAAAAGUACCCUAUAUAAUAUUAAAAAUUAUUUAUUAACAACGGAGAAAUUAUGUAUAUAUUUUGAAAACCAUAAGGAGGUUACGUGGUAAAAUAAUAAAUCAUAAAAGAGUUAUAUAAUAAAAUAUAGAACCAUAAGAGGUUAAAGUGUCAUGCAGAUUAUGUUUAUAUAUUUUGAUCACUUAAACCAUUUUAGUUUUUAAAUAAGAGUAAUCUCGACAUAUCCGUAGGUUCAAUUGCAAAGCAUCAUUUUCGUCAUUUUGAUAAUUUAAUUUAAAUUAUGAUCGGGUUGUAUAUUGUUUUUGAAACUAAAGAGAGUUAUGUGAAAAAUCAUUGAAUGACAGUGGGAUAAAGUGUAUUUUACUCUAAUUUUUAUGACAGAGACUUCUCAUUUAUGACUCGUCUCAUUCAGAGCUGGCUGUAUCAGCCUGUCCCAUUUGAGUUGAAAAUUAAAAGCACCAUCUUGAGCAACCCUUUUUUUUUUUUUUUUUUGGUUUCCUCUAGUCAUUGGUUGGUCGAUUGUUGUCCUUGAAAAUUCUUGAGGACCCUGAUAAUACCUCUCCAACGUGUGAAGAAAGAAAAACAUCAAAGAAAAAAAAAAGCUCAAAAAAUUUCCUUUCUUUUGGUGAUUAUAUUCAUUGCUUGAUGCAAAUUAGUAAUGUAAUGUACCUGGCAAAUUCCAUAUUGCUGCUGCAUGAAGGGCGGUUUUGUGACCGGGGCCAAGAUAAGCUGGUGACUUGGAAGUCGUCAAAAUCAGAACCGCAAAAUCCCGAUAUCCCUUCUCAACUGCGAGAUAUAGAGGAGUCUCCAUAGCAUGAUUGGGCCGAUAUCUGAACUCAGGAUCUUGUUGAACCAACAACUUAGCAACCUCAUAGAAGUUGUUCUUAACUGCCUCGUGUAAAGCUGUGUUUCCAUCCACAUUAGUCAUCCUCAGCAUCCUCUUGCAUCUGUCGACAAAACAGGCACAAAACCAACAUCUUUUGUUCUGUUUACUAUAAUCAAUAAGUGCUCGAACAACGCCAGAAUGCCCCUUUCUUGCGGCCAGAUGAAGUGCAGUCUCACCACGAGCAUUCUUUGCCAUUAGCAAACAGCAAUUUCGCGCUAGGAUGCUUUGGACUACAUUUGCAGAGUCGCGGGACUGGGCUAAUACGUGAAGGACAGUGUUUCUUUUUGGAGUCCUCUGAGCCAGGAACUUGCCCGAAAAUCUUCCAAUUACAGCCCAAUUACCUAACUGUGCAGCUGCGUACAAAUCAGGAUUCAUCCCUUUUUGUGCAAGUUUACGCAAUUCAGGAUCCAUUGCUUUCUGCAACUAAUUAUAUAGUCAGUAUCGGAACUGGUUGAAGCUACUGUCUGUUUUGGAGCUCAAAUAUGCAUGAGAACCAUAGCAGUGAUAGAUUCUGCGGUUUAUUUAAUUUGUUGAGCUAUUAAAUACGGAAGCCAUUGAUUUGUUAUGUGCUUCGAAAUUAUUACCAGAAGAAGCGGUUUUGACGGAUGAAAGGAGAUAGGAGAGGAAGGAUCCAGCAGUUGACAAGAACGAAUAAGGCAAAGCUGAGCAUCCAGCAGUUUAAAAUUCUAAGAACCAUUGCGCAUUGGUGCCCGUCUUUUGUAUUGCAACCGUUGCUAAUAUUUUUGACGAGGGACAAAAAUUAUGCCGACAUUAUUGACCUUCACAUUUCUGGUCUAAGUGGGUCGGUUUUAGCUGAAACAAGGAGACCCAGACUGGGAUCCGAUUGACAUACUAGAUUUGGAUCUGGAUAAUGGGCAUAGGCUUGUACGAGCAGAUUUAUAUCAGAAUCCCUCGGAUCUUAUUGAAUCCAGAUGCAAAUUCGAGUUUUGGUGUCAAUUUUUUUGUAUAGAGAUCAGUAAUUUAUAAAUCAUAUAUGUGCACGUAAAAUAAUUAAGUGCAUUUACUUGUCAUGCUUCGUUUGCUAAAAAAGAGCGUAGAGGUUGUUUGGAAUCGAUUAAUGCAUAUUUUUUUAAAAUUAUUUUACAUGUUCUACAAAUCAUGAAUAUUUAAAUUAUUUUAUAAGUAUCUCGAGAGUUGAGAUAUUCGUUUUGGCUGUUUUCGUUGGUUAAUGAUUUAGGGCUUUUUGUAGUAUAGUUCUUAGCAUUAUUUUUGUGCCAUUUAAGUUCUUCCCUUAGUCCAUUUUAGAUGUUGCUACAUAAUUCAAAAACUUUCCUUGUUUUCAACCAUUGGAAUUUUCAAAGAGAAAAACAAUUAUUUGCUGCUCCAACAUUCAUCUCUCUCUCUCUCUCCCCCCCCCCCCCCCCGCUUAUUUAACUUCAAUAUUGAUAUCUCUUACAAUUUUUUUUUCUUUUGUAAAAUGUUCACAUUAUUAGUCUCAAUAAAAGUAUAGUGGCCGGUGUGGUUUUUUUUAUUUUUUAUUUUUUAUUAUUUUCAAAUGUCAAAGUCACAAUAUAAUUUUCCAACAUCUUCAUAGGCUUUCUUUUGCUCUCUCUCUCUUCUUCUUUUUUUUUUUUUUUUUGGGUCUAUCCGUUGCAAGAUUUGGAUCAAAUGGAUAUGCUUUUUUCAAUAUAUAGUUUUAGUGGAACUUCUGACCGCUAAUAUAUAUUAUUCUUUUUAACCAAGAGAUCAACCCAAUUGGAAAUGGGACUUGUUUAAGUCCGGAACCAGGCAGAGAAAGACUAGUAAAGUAAGUGAGGCAACAUGUGAACUUGACCUGUAAAGUUCCAUCAUUUUGUCGAGAAAGACCCUUAGUCGAUGAUAAGAAAUUCAGGUGGAAUAAUAUACCCAUAAACAAAAGGGCAAAUUAUCCAUUUGGUUCUUGAACUUUUAGUUUAAGUAAAAUUAAGCCCUCUAACUAUUUAUAGUCAACUUUUAGCCCUUGAACUUGUAAAAUUGAAAACCCGUGGCCCUUUUACCUAGUUUAUCCGGUUUUACAACCGGAAAGAAGGGCAUUUUUGUCCGCAUCUUCUAAACAAAAAUGAACAACUCCAUCUUCUUCCCUUUCCCUAACCCAACCAAAUAGGCACAGAUUUGUAGAGUUCUUAAGCUUCUGCAAAUUGGGGAUAACUAAGUCCGACUCUAAGCAAAAUUUUUAAAACUGCCCACUCUAUUCUCUCCUGGUUUCCCCACAUACUCCUUUCCCCCACUAAAAAUCGCAUCAAUUAACCACUCUUCCUUUCCCCUUUCGUCUUGAUUUGUCGAUCUUCUCCUCGAAAUCCAACAAAAAUGGUGUCCAAGAUUGUGAAGAAAACCCCAACAAAGUCCAUAAAAAAUUCGCGCCACCAUCACCACAGCCACCAACACCGAAAAAAUCCCCCGUAAAGAAUGCCUCCGCCGCUGCUUUAGUGGUGCUUGCGUCGAUUAACAAGUCCAUUUACACUUGCCACCACCGCCUCAUCAAGAUUUUCUCCAAAUUAGCGCGCAUUUCAAAUCCAAUUAAGAAGAAGAGCCUAAGAAAACGGGGGUAUCAGUUACUUCAAAAGGGUUCUGAAGAUCCCAAAAGUAGCAUCAGAAGAGCUCUGUUUCAUGACGAAAAAAGUUCUGCACUUCCACCACUGGUUUCGCCAGAGAAAAACACAGUCUUUCUUGAUUUGGACAAGACUCUGGUGCAUUCCCAGCCGGGCCCUGCUCUAGAAAAGUAUGAUUUCAUAGUUAGGCCGGUGAUAGAUGGAGAAAGAGUGGAUUUCGUCGUGUUAAAGAGGCCAUUUGUGGAAGAAUUUUUGGAGUUCAUGAGUAAUAAAUUUGAGAUUGUGGUGUUCACAGCUGGAAUUGAGGAGUAUGCUUCCUCCUUGAAUUUAGCAGAUUUGGUGGCGGAGGAGGAGGAGUCCUUGCUGUCAUUGUGGGAGAGUUGUUGGGGAAGCAGCGGCAGCCUUAUUAGAAGAGGAAGAAGAAGAAUAGGGAGAGUAAUUAAUCAAGCCCCAGACUUCCAAGAAAUCAAAAACCCUGGGAAUGGAGCCGACGUCUCCAACGAUGGGCUUGCGGACUUCGGAAAAAGUGAUUUUUUUUGUUGGGGGAGGGGGGGGAGGAGGAGGGGUUGUCCCUGAAUCUCUGAAUGAUGGCAUUACUGUAGUAUUUGUAAGUCUUGGGGUUCUUGGAGGCUGAUCUUCCGUCGAUGGCAGGUUGGGUUAGGGAAAGGGAAGAAGAUAAAGCUGUUCAAUUUUUGCUUAGAAUAUAUGGACAAAAAUGCCCUCCUUUAAAGCAUAUUGUCAUUCGUGUGAUUUGAUUUUUCGGUUGCAAAACCGGAUAAACUAGGUAAAAGGGCCACAGAUUCCCAAUUUUACAAGUUUAAGGGUUGAAAGUUGACUAUAAAUAGUUAGAGGGCUUAAUUUUACUUAAACUAAAAGUUCAAGGGCCAAAUGGAUAAUUUGCCCUAAACAAAAUGCAAUGGGUUGGGUUCUAUCUAUUUUCUAUGCAUCUAUUCCCGCGCCUUUAUCGGAGAAUGUGAAAACAAGCUAGCCGAAUGCAUUAAUUAAGUGAUCAAGCUGAUUGCAAUUUGUACAAAUAAACGAUUCCAAGUAGACUGCAACGACCUGUGAUAUUCUACACCUCAGAUUCUAAGCACCACGAAAGUCUUUUAGAUGCAAGUUUUAGCAUAUACCCUUGCAUUAUUGGAAAGCCAAAUUUAAAUCCAUAACUCUCCAUUCUACACAGAAAUUAAAAAAAAAAGUUUUUUAUAUAAAAUGAAUAAGGUUCUGUUGAACCAACUUAAUCAGCUUGUAUUUUUUUUUAAUCAUGUUUUGUUAUUUUUGUUUUUGUGGGGGUUUUUUUUUGGGGGGGGGGGGGGGGUUUCUAUCUAUUUUCUAUCUUACAAUUGGAUAUGUCUGUAUCGUAAGGUUGUUGAAUGUGAAAGCAGACAGAACAAUAAUAUAAAUAACUUAUAUAGUUUGAUAUUAGGGGGUGACUUAAAGAAGUCGACUUCCAUUAGAUACUGCUUGAAGUGCUGUUAAAGAUUCAUGUUUGAUGGGAAAACUUGUGAUUCUUCUUUUUCCACAAAAAAUAAAAAGUAUUAAGGCCAAAUUCUAAUUCGAAAAAAUAAUUACGAACUUCUACAACUUGGACGACUUGAAAAAGUGUGGAUACAGUAAGUCAAGGUUUGUGUUUUAGUGCAAAUUAAGAAGGUGUUUUCUCAUUCGAACCUGCUAAUGCAAAUUCCCUAGAGGUCAUAUCUGAGUCUGACUAGCACCCUUGGCAUCCUGCUGCCUAGUUCUGGACUGGAACAAUUCGCAUUUGCCAAUUGGAUCCUUUUAUUCCCGCCCAGCCUCCCUCCCUCCCUCGUUGUAAGAAGUUCUUCUGAUGUUUAUGAUACAAAUCACCAGUCAAUGGUGUUCGUAUUAAUGGUACAAGUCCGUUCACAUUUAGCCUAUCUGUUCACAUUGGGCGAUGAUGUCAAAGGGUUAUAAUUAAUGACAAGACAAUUUCCAUAAAUAAUUACGUUGUUGGCUAUUUGUUCCUUGUUAAGGAUAAGUUUUUUUUUUUUUUAAAACUACUUUCAUCAGUUCAUGACAUGAUUCAAGAAAGACUUUAUUUACGGGAGGUGGAGCUUCUGCCCUGUUAAGUUUAAUUAUUUUUUAGGGACAAUUUCAGAAACCUCCUCUAAGGUUUCUAACCAUUCCAUUGAUCACUUUUUAAGUUUUAAAAAUUACACUAACCUCUCUUGAGGUUUAUUACCUUGCAAUAUAUAGGUCCAAUAAGUAAUUACAAAGUGAUACUAGGAGAGAGAAAAUAACAUGAUUCAACCGUUGCCCUUCAUCUAUUACAUUAUUUAGUGAACAUAAUACCAACCCACACAUUAAAGAAAAAUAUUGGAAUUUGCUAUUUAUUAUCAGAGAUCGAAUUAUAUAUAGCAUUAAAAAAUAGUAUAUCAUUAUAUAUAUUUCAUUUAAUGUAAGAUCUAAAUUACUGCUUUCAAUUACUAAUUCAUUGACAAACAUGAUCGACAAUAAAUAAUAAAAAAACCUGCAACCUAAACAUUACAAAGAGCAAACUUUAGUACCAUAAAAAUUUCAGCAACUAAUCUUAAUAUGUUGACAAGGAUAUUUAUGAUGUUAGAGUUUGCUUUCUAUAAUGCUCUGAUUGCAAUUUUUUUUAUUAUGUAUUGUUGGUCAUUUCAUGUUUAACAAUGGGUAUGUAACUGAAAAGAGUAAUUUGUAUCUUGAAUUAAGUGAAAAAUAUAGAAUAAUAUACUAUUCUUUUGAUACUAUAUGUGGUUUAAUCACUAAUGAUAAAUAGUAAAUUUUAGUAUUUUUCUUUAAUAAAUAUGUUGGUAUUAAUUAACUAAAUAAUGUAGGAGAUGAGGGCAAUAGUGGAAUCAUAUUAUCUUUUCUCUCUUAAUAUCACUUUUUAAUUAUUGAUUGAGCCUUAAUCUUACAAGAUAAUUAACUUCAAGGGAGGUUAGUGUAAUUUUUGAAAUCUAGAAGGAGGCCAUUGAAAUAGCCAGAAACCUCAAUAGAGGAAUUUUUGGUGAAUAAUGAAAGGGAAGGAAUGAUGAAAAGAAAAAAGAAAAAAGAACAGGCAAAGGAAUUUACAACUUCCCCUCCCAAUUAGCAUCAUAGACUAGUAAUUAGUAUCAUAAACAUCAUAACUUCUUUAAAAUGUCUCUUAUAGAACGGAGAGCUAUGAAUUUAACUUUAUUUCUCCAAUUAUGCAAAGGAUGUAUCCCAAAACUUGCAUCCAAGAAUUAGAAAGUAACUUAGAAUCUUAAAGUGUGGAAAUUAAACUAACAUCACAGAUUGCAAUCAGCUGGUGUCUGAUUACUUGGAAUCUUUUAUUGUACAAAUUGCUAUCAGCUUGAUCAUUUCAUGCUUUCGUCCGUUGUCUUCACAUCCAACUACUCGCUGAUAAAGACUCGGGAAUGGAUCACUAUAAAAGGGUACAAUAUACUCCCAAUCCUUGUUUUUAUUACAUUUUUGUUUUUGGGUAAUUAAAUUAGUCCACUUACUUGACAUUUGUUUGCGUGGACUUGACUAAGGGUCUUUCUCUACAAAAUAAUGGAUCCGUCCGGGUCAAGUUCACAUCUUACUUACUCCCAUUCAUGUGAUCGAGCCGCCUAGUUCGGACCUGAACAAGUACCAUUUGCAAUUGGGUCGUUGUCCUGUUAGGUUAAAAAAAAAAAUAUAUAUAUAUAUAUAUAGACACACACGCCAACACGCCAAUUACUAUGUCUCUGUGCUCAUGAAAGCAGAAAAAGAGCAUGGAAAAAUGCCUCGAAUGAGCAAAAUUUUUUAUUAAAUGAAGAUAUUAUGUCUACCUUAGAAAACAUCUAAUUGAUUUUUUUUUUUGUCGGAUCUAGUCCAUUGAAUUUUGCUUGGCACCAAUACAUGAUUAAAGAAUUAGAAGUUGGUACACGGAAGCAUCAAAUUUCUUCUCUGAAUCAAUGAAAGAUUAGGAAUUUACAAAAAAUUUAAAAAAUUCAUCAAACAAAGCAUCUUCACUCUUACUAGGGACAUCCAAUAUGGAAAUUCUACAACUUUGUUGCCCUUUACUAAAUACUAAUAAUAUUCCCGUUGAACUUCUUCACAAUUCACAGCAAAGAAGACAAGAUGUUCAUACUAAACACAAACACUUCUGAUCCCCAAUUCACAAACCCCUUAUAUAUUGGUUUGUAUUACAAAUAUCAAAACGUGCUAAAUAAUGUGUAUUUAAAUUGAAGUACUAGGAAUUUUUCUUUAGCCAGUUCAAUUAACUCAACACUUCCUUAAUUUCCAGGAAGAGCAUGCCAUAACUACUUGUAUCGAUAUCAACACUUUUUUCAAGCCUUCAAAGUAGCAUCACUCAGUAUUUCUUUCUUUCAUAACGAUAUAUUGUUUGAAUAGUACCUUUUGAAAUCAGAAUUUGGCCUCUAUACUUCGUUUUUUUUUUUGGUUUUUUUUUUUUAAAAAAAAGCAACACAAAAUUUCCCAUCAGACAUGAAUCUUUACAAUAUUCCGGCGAAACUGAGGGUAUGGUAAGAAACCAUAGCUUCUUACAUGGUUGGACUUAUCACGCUCAAACUCUGGAGAAUAAUCCAUUGAAACUUUCAGCAAACUGUUUAAUUUAUUUUAAACAGAACUGUGGCCAAAAAACCUAGUUAAAUGGGAUCCAAGAACCGGUAUUUCUAUUGCAGUCUUAAGAUUGAAUGUCAAUUGAUCAGUCCAUUUAGCGUCAAUAUUAAGCGGCACUCUAAGUCGUAUUUGAUGAAAGUCAACUUUUUCGGUCACCCAUUGAUGUCAUAUAGGGCUAUCAAUGGAUCGGGUUUGAACCCGGACCCGACCCAAGUUCGGUAAUUUUUUCCAGGUAUGGGUUGAGAAAUAAUUCCGGUACCCGGUUCCGGACUCAAACUCGUACUCGUUUACUUUAACAAAAAAGUAGGUCGGAUAUGGACUAUAGGAUUCCGACUCGGACUCGAACAAUAUAUUAAUAAUUAUAAAAUAUAAAUAUUUCUAAAUACAUUCUCUUACUAUAUUAACAAAGUAUUCUUUUACCAAAUUACCCAUAUUCCAGAUGAAGUAUCUAAGAAAUUAGGAUUUGGAAGAGACAAGCUUGUUUGACCCAAAAUGUAUUCAUCACAAGUUGCAUAUAAGUGCUUUUUGCUAAAUAUUCUGGGAUCAUGUUGAACCUUUUUGCUAGUAUGGAUAAAAGAAAAUGAAUGAUGCAUGUUAGAUCUUUUGUUUUAAGGUGGACUCAGACUUGACUCGGACCUGUCGGACCUGAUUUCGGAAUCUUAAGUACAAGACCUAUCGAGUAUACUGGUCGGAUCCGAGUCUAGUACAUUAAAAUGGGUCCAAGUCCAAAAUUUUCAAUUCCGAUCCAACCAACCCGAUGACAGGCCUAAUGUCAUACUAAACAAGUUAUGCACUAUAUACAUCGUGCUAUUCCUUGGAUCUCUGGUGAAGAAAAAAAAAAGAAAAAAAUGGAGCUUUGCUCGAAUACAAAUGUUAUGACCCUAGAUAUUGCUCAUCAGAAGCAUGAAGAUUAUUGUUGUUGACGUGGCUUUCUUUUCAUAUAGUUAGUUAGCAAGUUAGUUACUAGCUUGUCAUAUAUGUCUAUUUUGUUGUGUAAUUAGUUGAGCAUAGAAGGAUCCAGAAAGAAAUUUGUAUAAAGAGCCUGCAAAUGGCGUGAUGAAGGCAUAACAGAUAUAAAAAAUUACAGAUUCCUUCUUUUCCUUCAUUCUCUCGCUCUUUCUUCCUUCCCACGUUUCCUUUUCUCUAUUCUUCUUCAUCUUCUUCUUCUGAUGUUAUCCUCCCUCUUCAAUUCUCCUACUGAUCAGGUCACUACAUGUGGUAUCAGAGCUUCUGGUCCUUGGACUAGGAAGCUGGAACCAACAUAUCAUAAUGGCAGAAGGAACACGGAUGAAAACAAAGGAGGAAUAACUUCGCAGACAAGAAACCAGAAUUCAAGGAAUCGUGGAUUCCAUGGCGACCGACAAGAAAAGCUUGGAAGAAAGGAUUGAUGCAGUGAAUGUUGAGCUGAGUAAUAAGCUAGAAGCAUUCAUGGCGGCCAUCUCUCAGCAAUUUGCCAAUUUGAGCCGUGGUAACAAUGAAAAAGGAAUAUUGGGAUCCCUAGAGGUGAGUAACUCAAGGAACUCAGAUAUGGUGAAUCGAAAGCAGGGUGAAAGGAAUUGCAGGAGCGCCUUCUAUACUGGUGUGCCCAAACUGGAAAUUCCAGCAUUUAGGGGAGAAAAUCCUAGAGAAUAGAUCAGGAAAAUUCAGAAGUAUUUCCACCUUUUACAGAUUUCCAUGGAUCAGUGGAUGGAGAUAGCAGAAUUUUACAUGGAAGACAAAGCAGAUGUGUGGCAUCAAGGUUUUAGAUCGACUAGGGGUAAUAAGGUAGAUUGGGUGGAGUUCUCUGGGGAAUUGUGCAAGAGAUUUGGUGCCUUAGGGCAAAUGGAUCCAAUGGAGGAGUUUAACAAGCUACAGCUGUUCUCCAUAGUGUUAGCCUAUCAAGAGAAAUUUGAAGAACUACUAUCAGAGGUAAUGAUUAGAGCUCCGCACCUAUCUGAAACUUAUUACAUUUCCUGUUUUUUGAGUGGUUUGCCAGAAGAGUUGAGAUCAAUGGUGAAGACUCACAAUUCUGAGACGUUGUCCAAAGCAUUUGAAUUGGCAAGACUGCAGGAGAAUGCCUUUGAAGCCUACCACAAGAAACACAAAUCUUAUCAGAAAACCAACUCUGUGGCAAGUGUUACACAAACUCCUGCUCACCAUCACCUUCAUCAGAAUUAUUUGAAGAUCCAAAAGAGGUUCUUCUGUGGGCAUUGUUAAUGUAUUUGCUCGGCUCAGGUGUUUUGGCCCAUAAGGUUGGCAUUGAUAUGCACCUCUAAGCCCAGAAGCUAGCCCAUUGACGAUUAGUAGUUUCUUCCUCUCACUAUCUACAAAUACUACUACCAAUUAAUGGAAUGGAAAAUUUUCAAUUGGACAUUAUUGUUCCUUUUAGUUUUUUUUUUUGGUGUAAGUGAUAGAUUUUGAAGUUAAAAUGUUCUACUUACAAUCUUUCCUACCUUACCAUCCAAUCCAACCCUUCCCCUGUUAUUGUGAUUUUAUUGUUUCAAUCAUAAAAUGAUGCAUUUAGUCCUCAACAAAAUUUAACGUGCAGCAAUUUAAUCCUACAUCCCAUUUCCUACCACUUUUAUAACCUAGAAAAGUCCAUUAUCAAUGCUGUCUAGUGCAUAACGAUCAAGUAAAAUAUAUUUCUUUUUCUCUUAUUAGUUUUCUUGAUCUUUGUUAAUAAAGUACAUGCACUAUUUCUAUCUAUUGAUCUUUUGUUUACUGUCAAAAAAUUUAUAGCUCCAUCCCCAUGUAUUUACAUCUUAUAUUUCUUAAGUCAAACUUCAGUUACCAUUUUUUGUUCAAGGUUUCUUUUUUUUUUUUUUCUAUUUAAUAGAGAAUGGAUGGGAUUUAAGGAGUCAUAAGGAAGAUUUGAACCAAAACUUCUAAAUCUAGGUACUGACUUCAAUCAUUAGACAAAACACAAAUUUGAUAUUUCAUGGCGUUCAGUGUUCAUGAUGGUAUAUAUAAGUUAACUAAUAAAUUCCCCGUCUCCUCUCCGUUUUCAAAUUUUACACUUCUUCCUUGUUCCCCCAAUUAUUGAUACUUCAUGGCCUUUGGACACAAAGACGAAUUUGAAGUUGUGAUAGAAGGCUACUGAUGAAGCGAUAUUGAGAGGUCCAGAUGCGGUUUUAGAUGCACCCACUAUUUUUUUGCAUUUUUCGAAGCAUUAGAUCCACCCGCUUUUGGAGCCCCUAUGAGGCCUCACUCCUAUAAAAUUUCCAUUCAGAGUUUUUAUGGACUUAAAAUUUUAAUCGGGUAUUCGUCCUAAUUGUGUCCGACUGAUAUGAAUGCCCCGUCUUUUAUUUUUUAUUGGUACGAAAUGCCUCAUCUCUUGCAGCUGCAUCAACGUUUCCUGUUACCCAAUUUGUGAGUUGAGAAAUCCGACGACAUCCUCAUCUAAAUCUACCGUGGUUGUCGCGGUUCCUGGAUACCGGAUUUGGGGCCUUAUGUAGCGGUUCUUCUAGCCAAUACUCGUAAGUUCUUCUUUACGGUAGCAACAUUUCGGUACCCUCGAGUGCCACCUGCUUGCUCCAACUCGUCCUUGAUUAAAAUCUGUCAAAAACAAAAUUGUAACAACGAGGUCGCUGAUUGCAAUAUGAAGCGACUCUUGGUGUACUCUUCCAACUCUACUCGCACAUGUGAUAGAUAAGGAUCUUAGAUAACAUGCAAAACUAUUAUUGAUCCUUCCAAUUAGAAGUGUCAUGUUUUUUAUUUUUUGACAGACUAAUUAAUGUUCACCUUGAAAGUAGAAAUACUGGUUAUAAAUCAAAGUAGAUAGCUUACAUUUAAAGCAGAUAUAAUGUGAGGAAAGGAAAAAAACAGUUCAAGAAGAAAACGGGAAACAUCAGUUUAAGAAAAAUAGUUUUGAAAAAAAUACAAAACGAAAACAGGACCAUCUUUUUCUUCUUCUUCUUUUUGCGUUUUUCAUAAACGGUACCGUAUUCUUCUUGAUUUAUAAAGAGCCGCAUGGCAAUUGUGUUUACACUUUGGUGAGGUUAUUGUAUUUCUUACAAAAUUGUUUGGUACACUUACAUAAAAUAGUGUACUUCUUUAAAUAUCUACUGUAUUUACGAACAAAAUUAACACUAUUUAAAAAUAAACUAAAAUUAAGACUUGCAAUAAUAUGAUUAAGUGUACUUUAAAAUAUGUGACAAGCACAACAAUUGUACAACACUGCAACAAACACAAUAUUUUCCACAUAAAUGAAAAGAAUUGUAGUAGCGUCACAGACACGAUGGCCUGAGAUUUUAAAUACCAUGAGUGUCUUAAAAAAUAGGGAUGAAGAUACCUAAAAUUUAAGGAUACGCAAAUAUAGCAAAGAUUGACUUGGGAGGAUUAGUAGUUAAGAAUAUUCUAUAACAUACAAUCUAACUUUCCUAUUUUCUAAAAAUAAAAUUUUAUAAUAAUUUAAAAUUUUCAAGUUCAUAUAAGAAAAUUUGAAAAAACUUUUAAUAAUCACUAUGAUCACGCAAAGGGGAGGGGGAAAAAAACAUCUUAUACCUGUCUUUCUGAAAGUUGAUCAUCCACAAAAGGAUGAUUCACAAGGCAAUUCCCAUCCAAGUUUUUGGUAGCAACAUACAGGUGGAGAGGAGUGUUUCCUUCAUUAUCCUGUUGGUUAAUGAGCUUAGAAGCCCAGGAAUUUUGCAAAACAAACUCCAAGACUUCUCUUUUUUCAUGCUUAGAUGAAGGAUAUUCCGACUUUUACCCGUAAUCUGUACCCAACAAUCUGGGCAAUGGGAUAAAAUCUCUUGCACCAAAACUACAUGUCCAUGAAUUACCGCAAUAUGUAGAGCAGUCUUGGAGUCAUCAUUCUUGGCAACAACAUAGGCAGCAGAGCACUUAGCAGACAGUAAUAGUCUUGCAAUAUCCUGAUGAUUAAAUUUGGCAGCAUAAUGAAGUGCAGUCCACCCAAAUUUAUCGACAUUUUUUAUAAGAUUAGGCAGCUUUUCCAAAAUCAGCUUCAUGGAAUCUGUAAGUAGCUAAUAUUUUAGUACAACAGGUGAAGAUAUUGUUAUUCACUAGACCAUUAAGAUCAAUUACACUACAACAACUUACAUAUACUGUGUAAAUUAAACAAGUGUUAUGAUUAAUGGAUAAAUAUGUACAAACAAUACAGAAUACAUUAUUGAAGGACAAAUUAUAUAUAACCUCCCUGUGAUUUCAUCUAUUGCCACAUGACUCCCUAACGUUUUAAAAUGUCCACUUCACCCCUAUGGUUUUAUGUAAAGUGAAAACUUGACGAAAAAUAGCCUACAUAAUAUCAUUAUUUGAAAUAUCAAUAGUACAUUUAUUUAAAUGCUAAAUCAAUCGAUAGUUUAACCAUUUUGAAUAAAGUAUAAGGAGAUUAUGUGAAUAAAUGCAAAAAUCACAUAAGUUAAAGUGGAUAUUUAUACAAACCAUAAGGUGGUUACAGGGAUAUUAAAAUUUUAUUAGACAUGCUUUGAAAGCGUAUUCAGUAUAAACGUCAUAACUAAUAUGCAUUCCGUUCAUUUUUCACUUUACAUAAAAUCACAAGGGGAUUAUGUGGCUAUUUUAAAACCUUAGGGGAUCAUCUGCAUUAUAUAAAAUUAUAGAGAGGUGAUAAGUAAUUUACCCAUUAUUAAAUGGUAUUUUAUCAGAUUAAUUUUCCAUAAAUCCUUUUAAUGCAUUAAUCGCUUGUGCCAUCAAAGUCGAAAUUUCGUACAAGGUAAAAAAUUAAUUCCCCUGUAUCAAAAUAUGAAAAAAAAAAAAAGAAGGAAAGGGAGCUCAGGUUUGUCCCUUUAUUUUCGGUUGUGUAGACAAUGUUAAUAUAAAAAAUGCUUAUCCAUGAAGUCACCUGGAAAAUUCCAAAUUGCGGCAGCAUGCAAGGCAGUUUUGUGUCCGGGGCCAAGAUAAGAUGGUGUCUUGCAAGACUCCAAAAUUAGAACCAUAAUAUUAUGGCGUCCCUUCUCAACUGCCAGAUACAGAGGUGUCUCCACAGCAUAAUUGUGGGGAUAACGAAACUCAGGAUCUUCUUGAACUAACAAUUUGGCGAUGUAAUAGAAGUUGUUCCUAAUUGCCUCGUGUAAAGCUGUAUUUCCAGCCACACUAGCCAUCCUCAGCAUCCUCUUGCGCCUGUCAGAACAUGGGGUAUACCAGUGUCCUGCUUCCGAUUUUGCAUAGUCAAUUAGGACUCGAACGAUGCCCAAAUGCCCAUUUCUUGCUGCCAAAUGAAGUGCAGUCUCGCCCCGUUUGUUCAAUUUCAUAAGCAAACGGCCAUGCCCAGCAAGGAUAAGUUGGACUACAUUUGCAGAGUCACAAGACUCGGCUAAUACGUGAAGGACUGUCUCUUCUACUGGAGUAUGUUGAGUGUAGAAGUCGUCUGAAAAGCUUUCCAUUACAACCAUGGUUUAAAGUCACGGUCGCGGUCGCGGGCGCGGGCGCGGCCCGAAACGUUCCACAUCGGUCUCGGCAUAUCGGUCGCGGUCUCGGUGAGACGCAAAUUUUAAAGUAUUUAAUAUUCUAAAAAUUGUUAAUAAUAUAAAAAAGUAGGUUAAAUAAAAAUAAUUAAAAAAUAGCAAAAGAAAUGACCAAGUCAAUCCGUCGCGGUGUGACUCGGCUGAUUUCUCGUCUUGACUCGGGAUAAUUCGGAGUAACUCGGUGUGACUCGGCCGAGUCAAUCCGUCGCGGUGAGGACUCGGCCGAUUUCUCGGCGAGUCAAGUAUUUCGGUAUCGUUUCGUCACGGUAUCGUAUCGAUAGGGACCGAGACGGUGACGACUCGGCCGAGUCGUCUCGGUCUCGGCCGAGACUUCGAACCAUGAUUACAACCCAAUUACCUGACUGUGCAGCUGCAUACAAUUCGGGGUCCAUUUUCUUGCAGCCGCCACUACGUACUAAAGUCUUACCUGUUCAGGAGCAACGAAGAAUGCCAACCUGAUGAUUAAUGCUGUGAAAAUGGAUAUUCUGCAAUUUAUAUAUCCCACUGACUAGCUAGCUGAGGAUGAGGCCGUAAUCGAAACACCAAUCAGGAGUGCAAAGACUCGGCCGAGACCGAGACAACUCGGCCGAGUUGUCACUGGAACGGGAUUUUUCGAUCCGAUAUCGGAACAAGAUGACUUCGAGAUAAUAAAUCGCAAAGAACUCGGUUGAGACGUCUCCGAGACGAAUAGAAAAGGCCAAGUUGCCCCGACUCGUCCCGAGUCAUCCCGAGUUAACUCGAAUUUUCAUUAUUUUUGUUAAUUUUUAAUUUUUUUAUCAUAUUUUUUUAAUAAUUUUUAGAAUAUUAAAUAUUUCAAAAAUUUGCGUCUCACCGAAGUCGCGACUGAUAUGCCGAGACCGAUGUGGAACGGUCCGGACCGCGACUGCAAUUGCAACCAUGACUUUGAACCAUGAUUAGGACUGAACUGAGAUGACGUUGAGCUCAGAUGUAGAGAAAAGUAUCAAAUUUAUGCAGAUUGAUGCUGCAAUGAUCUGUAGAGAACCGUAUCACAGUUGGAAUAAUGCUUUGAAAAUGUGUAUUCGGUGUUGGGGAAACCGGGUAUUUUCCCACUCAAAAUUACAACUAGUGAUUAAACCGAUUCAGUAAUUCCCAGGAAAGAUCGUCAAAUGAUCUCCUUAGACAGAAUUACCAUUCCAAGUAAAUUCCCAGGAAAGGCUGGAGGGGUCACAAGCGGUCCCACUUAAAACCCAGUCUCCUAGACAGAACUUACGUGCACGGUGUAUUAUCACAACUAUACCCGUGUAUACAUAAAUAAAACGUAAACACGAAUAAGAAAAUACACCCAAAAGAAUCGUAUAAUACACUACAAAUAAACCCGACAAAUAUAUUGAAUACUAUACUAUAAUUGAAAAGAAACUGCUAAAUAAAUGCGGAACAAAAUAAAAGAGAUAAGGAAAGAACGCACCCGAAAAUUGAUAACGGAGUUCGGCCAAUUUUGCCUACUCUCCGAGCACCACUCAAGCAGCCCGCUUUUAUAAAUUUUUGGGAGAAGAAAGAAUACAAAGAAUUACAAAAUCCUUAUGGGUAAUUCUUUGUUGUUCUUGGUACACAUUAAUUUGAAGGAUUGAUAGCUAUUUAUAGCAAUCUCUCAAUUCCUCAAUUCCUAAAGCUUCCGAUGUGGGAUGAAAUGUUUGCCAAAAACUUCAACAUUUGUGGGCUUAAAAAAAGUCAACAAAUGUGGCUUGAAUUCAAAGAUUUGAAUUCAACAAAUCUCCACCUUGGCAUAAUUUCUAAUCCCACCCAAAAAAUACAAACCUUCUUACCCAAAAAAUAACCAAUGGUCCUUGCGGUGCUUUCAAAUUUGCGCCCUCAGGCGCCAACUCAAAUAUGCAGGAUAUUGACCAAGUCUAAACAAUGUUCUAACUUGGACCUUGUAACCACCUUGGUCAGCAUAUCUGCAGGAUUCUCCGUAGUCCAAAUCUUCUGAAGAAAAAUCUCCUCUUCUUCGAGAAUUUCCCGCACAAAGUGAUAGCGAACAUCAAUGUGCUUCGUUCUUGCGUGAAAGACUUGGUUCUUUGCUAAGUGAAUAGCACUCUGACUGUCACAAAACACGUCAAUGUGUUUUUGACCAACUCCCAAGUCUUCAAGCAAUCCUUGAAGCCAAAUUGCCUCCUUCACAGCUUCUGUAAUCGCCAUGUACUCUGCCUCCGUUGUUGACAAAGCCACCGUUGAUUGCAAAGUAGACUUCCAACUGACUGGCGCCUUGGCAAAUGUGAACAAGUAGCCAGUUGUAGAACGUCGCUUAUCCAAAUCACCUGCAUAAUCAGAAUCACAAUAUCCAACUACACAUUGACCAAGUGAUUUAUCCUGCUCAAAUACUAAUCCAACAUCUACGGUAUUUUGGAUAUACCGUAAAAUCCAUUUCACAGCUUGCCAAUGACCCUUGCCUGGAUCAUGCAUAAACCUGCUUACCACACUAACUGCCUGUGAAAUGUCGGGUCUCGUACACACCAUUGCAUACAUCAAGCUACCAACUGCAUUAGCAUACGGGACUUUCGCCAUGUAUGCUCGCUCUUCAUCCGUCUUUGGAGAUAAUAGGCUACUAAGUUUCAAAUGAGGAGCAAGCGGAGUACUUACAGGUUUUGAAUCUUCAUUCAUGCCAAAACGUUGUAGUACCUUCUUCAAAUACUGCUUCUGUAUCAGACAAAGCUUGCCGCUCGUUCUAUCCCUGCUUAUCUCCAUGCCGAGAAUCUUCUUGGCUUCUCCCAAAUCCUUCAUCUCGAACUCUUUACUCAACUGAGCCUUCAAUUUAUCAAUUUCAACUUGGCUCUUUGAUGCUAUCAGCAUAUCAUCAACGUACAAGAGUAAGUAGAUGUAGGAAUCAUCUCGUAGCUUGCGCAAAUACACACAGUGAUCGUAUUUGCUUCUUGUGUACUUCUGGUCCAUCAUGAACUGGUCAAAUCGUUUGUACCAUUGCCUCGGUGAUUGUUUCAAUCCGUACAACGAUUUGCUCAGUUUACAAACCCAAUUUUCUUUACCAGCAACUUUAAAUCCAUCUGGCUGAGACAUAUAGAUUUCCUCCUUCAAGUCACCGUGAAGGAACGCGGUCUUCACAUCAAGUUGAGCUAGCUCCAAAUUCAACUGCGCUACCAAGGCCAACAAAAUUCUAAUAGAGGAAUGUUUAACAACUGGAGAAAAUACCUCAUUAUAAUCAACUCCCUCCUUCUGAGCGUAGCCUUUAGCCACCAAUCUUGCCUUGUAGCGAACAUCAAUCUUGUCAGGAAAUCCUUCUUUCUUUGCAAAUAUCCAUUUGCAUCCAAUUGCCUUCUUGCCCUUCGGUAGUUGUGUCAACUUCCACGUAUUGUUCUUCUGAAGAGAUUGCAUCUCUUCUUCCAUAGCAUCUUUCCAUCUACCAUUUCUGUACUUCGAACUGCUUCAGAAAAUGUGGAUGGAACAUCAUCAACAACUGGAAGUGCAUAGGCCACCAUGUCAACAAAACGAGCAGGUUUAUGAAUUUCUCGUCUUGCCCUAUUGACGGCAAUUGACUCUUGCUGCUGUUGAGGUUCUUGGGUUGAAACCUCUUCCUCAUCUGACUCUUCUUCUGCCAUGGGAGAGUCACUGAAGGUGCUGUUUGUUGGGCUCACCAUUAUCUGCUCAAACUCCACCUGUUUCGGCGUACACUCCACCUGUUGCGGAGUACCACUGGUUCCAUCUUGUGUUACCUUAUUCAACAUGGCAGAUUCAUCAAAGGUAACAUCCCUGCUGAUAAUGGUUUUCUUUGCUUCUAGACACCACAACCGGUAUCCCUUAACUCCAGCACUAAAGCCCAUAAAGAGAGCUUUCUUUGCACGUGGAUCCAAUUUUGAUUCAUUUACAUGAUAAUAUGCAGUAGAACCAAAAAUACGCAAAGAAUCAUAAUCUGUUGCAAGUUUUCCAGACCAUACCUCUAAUGGAGUCUUGCCACCGAUUGCAGAUGAUGGCAAGCGAUUGACGAGAUGUUGAGCGUAUGUCACAGCCUCAGCCCAAAACUUUCUGCCUAACCCAGCAUUAGACAGCAUGCAACGUACUUUCUCCACUAGUGUCUUGUUCAUACGUUCUGACACCCCAUUCUGCUGCGGUGUUUUUCUAACUGUGAAGUGCCGAACUAUGCCACAUUCUUGGCAUAUCUUCUGGAAGGGAUCACUCUUGUAUUCUCCACCGUUGUCUGUUCGGAGAAUCUUGAUCUUUCUUCCCGUCUGGUUUUCAACCUGAGCUUUCCAUUUAAGGAAAAUCUCUAGCACCUCAUCCUUGCUCUUCAUAGUAAACACCCAAACUCUUCUGGAAAAAUCAUCAAUAAAAGUGACAAAAUAAUACCUGCCACCAAGGGAUGGAGUCUUGGCAGGUCCCCACACAUCUGAGUGCACAUAAUCCAAAAUACCCUUGGUAUUAUGGAUACCAGUGCCAAAUUUCACUUUUCUUUGUUUUCCCAGAACACAAUGCUCACAAAAUUCUAAUUUGCAAACUUUCGUACCUUUCAAUAAUCCUUGUUUGGCAAGAUUUUGCAAGGAUUUUUCACCAGCAUGUCCCAAUCGCAUGUGCCACAACUUUGUUGCUUCUGCAUCCUUCUUGCUACUGGAAGAUGUUGCUGCUGCUGCUGUCCCAACAACUGUACUACCUUGGUAGUAAUACAGAUUAUUCUUUCUCACACCUUUCAACAUCACAAGUGCUCCCGAAGUUACUUUAAGAAUUCCAUCUCGCAUCUUCACUUCCAGGCCUUUUGACUCCAAGAGUCCCAAGGAGAUGAGAUUCCUCUUCAAAUUCGGCACGUACCGAACAUCCUUCAGGAUUCUGGUGGAUCCAUCAUGAUUACGCAGCUUGAUUGAACCUAUCCCAACUGUUUUACAUGGAUUGUCAUUUCCCAUGUACACAACUCCACCUUCAAGUUCUUCAAAUUCAAAGAACCACUCCCGCAUGGGAGUCAUAUGGUAGGUACAAGCUGAAUCCAAAAUCCACUCAUCUGGAUGGGAUGUUAAAGGUGAUACAGCCAAAGAGAAAUCUGAUUCCGCAUCACUUUUGCAUUCUGCAAUAUUUACGUCUUGCGGAGCUUUCCCUUUUUUCUUCAACUUUGGACAGUCUUUCUUCCAGUGCCCUUUCUCACGACAGAAAGCACACUCAUCUUUGGCAACUCUGCUUUUCGAUUUGGACCUUCCUCUUCUCCCCUUUGAUUGGCUUUGUUGACGACCUCUUGCCACUAACGCUUCAUCUGCUGCAGCUACUUUCUUUUUCAUUUUAUCCUGCUUUCUCAAUUCACGACUAUACAAAGCAGAACAUACAGCAUCUAAAGACACAUUCUCCUUCCCAUGAAGUAACGUAGUUUCCAAAUGUUCAAAUUCAUCAGGAAGGGAUGAUAACAACAUCAAAGCCAAAUCUUCAUUUUCAAAAUUUACAUCUAAAUUAAACAGGUCUGCUACUAAUUGAUUAAACAUAGUGAUGUGUUCAUUCAUAGUAGUACCUGGUUGGUAAUCGAAACGGAACAAUCUUUUCUUCAUUAGGAGUUUAUUCUGACCACUUUUCUUCAGAAAUUUCUCCUCCAAUGCCCUCCACAAUUUCCAUGCAGAAGUCUCGUUUUUGAAAGCAUAUUUUUGCUCUUUGGACAAACACGAUCGAAUAGUUCCGCAUGCCAACCGAUUUAUGGUACUCCACUCCUUCUCUUCUAUGUCAUCUGGUUUCUUUUCUUCAAUGGCAAUGUCAAGACCCUGUUGGAAAAGGGAGUCCAUGACUUCGCCUUGCCACAUGCCGAAAUGGCCAGUACCGUCAAAUGUGUCCACCGCCACUUUCAAACUUGACAUUGGAAUCCUCGACCAUGUGGACGAGGAAGCCGAUGCCCCAGAUAUAAUUCUUGACGUGGAAUUGUCAGAUGCCAUUACAGACUCAAAUGAUAGUAUUCAAUAUAACAAAUUACAAACAAGCCAAAGGAUGAACCUUCGGCUCUGAUACCACUUGUUGGGGAAACCGGGUAUUUUCCCACUCAAAAUUACAACUAGUGAUUAAACCGAUUCAGUAAUUCCCAGGAAAGAUCGUCAAAUGAUCUCCUUAGACAGAAUUACCAUUCCAAGUAAAUUCCCAGGAAAGGCUGGAGGGGUCACAAGCGGUCCCACUUAAAACCCAGUCUCCUAGACAGAACUUACGUGCACGGUGUAUUAUCAUUCGGCUAAUUGUGUGUCACAUGACUAGCUCAGUGCAGUGCAGGGGACCUUAAUGGCCCCCUUGUCCUUCCUGAAUACAACUGCCGUCAAUGCAUCAUCUCAUACACCUGUAUCAACAGAUGCUUGUGGUGAAUUUAUGAUUAUGAGUGGAGGUUUCGGUGAAUGUCCAUAUCUUUUGUAAUAGUCUUGGACAACUUCCUUUGACGUUCCAGUGCUCAUCAACCGAGUUAAUGAUUUUCUUGCUCCUCCAAUACCUUCAUACGUUGCCUGUUCCUCGCCAUACAAACAAAAUCUGCUGCAACCACAUAAUAUAAAAGAAAUUACUCUUUUCCUGUUUUGUUAAUUUGGGUAUAUUUCAUCUGAAUUAGGUUGCAAUUCCUCCGGCCAAUCCUUUAGAUACCAACUCUGAAAAGGUUAACAUUUGAAUCGCAACUGCAGUUAUGAUGGAGAAACAAGAUGAAAUGAUGCUCAUUUGUGGAGCAAGACUUCUCAAUCCAUGCGAAAGUUGAAUGUCAGAACUGGUAGCUCCACAAAUUUUCAAAUAGUUGGGGGCUGGACCCAAGUUGUCUCCUAUUUAUGAAAUAGGAUGUAGGAUCUUUUCAAAAUUCUACAAAAUGGUACAGCUGUUUCUACCAAUGGAGCGGUAAGCAGUACGGAUGAAGCAAACGGACGACACGAAGACGCUUAAGAGUAAAUGUAAAUUCGACCAAAUGUGAAGACCAGAGUGAAAGGAUGUAAAGAUGAUUGAGAGAGAGAAAAACGUGCAAAUGUGAAGGUGAAUGUGUUACUGUAGUUGAAUCAAUUAACGAAUACAAUUGAAAUGUACAAUUAAUUACACCAACCAUGGAUAGAUGAUUAGAAAAAGUGGUCCAGCAAAUAAAUAUGCAUCAAUAAAUGCUGAAAGGAAAAAUAUAAUGAAAUUGGCAGGUUGGAAUUAGAUAAUAAAUAUAAGUAUAAUAUUAAAUAUUAAACAUGAUUAGUAAUUAGAUAUUGGUUCAUCAUUCAUAUUUGAAUUAUUAAAUAUUUGAAUAUAUAACUUAAACUUGCAAGCAUAUGCUAAAAGUACAUAUAAAAUAUGUGAAUUUAUAUUCAUUAAUUACUAAUUUUGUUUAAGCAUAGACAACUGAGAUAACGGAUAUGAAUUGUAUAUCAACAUGUUAAUGUAUUAUAUUUUAUCAUUAAUAGCAAUCAAGUCAUUUAUUUGCAUGGGAGGAGCGGGGGAGAAAUGGAUUGGAUGAUUCGGGGAGGAGGGUGUACAAUUGAUUGGUGGAAGUGUCUUCGUAGUCACACCUAAUCUUUUUCUUUGUUUUGGUCAAGCGUCUUCAUAAUGGCAGAGCGGAAAUUCAGCUCGGGAGGACAAUAUAUAGCUAGUCAAAACUUUUUUUUUUUUAAUCAUUUCAGCCAAAAGAAAGAAGCCAGAUUAACAGAGAAACUCAAUUUCUUUUCUUUGUCUGUUUCCAUCAAAUUAAACCAGCUUUUUUUUUUUUAAAUUGAUGCAGUAUGUCAAUGUCCAUAUACUACGAAACACUCUAGUAGGUUAAUACGCCACUAGACAAGGUACCUCAACUCCUCCGAAGCUCCCACGUUGCAAAGAAUCUAGAUGAUUACCACUUUUGUUCAGUUCUUAACUUGUUGCUUUUUGUUGGAAAUUUUACUCAAAAAUUAUUAUACUACCGGAACAAGAAGAGAAGAAACCACCGAUCCAUACGAAAUUUGAAUUGAUUUAGGAUAUAGUACAUCCUGUUGGAUAUUAUGCACUUUGGUUCCUUUGCCUAAUUGGAAAUUACCCGGCCCUUUUUUUUGUCUGCAAUGAUAGCUAUCUAACCUAUUCCCACUCUUAUUUUUACGGGAGGAGUUUAAAUAAACUUGUAUACGAGUUUGGGGGUGAACCAUUAAACCUUUAUCCAAUAACUGAAAAGAGCCCCUUAAAGUUUUCUAGUGCACUAGGUCGGGAGUUCAAAACCCGUCCAAUGCAUUACACAAAAAACAUGGUGUUUCUUGUUUUUAAAAAGUUAAAAAAAUUCAGAGAGUGCAUUGUAGCGUGGCCAAUUAGAAAUAUCUGUAGUCUCAUUAGAAAUAUCCGUAGUCUCAUUAAUGGCCUUUGCCCUUUAUUUAUUUAUUUAUUUUUCAUUUAAUAUGUCGUAGCCACAUUAAUGUACUUUCUCUUGGGUAGGCAUGACUACACUUUGAAAUACCGGAAGCUGGCUGUUUUUGGUAUAUAGGUCCAUUCAAAUUCUGGAUUCAGGAUUUGACCCAAGUAGAUUUGUUGUGGUUAAAAAAAAAAAAAAAAAAAAGGAUUCGUGGUGGUAGUAAAUUUCACCUGAACUAGUACUUGUGUUUUUUAUUUUUUUUGGGUAAAAUAACGUCCUAAACGGAGAAAUAAUCCACGUACUUGGAGGCUUUGAGCGUUUGAGCUAGGAAAUCCAUUUGGGCACCAUCUCAGUUCAUCUUUUUAUUCACCCUAUUCAAUUCUUCUUUUUUUUUUUUGGGAGAAAUAAUCUUGAUUGAUCAAUUGGGCAUUUAUCUAUUUUGAGUCAAUCGUGUUCAGAAGGUGCUCUCAUGCAACCUAAAUAAAAAACGAAAAAAAAGAUUUUUUAUUUUUAUUUAUUUUUUUUGCAUCUUGAGAUAAAGAGAAAGAAAUGUUACUUAUAAACAGUGUUGGUGCCAAUAAAUUUUUCUGUCUCCUCUCCGUUUUUCAAAUUGUACACUCCUUCCUUGUUCCCCCAGGUCAUCCCCACGACAUCCUCAUCUAAAUCUAUUGUGGUAGUCGUGCUUCCUGGACACCGGAUUUGGGCCUUAUAAGUUCUAAUUCAAAUUGGUUGUGUGAAUUUGGGUGAGUGUAAAUAAAUAUAAUUUGGGUGUAAUCGAGAUUUUUGUACAAAUUCUGUUGUCUAAAUUACAAAUUCAAGUUUUACGUCAAAUUUAUGCUAAUUUUACACGAGAUGUCAGAAUUUCACGACUGAUUUGAAUUUGAUAGCAACUCAACUUGUGAGAUCUCGAAUCCUUGAAUACUUCCCUUCGAUGUUGUGUUGUAGAGCUCAUCAACUAAUUUAUUGAUUUUUUGAAAAACCAACUCCUCCAAUACCAUUAUGCUUUUUUUUGUUCCCUGCAAUACAAAUAAACCCCACCCCCGGGUGCAAAUGCAAUUUUUUUUGUAAGGUUCCGCUGCAAAAAUACAAAAGUUCAUACACUUCUGUAUUCUUGAUUUUUUUUUUUUUUUUUGUUAAUCUGGAUAUAACCUAAAUUAUGCAGCAGUUCUUCUAGCCAAUCUUUUAGACACCAAGUCGGAAGGAUUAAAUUUAAACUGCCAUUCCGAUGCAAAUUGCAAAAAACACUUUUUUUUCUUUCUUUUUGGGGACCUUACCUACUAAAUUUCUGCGCCCCACAACCUUGACUUUUUAUUAUUUUUUGCAAUCGAACACUACGAGUCCAUACUAAAAUGCAGCCUAUUUAUAUAUACACAAAAAAGAAAGAAAGCGUCACAUUGUACAUUUUCAAGUCCAAUCCAAAGAAUAACAAAAAACCCAACCCAAUUUGUUGGACGAAAGUGGGAGGGAGCUGCAAAAAGUUCAGAGAGUAAGAAAGAAUCAAAUUUUUUAUUAAGUUACCAUUGAAUUGUAACGCAACUAAUCCUCGGCUUCGGUCAAAUCCUGACGAUAUCGUUUAUGUAGACCUAGAGCGAAAGUGUCGACAUCAUCAGCUUCGCUAUGCAUUUCUUGUCCUCGUUUUCUAUCAAAAAAGUGAAGCAUAUGUAACGCCAUGCCAAGCAGCGAGGACACAAAUUUGGUAGGACUGCGUAGAAGCCGACUAUGUAUGAAUAUGUCAAGGCCAAGCCAAGCAAGCAAAGCACACACCAAAAUCGUGGCGGUCAAAUGUGGUAGCACUGCGUACAAGCCGUAGAGAAAUGCCGCCGUCAUGAAUCCCAGAGCCAAACCAACUUCUACCACAAUUGCCCGGACAGCAGCCAACUUAAACCUGUACUCUUUUGACCGCACGAGCUUGAUAUGUCCAACCACUGCAACUAUGGAGGCAAACAUUGCCAAGCAAUCUGAAAUAACAAAUGCAAUAAAAGCUGCUUUCUUGCCUAGAACUGCCAUGCCUUUGUGUGGACCGUCACUGUUGUAUCCACCUGGAACUUGAAAAACAGCUGCAAAAGUGACUGUUGCGAUCAGUGUAGCCACAAUCGAAUAAUUCUUAGACAAUUUUUCGACUCUUUUUACUUCAUCAGGACUAGAGAAUGCUCGUAAGAUCUUCUCUACGGUUGCAACAUUUCGAUACCCUCGAGUGCCACCUGCUUGCUCCAACUGAUACUUGAUUAAAAUCUGUCACAAACAAAAUUGUAACAACAAAAUUGUAACAGCGAGGUCGCUGAUUGCAAUGGACCGCUAAAAUAUGAAGCCAGUCCUGGUGUACUCUUCCAACACCACUUGCACAUGUGAUAGAUAAGGAUAUUAGAUAAUAUGCAAAACUAUCAUUGAUCCUUCCAAUUAGAAGUGUCAUGUUUUUUAUUUUUAGACAGACAAAUUAAUGCUCACCUUGAAUAAGGUUGGUUAGAUAAUAAUGGUUAUAAAUCAAAGUAGAAAGCUUACAUUUAAAGCAGACAUAAUGGGAGGAAAGAGAAAAAAAAACAGUUCAAGAAGAAAACGGGAAACAUGAGUUUAAGAAAAAUAGUUUUGAAAAAAAUAUAAAAUGAAAACAGGACCAUCUUUUUCUUCUUCUUCUUUUUGCGUUUUUCAUAAACCACACCGUGUUCUUCUUGAUUUAUAAAGAGCCGCGUGGCAAUUGUGUUUACACUUUUGGUGAGGUUAUUGUAUUUCUUACAAAAUUGUUUGGUACACUUACAUAAAAUAGUGUACUUCUUUAAAUAUCUACUGUAUUUACGAACAAAAUUAACACUAUUUAAAAAAAAACUAAAAUUAAGACUUCUAUAAUAUGAUUAAGUGUACUUCAAAUAUAUGACAAGCACAACAAUUGUACAGCACUGCAACAAACACAAUAUUUUCCACAUAAAUGAAGAGAAUUGUAGUAGCGUCACAGACACGAUGGCCUGAGAUUUUAAAUACCAUGAGUGUUUUAAAAAAUAGGAAUGAAGAUACCUAAAAUUUAAGGAUACGCAAAUAUAGCAACGAUAGACUUGGGAGGAUUAGUAGUUAAGAAUAUUCUAAAACUUACAAAAUCUAACUUUCCUAUUUUCUAAAAAUAAAAUUUUAUAAUAAUUUAAAAUUUUCAAGUUCAUAUAAGAAAAUUUGAAAAAAACUUUUAAUAAUCACUAUGAUCAGUCAAAGGGGAGGGGGAAAAAACAUCUUAUACCUGUCUUUCUGAAAGUUGAUCAUCCCGUACUAUCUUGUCUAGAGGCGUGGAGUUGGAAUUGUCAAAAGAAUUGACAUCCACAAAAGGAUAAUUCACAAGGCAAUUCCCAUCUAAGUUUUUGGUAGCAACAUACAGGUGGAGAGGAGUGUUUCCUUCGUUAUCCUUUUGGUUAAUGAGAUCAGAAGCCCAGGAAUUCUGUAAAACAAACUCCAAGACUUCUCUUUUUUCAUGCUUUACAGCUAGGUGAAGCAUAUUCUGACUUUUACCCGUAAUCUGAACCCAACAAUCUGGGCAGUGGGAUAAAAUCUCUUGCACCAAAACUACAUGUCCAUGAAUUACCGCAAUAUGUAGAGCAGUCUUGGAGUCAUCAGUCUUGGCAGCAACAUAGGCAGUAGACCUAUCAGCAGACAGUAAUAGUCUUGCAAUUUCUUGAUAAUUAAAUUUGGCAGCAUAAUGAAGUGCAGUCCACCAAAAUUCAUCGCCAUUCUUUAUAACAUUAGGCAGCUUUUCCAAAAUCAGCUUCAUGGAUUCUGUAAGUAGCUAAUAUUUUAGCACAACAUAUGAAGAUAUUGUUAUUCACUACAUCAUUAAGAUCAAUUACACUACAACAACUUACAUAUACUGUGUGAAUUAAACAAGUGUUAUGAUUAAUGGAUAAAUAUGUACAAACAAUACAGAAUACAUUAUUGAAGGGUAAAUUAUAUAUAACCUCCCUGUGAUUUCAUCUAUUGCCACAUGACUCCCUAACGUUUCAAAAUGUCCACUUCACCCCCUAUGGUUUUUAUGUAAUGUGAAAACUUGGCAAAAAAUAGCCUACAUAUCAUUAGUUGAAAUAUCAAUAGUAUCUUUAUUUAAAUGCUAAAUCAAUCGAUAGUUUAACCAUUUUGAAUAAAGUAUAAGGAGAUUACGUGGAUAAAUGCAAAAAUCAUAUGAGGUAAAGUGGAUAUUUAUAGAAACCAUAAGGUGGUUACAGGGAUAUUAAAAUUUUAUUAGACACGCUUUGAAAGCGUGUUUGGUAUAAACGCUAUAACUAAUUAUGCAUUCCGUUCAUUUUUCACUUUACAUAAAAUCACAAAGGGGUUAUGUGACUAUUUUAAAACCUUAGGAGAUCAUCUACAUUAUAUAAAACUAUAGAGAGGUGUAAUAAGUAAUUUACCCAUUAUUAAAUGGUAUUUUAUCAGAUUAAUUAAUUUUUCAUAAAUCCCUUUUGAUGCAUUAAUCGCUUGUGCCAUCAAAGUCCAAAUUUCAUACAAGGUAAAAAAUUAAUUCCCCUGUAUCAAAAUAUGAAAAUAUAUAUAUAUAAAAAGAAGGAACAGGAGCUCAGGAGCUCAUGUUAAUAUAAAACAUGCUUAUCCAUGAAGUAACCUGGCGAAUUCCGAAUUGCGGCAGCAUGCAAGGCAGUUUUGUGUCCGGGGACAAGAUAAGAUGGUGUCUUGCAAGACUCCAAAAUUAGAACCAUAAUAUUAUGGCGUCCCUUCUCAACUGCCAGAUACAGAGGUGUCUCCACAGCAUAAUUGUGGGGAUAACGAACCUCAGGAUCUUCUUGAACUAACAAUUUGGCGAUGUCAUAGAAGUUGUUCCUAACUGCCUCGUGUAAAGCUGUGUUUCCAGCCUUACUAGCCAUCCUCAGCAUCCUCUUGCGCCUGUCAAAACAUGGGGGGAACCAGCGUCCUGCUUCCGAUUUUGCAUAGUCAAUUAGUGCUCGAACGACGCCUGAAUGCCCCUUUCUUGCCGCCAAAUGAAGUGCAGUCUCGCCCCGUUUGUUCAAUUUCAUAAGCAAACGGCCAUGUCCAGCAAGGAUAAGCUGGACUACAUUUGCAGAGUCACAAGACUGGGCUAAUACGUGAAGGACUGUGUCUUCUACUGGAGUAUGUUGAGUGUAGAAGUCGUCUGAAAAGCUUUCCAUUACAACCCAAUUACCUGACUGUGCAGCUGCAUACAAUUCGGGGUCCAUUUUCUUGCAGCCGCUACGCACUAAAUUCUUAACAGGUGCAAUGAAAAAUGCCAACCUGAUGAUUAAUGCUGUGAAAAUGGAUAUUCUGCAAUUUAUAUAUCCCACUGACUAGCUAAUUGAGAAUGAAGCCAUAAUCGAAGCAGUAAUCAGGACUGAACUGAUCAGCUGAUGCUGAACUCAGAUGGAGAGUAAAGUAUCAAAUUUAUGCGGAUUGAUGCUGAAGUAAUCUGUAGAGAAGCGUAACAAAGUGGGAAUAAUGCUCUGAAAAUGUAUAUUCUGCCAAUCGUGUGUCACAUGACUGUCUCAUUGUGGAUGAAGUCACGUCGAAGCAGUAUUCAGGACUGAAAUGAGAUGCAGAGGAAAUUAUCAAAUUUUUGCAGAUUGAUGCUGAACUAAUAUGUGGAGAAAGGUAUCCAAAUUGGAAUGCCGACACCAAAUUGAAGAUCUUGUAAUACAUCUCCUCUACGAAUUUUGUCUGCCCCAUUCUUUGUUAUUUCCUUGUGCCAGCAACUGUUCAAAUACGCUACUUACAAAAAGUUUUAACAUUUUUCAAAUGAUUCCUGACCUUUUUCAUGAAUUGUGCCCGUGGAUCCUGUUGGAUCUGUCCACGGAUCGACUUUGACAUAAUUACAUAAACUUUCUCACCAGAGCCUGGCUCUUUGAUCUGGUACAAACUAGGCCUGAUCCAUGACCAGAUUAUGCAUCCGGCCGGCAGAUCUAACAUGAUCCGCUGGCUGAUCUUUAAAGGAGAAAACUCCUCUGUUGCAAAAAUCCAACCUGUGGAGCGGAUUUAAAGCGGAUCCGUGUGCAAAUUGCCCGGAUAUUUUAAAAAGUUCAAUAAAAAGCAAAGUUUAGAUGAUAUCAUUCUAGCAUUCAAGAUGUCAUCAUUUCAUAAUAUGAACUUUACAUCAAUUAUAUAACAGCAAUUGAAAAUCCAACAUGGAUUUCACAUAAUUGGACAUUCAAGAUAUCUUUCAUAUUGAUUAUUCUACCAUAACUGAAAAUGAAAACACCAACAACUUUGUUACCUGUAAACUUCCUUUCAUGGAUCUAUCACCAAUUUGACCCCUUAAAAUUCUUUCACACAAGUAACAUAGUAGCACACAAAUAACAAACCAUUAUACGUUUUCUUUAGGUGAUUGUCAUGUACUUGUCCGUUUACUCCGAGCUCAAGUUUAGCAUCGUUUUUUGGACAUGAUACGGUUUUGAAAAGGGCUAAUUCUUUCUAUAGAGGACAAAUACGACUUAUCUACUAUCUAGGUCUGCUGCUUGUUACCAUCUCUUGCAUAUUAUAAAAAUUUUAUUAGUUAAUUUACCUGAAAAAAUUAAUAAUAAAUUCUUCCUAUUAGUCUUUGAAUCUAAUUCUCCAAAUAAAGUGGCUACGUAGCUAUUGCUAUAUAUAUAUAUAUAUAUUUGCCUUUGUUUAUAAAGCACAUGUAUUAUUACAAUAUAUUAAUCUUUGCUCACUGUACAAAAUAUCUAGCUCCAUCCAGUAAUGCAUAUACUAUAAGUUUAUGUUUAUGAAUUCAAACUCCAUGAGAUUUGUUCAAAUCACAGUUCAACCCUUUAAUAACCAAACACAUAUCAAAUCAUACCCUCCAUUAGUAAACUAAUUAAAUUGAUAGCCACAAAAUUUUUGAUGAAAUUCUCAAGAUAGCCCGUCAGAAACGCUAUCAUCAUUCCUAUCAUAGCCGUGAAAAUUGUUGAACUACUCGCGUGGAGCGUAGCCAACCUGUACAUAUAGUUACUGCCCUGCAAUAGCUUCAUUUGUUUGAAGCACUGCAUCAAUGGAGAGCAUGACUGCUAGUGAAUCCGAAAUAACAAACCUAAUAAAUACUACUUUCUUCUCUAGAGCUGCCAUUGAUGCAACCAGUGUAGCCACAGUCAAAUAAGUCCCUGCCUGUCUUUUAUUCCAUUUUUUUUAUGUUUCUUCAGUUUUCUCUUCUGUACGGUGGCAACAUUCUGAUAUCCUGCAGUAGCACCCACUUCCUCCAACUCUUUCUUGAUUAAAAUCUACACAAUUGCUUUAGUUUGACACAGAAUCGUAACAAGGAACUCUCAAAUUUGUAGCAAUUUGUUGAUUAGGUUAGUUUCUUAAGUUAAAAUAAUGUCCAGAUCCAAUGUAACCUACAUUACUGGAAGGGUAUAAGUAUAUUUGUUGUGUCAUUGUACAUUCUUGAGAAAUACAAAAAUAUUUUUCCAAAUCUUCCCCUCUCUCUUACAUGGUACCAGAGUAGAGAUGUUCAAAAUACUAGUCUGAUUUAGACCUACUACACUUGAAACUAUGACAGAAUCGUCUGAGGUGGUAGAAUGUAAUAGAACUCAUUUUAUCCUAGAAAAUUUGACUGCACAAAUGCUAGAAUGUCAUAAGCUAUGUUUUUUACUCGUUAAAAUAAUCAAACAAAAUUGAAUAUUAUGAUGUUUAACUUCUUUAAAUUUAUGUACACCCCUAAUUCUUUUGUAAUAGUGCACGGCACACAAUUCAAGAUCCAUUUUCUUGCAGCUGCAACGUACUGAAGUCUUGACUGUUCAGGAGCAAUAAAAUAUGCCAACUUGAUGAUUAAUGCUUUGAAAAUGGAUAUUCUGGAAUUGACAUCACACUGACAAGCUAGUUGAGGAUGAAGCCAUAAUCGAAGAGUAAUCAGGACUGCACUAAUCAUAUAAUGCUGAACUAAGAUGUAAAGAAAAGUAUUAAAUUUAUGCAGAUUGAUGCGGAAGUAAUCUGUAGACAAACGUAUCAAAUUUGGAACAAAUUUUUUGAAAAUGUAUAUUCUAUAAUUACGUAUCACGGUGACUAUCUAAUUAGAGUGAAACCAUGUCGAAGUAGUAAUCAGGACUGAACUGAGACGAUGCUGCGGUAAGGUAUAAAGAAAAGUAUCAAACUCUUGCAGGUUGAUGCUCAACUAAUAUGUAAAGAAAGUUGUCAGAAUUGGAAUCUGGACUCCAAAUUGAAGAUCUUUCUAGUCCUCCUUGCAUGCGAUUCUUGUCUGCCCUUUUCCUUGUCAUUUCUUAGUGUCAGCAAUUGUUGUAACCUUUUUUCUUUCAUUUGAUGUGCUUUCCUUAGCUGAUUGUCAUCUACUUAUGCUGUGUACUUUGAUCUCAAGUUGAGUAUCGUUAUUUGGCAUGACAUGGUUUUGAAAAAGGAUGAUUACGACUUAUGCACAAUCUCAGUUGCAUGCUGCUACUCUGUGAAGAUCUAUUGCCCAUUAAGAAAAUUUUAUUGCUUCAUUUACAUGAAAAAAAUAAAUUAAAAAUACUUCCUAUUAGUCUUUAAGCCUAAUUCUCCAAAUAAAGUGCCUAUUUAGCUAUUACUGUUCAUGGCAACAAGACUGUAUAAUGCAUCACAAUCAAGUAAAAUAUAAUUGUUUCUCUUCUUAUUUUUAUUGGCCUGUGUUAAUAAAGUGCAUGUACUAUUUCCAUCUAUUAAUCUUUUGUUUAGUGUAAAAAUUUUUAGUUGCAUCCACAAGUAUAUACGUUUUAUAUUUCUUUAGUCAAAGUUCAGCUACCAUUUUUAUUCAAGGUCUCUUUCUUUUUUCAUUUUUUUUUUACUAGGAGAGGGUUGGGAUUUAAAAUGUAGAGAAGAGGGAAGGAGAUUUGAACCAAAACCUCUAAUUUUUGGGGUUUAGACCUUAAUCACUGCACAAAACUAUCGUGUCUGUAAGGGUUAAUUACAAUUACCUUCUUUGAGGUUUGGCGAAAUUACAAAACAUAAUCCCUGUUUGUCGAGGAAGUCUUAAUCUAGUGGCUACCUUAAGAAUUAGAGGUUCUGAAUUCUAAUUUCCUGCCUUCUCUCCACUUCUUAAAUUUUACUCCUCUCAUAUUGAAAAAUAAUUUUGAAAAAAAGAAUAUGAAGAAGUUUUUCCAUGUAUGUGUGUAGAUAAUCAAAUCCCAAUUUUACACAAAGAACAUAUUAACUUUAAAUACAAAACAAACACUUCUUUGAGUGUCGGUACAUUCAGUCAUAGGCGAGAAAAGACAACUUCAAAACGAGGUCCAGGUUUCACUAUUCAUAUCAUCUUAUUAAAUUUUAUUGACCAACACCUAAUUGUACACCCAAAUGUAAUAGAUGAUUGUUGUAUAAAGAAAGUUAGAAUAUGGUGGUGGCUGAGAUGAGUCAUAAGCAAAGAAAAAUAGAAGAGAGAAGAGAUUUUCUUGAUGUUUUUCACUUCUUUCUAUAUCGUUUUUCAGUUGUUAAUACGUGAUUGUUUUCUUUUAUUCGGUGUUUUAUCGUUUCCUGGACAACAUUAAGAGAUUUUCUUCUUCACAGCUGGCUUUCAAAGGGCUAGAUCGCAUGUUGUUUAAACUACAAGGUCUUUUUUACGAUUUGGACAACUCUCAAGGGAGAUAAUUGUAGAUAAUUGCACUUUUCUACAAGGAUGUUUUCUUUGGGGUUUGGAGACUGUAGUAAAAGUAAUUUAUUACAAACAGAAGGCUCAUUUGCUAAUUCAAUCAAACUGGGCUACCAUAAAUCUCAUACUGCCAGUAACAGUUGUAAGAUCAUCUUUCAUCACUCAAUUCAAUAUCCAGAAGAGGUUCUUCUGUGGACACUACCAAUGUUUUUGUUGGCUUAGGUGUGUUGGCCCAUAAGGUCGGCUUUGCCCAUGCACUUCUAGGCCUAUAAGCUAGCCCAUGGGCGAUUAGUGGUUACUUCCUAUCAAUGCCUACUAAGGGUCUGUUUGAUAACAUAAAAAAGUGUUGAAUCUGAACUUUUUCAGACAUUCAAAUGUUUUGAGUGUUUGAUAAAUGAAAAUCCAUUUGCUGAACUUGUUAAGUAGUGCUGAACUUGUGUGUAUUUUUUUCAGCACAAAAAUCCUAACUGAAUGCUUAAUUCUGAUAAGAAUCAAUAGAAUUACUUCAACAACUUUAUCUUAUCUACCAAAUCUACUCUUGUUUAUUAAUUAUGUUCAAAAUUCUUAUAUAAUUAAAUAACCUAAUAUUCUCUAUCUAAUGAUUUUCUAUUUCUCUUUUCUCCCUUUUGAAUGACUUUCACUUAUUCUUCAUAUUCCUCAUAUAAUAUAAUUCAUCUUUUAUAUUAAUUUGAUUUAAAAAUAAAUAUUGUCAUUUUCAUACCUAACAUUUUUAGCUAAUUAAAUCAUAGGUUUUAUUUCUUUUUUGGAUGAAAAGAUAUAAGGGCAAAAUUGUCAAAUUUAACUUAUUAAGCAUUUAGUUAUAAAUAUUUAUUAAACAAUAUAAAUAGGUUUAGCAUUAAAAUUCAGAUAUUCAUAAAUUUUUUUCAGUGUUUAAAAUUCAGCAAAUUAAUUGUUUCAGUAUUCAGAUUUCAGAAUUCAGACUUCAGAAUUCAGAUUCAGUUUUAUCAAACGGAACCUAACACUACCACCAAUUAAUGGAAAGGAAAUUUUUCAAUUCCUUUUUUUUCGUUUUUUUUUUUUGGUGAAAAUGGUAGUUCUUUUAUUGUUUCACACAUAAAAUGAUGCAUUUAGUCCUCAACAAAAUUUAACAUGCAGCAAUUUAAUCCUACAUCCCAUUUCCUACCACUUUUAUAAUCUAAAAAAGUCCAUGACCAAUGCUGUAUGGUGCAUAACAAUCAAGUAAAAUAUAUUUCUGUUUCUCUUAUUAUUUUUCUUGGUCUUUGUUAAUAAAUUACAUGUACUAUUUCUAUCUAUUAAUCUUUUUUUUACUGUCAAAAAAUUUAUAGCUCUAUGCCCAUGUAUUUACAUCUUAUAUUUCUUUAGUCAAACUUCAGUUACCAUUUUUUGUUCAAGGUUUUUUUUUUUUUUUUUUUUAUUUCUAUUCAAUAGAAAACAAAUGGAAUUUAAGAAGUGACAAGGAAGAUUUGAACCAAAAUCUCUAAAUUCUAGGUACUGACUUCAAUCAUUAGACAAAAGGUCUCUUCAAUCAAAGUUCAACUACCAUAUUGGUUUUUUUUUGUUUGGGGAGGGGGGGGGGGGGGGACAUACCAUUAAGGUUUAAUAGCAUUAACCUUAUAGGUGAGAUGAGUCAUAGGCAAAAAAGAGAGAGAGGAAGAAAUUUUGCACUACCUUUUAUGUCAUUUUUCAGUUGUUAGCACGUGAUUGUUUUCAUUUUAUUUGGGUUUAAGUGUUUCUUGGAUAACAUUAAGAGAUUUUCUUGUUAGUAGUUGGCUUUCAAAAGGCUAGAUUGCAUGUUGGUUAAACUACAGGGUCUUUUUUAUAAUUUGGACAUCUCUAAGGAAGAUAAAAGUACUUCAGUACCAAUAGAAGGUCCAUUUGCUUAUCUAAUCAAAUCUGGGCAGAGGUCAAUGCAAUUAACCCUAUCUUUAAACACUCUGGUAGCACUGAAUUUUUAGUAUAGCAUUUGGGUUCAUUACUUGCUUAAAUUAGCAUCUAUAGUAGAACAAAAAGAAAGCCCAGCUAUUUAUUUUGUAUCUAUAGGUUUGCACUGAUACAAAUUUUGCUCUCUCAAGAUGCGUGAGAAGCAUCUGAAAAUUCAAUCAUUCUUGAACUAUAGCUAAAUACCAAAUCAAUCAAUUGACACCAAAUCUCCCCAAACAAAAAAACUAAGAAAGAUAUUUGACAGAGGUAAUAGAAAAGAUAUUGAAAAUAGUAAAAGAAUGCCAUAAUGGUUUACAUAGCUCAUAGCCUCCAAUGUAUGCGGAAAAGGAAAGAUAUUAUUGCAGUUUUUUGGUGACAAAAUGCUACCAAAACUCAUCCUCUUCAGUCAAAUCUUGAACCCAAACUCUGAAUGGACCUAUAUACCAAGAAUAAUCAGCCUCGGUAUGUCUAAACAUAGUUACAUAUCUACUACACCUAGUGUUCCUUAAAAACUGAACGAGGUCCAAAGGUAUAUGAUAGCAAUAUAUAGCAGCAAGGACGCACAACAGAAUCUUGAUAUGCAGCAUUGGUAACACAGAAGACAAGCCCGUCAGAAAUGCUAUCAUCAUCAGGAUCAUGGCCAUGAAAAUUGAAGCCCUACCUCCGUGGAGCAUAGCUAACUUGAACUUGUGGUUGUUGCUUUGCAAGAGCAAAAUUAGAUGGAGGACUGCAUGAACGGAGAUCAUUAUUGCCAAGGAAUCUGAAAUAACAAAUGUUAUAAAAAUUGCUUUGUUUCCUAGAACCGCCAGCCCUUUGUUUGGACUCUCACUAUCAUUGUAUCCACCUGGGAUGGUAAAACCUGCCGUGAAAGUGACUGUUGCAAUCAGUGUAGCCACAAUCAAGUAAGUCCCAGCCAAACUUUCCAGUUUUUCUGGUUCUUCGGUUUUUGGUGCUCCUAAAUUCUUCUUCACAGUACCAACAUUUCGAUAACCUGGACUAGCACCUGCUCGCUCCAACUCUUCCUUGAUCAAAACCUAGGCAAGUGAAUCUAUUAGACAUAGAACCGUAGCGAUGAACUUUCAAAUUUGUCACAUUUUCUUUCUUAUUGUAUACUGGAGAUGAAAAGGUAAUAGAAGGAAGUAUUGAGACUUUUCCAAAAAUGAACUUUCUUAAAAGGCAAUUCAAAGGGAUCAUUCUUUUAUUUUUGCUCUUGAUUUCCUUGGCUAAGUUUUAGUAUCCUACUUUAAUUAAUAAGCUCAUCAUUGCGACCAUGCAAAGGGGGAGAGAGUAAAACGGGUACCUGUCUUCCAGUAAGCUCACGGCUGUGAAGUAUGUUGUCAAGAACAGUGGAAUUGGAAUUGUCGAAAGCACUGAUAUCAACACAAGGGUGAUUUACAAGGCUAUUACCAUCUAAGUUUUUGGUGGCAACAUACAGGUGGAGAGGAGUGUUUCCUUUAGAAUCCUUUUGGUUGAUGAGUUCAGAAGCCCAAGAAUACUGUAAGAAAAAUUCCAACACUUCUCUUUGUUCAUAUUUUACAGCAAGAUGAAGGAUGUUCUGGCGUUUAUAUGUGAUCCUCUCCCAACAAUCUGGGCAAUGCAAUAAAAGCUCUUUUAUGACAGCUACAUGUCCUUGAGUCACCGCAAUAUGUAAAGCAGUCAUUGAGUCGUCAUUAUUGGCAGUAACAUAGGCCAUGAACUUGUAUUUAGACAAUAAUUGUCUUACUACUCCUUGAUGAUUAAAUUUAGCAGCAUAAUGAAGUGCAUUCCAUCCAAAUUUGUCGACUUUCUUUGUAAGAUUUGGCAGCUUCUGUAAAACCAGUUCCACUUCUGCACAGCAGCCAAUGUUUUUUUAAGAUAUUAUAGUUCAUUAAAAAUAAACCGCAAGAACUCACAACUUGGAUAUUAUCCCAGCUAAAUUGCACUUUUUGCAAAUUGGUUUAAAGGAAUAAAUUGAUAUCAUAAACCAAAUUGAUUUGUUUAUCAAUAAAAGGCGAUGAUAUGCAAGUUGAAUUUCGACACUUCAUAGAUCAAAGGCUCUAUAAAGCAUAAACGACGCUUAAACAGACUAAGAUGGAGUCAGAAAUAUUUAAAACUCAAGAUAUGUAAUUGUUCAAUAGAUAAUUUCAGGCCAUGAUCCUUAAUCCAGGAGUAAAAAUGGUUACCCUGCUUUCCCCCGCGUCUUCUCUGUUAAUGUAUCAGAAUGGAUAAACAUCCAAAAUUUGUUGCUUUUUCAGAGAUGGUGAGUGACAUUUAAGGCUACCUGGCGAAUUCCGUAUAGCUGCAGCGUGCAGGGCAGUUCUGUUACCGGGGCCGAGAUAAGAUGAAGACUUGCAAGUCACCAAAAUCAGAACAGCGAUAUCAUGAUAUCCCUUCUCUACUGCUAGAUACAGAGGAGUCUCCAUAGCAUAAUUGGGGCGAUAAUGAAACUCAGGAUCUUCUUGAACCAACAAUUUGGCAACCUCAUAGAAGUUGUUCCUAACUGCCUCAUGUAAAGCUGUGUUGCCAUCCACAUUAGCCAUCCUCAGCAUCCUCUUGCAUCCGUCAAAACCCGGAAAUCGAAAUCCUGAAUGAGGAUAUUGAUGUCUUGCAGAUGCAAUAAGUGCUCGAACAAUGCCCAGGUGCCCCUUUCUAGCUGCCAAAUGAAGUGCUGUUUCGCCAUGAACAUUCUUUUUCAUUAGCAGACAGCAAUGUCCUGCAAGGAUAUGUCGCGCUACCUCUGCAGAGUCACAAAACUGGGCUAAUACGUGGAGGACUGUGUUUCCAGUCGAAGUCUUCUGAGAAUAGAAGUUCCCAGAAAACCUUUUCAUUAGAACCCAAUCACCUAAAUGCGCUGCUGUAUACAAUUCAGGAUCCAUUUGUUUCUGUAACUCAUUGUCUAAAUACUACAGUGGGACAUGCCAGACACAUACUAUAGUUAGAAUUUUUCAUCGAAGUUUCUGGUUUAUGACUUGUAAAUAUUUAAUUGACACCAUGGUUUCUUUUCUGGUGUAUAUCGUAGAAAACCUUGUGCUAUGAAUGGUUGAAUAAUUUGACUGGCAGCCCAUAAAAAAUAUGAACAUAACCAUGAAUUGACUUGUGACUACGCGGGUUCAGAAGACUUCAGUUUCUUGGAAAAAUUUUGAGUUUACUUCCACUUUCGUGGGAAGACUUGACUCCACUUUCGUUUUCUUGCCGAGGAAGUGGGAGGAAGGUUGAUCGUUUAGCUGUGUGGUUAGUGACCCGAGGCAUGACGUGAGGAGAAUGGCACCUAAAAAGUGCAAAAUUUGUGUGACUACUAAUGGAUACUUCCAUUCCUUGCAUGCCACAAUCUAUUUUACACAACUGCUUUUAUAGAAACCGGACUAUCAAUUUUAUACCAAAUUAAGUUCAGUACAAGGAGAUUAAACCCUAUCCAUUCUACCACUUGGUUAAUUUCUUUCACCAGGAGGACUUAACAAACCUGCAUGUUGACCCCAAGAGAGCCAUCGGAGCCAUGCUUUUGCCAAAUUUAGCAAAUCCAAGGUCUUUAAGUACAACUUUUAAUCUUUCUCUUGGUAGAGAUAUCAGAGGUUCAAGGGGUGAUAUUAGAUGAAGAAACUAGAGCUGAAAUUGCCUUAACGGAUAAUUUCUUUGGUUAUUAAGGUCAUCAUUAACGAUAGUAAAGAUCAGUGUUCAAAUAAUCUAUAUUUCUUUCAUCUUAGUCGUGCACAGGAGUAUAAAUUAAAUAAAUGUCUAGAUUUGGUCAUUUGAGGGAACAUUUCAUCGGUAUCAUAAUCUGAACUGAGAUCGAGUUGCACAAAUAUAGCAUGAAAAAAAAAAGGCGGCCACAAGGUUGAAAGGGAAGAAGAGAGCACAUUCCAUCGUUUUGUUCUUGUGCCAUAUAUCAACAUUGCCCGCCCAAUCUGAACGGCCUAUGGAGGAACUUUUGUGACGAGGCUAGGCAAAGAUCAGUCAACAAGGGACACAAUUAAACAGGUGAGAGAGAGAGAGAAACUACAGUACUACAAAAAUAUACAACAUGUUUAAGAAGCUCUAUAUGCAUUUACAAAAUCUACAGCAUCAUCUCGACAAACUGUAGCAUUAUCAACUCUAAUCUUCCUUGGAAAAUUGCAUGAACAUCUACUGCUUAAGUUGCACAACUAAGCUUUUACUCCGAACAAGAUGAGAAGGGAAGCACUGUCAAUAAGAAGCCGAGGCUUAACAUACCAG
Molecule: long non-coding RNA, 93211 nt
Filed under: Coffea arabica (coffee)
Lineage: Eukaryota; Viridiplantae; Streptophyta; Magnoliopsida; Gentianales; Rubiaceae
Description: long non-coding RNA (CARA_LNC007551)
Source: RNAcentral